GUCCAAAUGCUAAUACCAAGGUCCUAUAAUUCAUAUCUAAGCCAUAGAGGUGAUUUGGAAGGGUUUAAGGGCAUGAAAAACCCCAUUAACAUGAGUUUACGGCCUAAGCUUAUGCCUUGGCCGUAAACUCCUUCAAAGUCCUCAAAAUCAAAGAUUUACAUGUUCUAAGUCCAUAUCUUGAAGUCCCUUAGCCAUAUCUAAAGUCCAAUUGAGUUUUGGAAGGAGUUUAAGAGCUUAAAACCCCAUAAAAUGGAGUUUACGGCCCAAGCUUGCUCCUUGGCCGUAAAAUCAUGUUCUUGACCCCAAAACUCAAUUAAGUCAUCAAUUUGAAGGCUAAAGAUGUUGAAUAACAUGCUAGAGAGGUUACCUUAAAGAUUUGAAGCCUUAAACUUGUGAUUAGGACCUUAAUUCUAGCUUGGAGGAGAGAGGUUGUAAGAGUUUAGUGAGAAUUUGGCCAAAGGCUUCAAAUGGAGUCCAAAUUAUGUUUAUAUAGUGUUUGGGAAUUGGACACGAUAGAAUUCUACCCGAUACCGACGUUAAGUGAGGUUUUUGGUCGUACCCGAUUGAGUUACCGUAACCCGAUAUGGUAAUUUCUAGAAAUAUUCCGAUCACUAAAGUUGGGUGUUAAAAUUAUUUCUAUAUGUAUUAAGACACCUAUUAAGUCAUUUUAAGUCAAUAUAAAUUAAUGACUUAAUAAAAUGGCGAAUAUUGGAAACUAAAUUGAGAAUGACGUUUGGUUGAUCGGAUCGAAUUACAAGUUGUGGUACAGGAAUUGACAUGAAAUUUCGGGUUGUUACACAUAGUCACGCAGUUGAGUUUUCAUCCAUAUGACUUGUGAACAACAGCUGGCGGCAGCGACGUAUUCAGCUUUUGCGGUUGAUGUGGAUACACAAGUCUGUUUCUUUGAAGUCCAACUCACUAGUCUACCUCCUAGGAAUUGACAGCUACCAGAUGUACUCUUUCUAUCUAGCUUGCAUCCUCCGUAGUUUGAGUCGGUGAAAGCGUUUAGAUGAAAAUUAGAUUUAGCUGGAUACCAAAGGCCGAUUUUGGGAGUGCCUUUAAGGUAUUUGAAGAUGUGUUUCACAGCAACUACAUGAGAUUUCAUAGGAUUUGCUUGGUAUCUAGCACAGACACAUGUAGAAAACAUGAUAUCAGGUAUGCUGACAAUGAGGUAUAAGAGUGAUCCGAUCAUUCCACGAUAUCUUUUCUGGUCAACGGGUUUGCCAUUUAAGUGUGCAUCAAUUUUGUAUCCAAAGGCCAUUGGGGUUUUUGCGGUAUUGGAUUUGUCCAUUGAAAAACGAGUGAGCAGGUUUUUGACAUAAUUCUCUUGGUUGAUGAAAAUGCAUCAGUUGACUGUUUGAUUUGAAGUCCGAGAAAUGUAGUCAUCUCCCCAAUCAUGCUCAUUUCAAAAUUGCUCUUCAUUAAAUCUGCAAACUUAACACUUAAAGAUUCAUCAGUAGAACCGAAAAUAAUGUCAUCAACAUAUAUUUGUACAAUUAACAGAUGUUUAUUAAAUAUUUUACGAAAAAGGGUUGGAUCGAUUGAACCUCUUUUAAAACCUGAUUCUUCGAGAAAUGUUGACAACGUGGCAUACCAGGCUCAGGGUGGUUGUUUCAAGCCAUAGACAGCUUUCUGCAGUUUAAAGCUAUGAUUGGGAAAUUUGGGAUCUUCGAAACCUGGUGGUUGUUGGAUGUAUACAUCGCGAUCUAUCUCUCCGUGUAGGAAUGCACAUUUAACGUCCAUUUGGAAUACUUUGAAAUUCUUAUGUGCAGCAUAUGCAAGAAAGAUGCGAAUUGCUUCAAUUCUGGCAACUGGAGCAUAUGUUUCAUCGUAGUCGAUUCCUUCUUGUUGUGAAUAUCCUUUGACUACAAGACGUGCCUUGUUUCGGCAAAUGAUUCCUUGAUCGUCAGUCUUGUUUCUGUAUACCCAUCUUGAACCUAUAACAGUAACAUCGGGUGGAGUAGGAACAAGAUUCCAUACGUCGUUUCUUUCAAAUUCUCCUAGCUCUUCUUGCAUAGCUUUUACCCAGUCUGGAUCUUUUAUAGCAGAAUGUAUCAUUUUGGGUUUAGUCGUGGAUAAAAAGGCUCCAAAUAAACAUUCAUUUGUGGAUGCGGCUCUAGUCUGAAUGCCUAAGUUGGGAUCUCCGAUGAUUUGGUAUGUUGGAUGAUUUCUGGUCCACUUUAUUAAGCGAUUCUCUUCCGCUAUAAUAAUUGGAGUUUCAGUAUCCCAUUGUUCUUCUCCAAGAGUUUCAUCUUGGAAUAGUUUUGAAGGUUCCCACAUAAAUGAUGCAUCAGGGUUGUUUUGGCUAUUUGGGGAUUGGGUAUUUAAAGGAGGAUUUGGUGUUUCUUCCAAAGAGGAAGUAUGUGUUGGUGGUUCCCCCUCGAAUUGAUCUACAUCAUUUUGGUUUGUUCCUAUAGGAUCAAUUGAAGUAGUUAUAAGUUCAGAAUUGUAAGCGGUUUUUGGUUGUUCAAAAAGCAAAUCAAAAUCGAUUUCAAUGUCUAUGUCAGGAGAAGGUGUUUGUUAAAUUGGAUUUUGAAAAAUAUUUUCAAUCAUUUUUGAACCAAAAUGUUCACGAUCCAAUUUCCUGACAUAAAAUUCAUCGAAAUGAACAUCCGUACUUUCUUCAAUUACUCUAGUACGUUUGUUCAGUACUCGAUAAGCAGCUGAAGAAAACGAGUAACCAAGGAAAAUUCCUUCGUCCGACCUUGAUUCAAAUUUUGAAAGGUGAUCUUUAUUGUUCUUUACAAAGCAUCGACAACCAAAAAUAUGGAAAAAUUUGAUGUUUGGUUUUCGGUUGUUAAUGACUUCAUAUGGUGUUUUAUGAAGAUGUUUAUGGAUUAAGGAACGAUUUUGAGUAUAGCAAGCUGUGGCUAUUGCUUCUGCCCAGAAGUAUUGUGGCAGAUCAGCGAAGAUAAGCAUUGAUCUUGCAGCUUCACAUAGAGUUCGGUUCCUUCUUUCGACAACACCGUUCUGUUGUGGAGUGUAUGGGGCUGAGAAGUUAUGUUCAAUUCCUUUGUCUUUGAGAAAUGAAUCUAGAGUAUUGUUUUUGAACUCUAAACCAUUAUCACUUCGGAUUCUUCAAACAGGUCGUUUCAGCUUCAGCUCGAUUUGUUUGAUGAAGUUGAUCAUCUCUUUAGGUGCUUCUGAUUUUAGUCUUAAGAAAAAUACCCAAGUAAACCGUGAGAAACCAUCAACGACAACAAGAAUGUACUUCUUCCAUUGUAUGCUUUGGGUUUUGGCAGGGCCACAAAGGUCUAUGUGCAACAAUUCUAGUGGUUCGGAUACACUAGAUUCUGAGAUGCUUUUGUGAGUGGAUUUGGAAAGUUUUCCUUUUUCACAUGCGGCACAAAGAGUUUCGUUAUCAAGCUUCAGAAGUGGUAGCCCUCGAACAAGAUCAUCGCCGAUUAAUUUGUUGAUGUACCCAAAGUUUAGAUGGGAAAGGCGACGGUGCCAUAACCAACUAAUAUCUGCUGGGGCUUUAGAUAGCAGACAUAUAUCGGGUUUACCGUAGAUAAGAUCCAUGUCAAGUGGAUACAUAUUUCCGGCACGGUCAGAAUCAACUAUAACAUCUUUUGUUUUGGCGUCCAUGAUCAAGCUUCGUUGUUUGGUGAAAAGAACUUCAAGAUUGUUAUCACACAGUUGAGAAACACUGAUGAGGUUGUGUUUCAGGUCAUCGACGAAGGCAACUUUCUUUAUGGUAAAAUUACCAUUUGUUAUGUUUCCAUAACCUUUGAUUUUUGCUUUCAUGUUGUUACCAAAGGUAACAUCUUGAUUGGUUUGUAUAUGUUUGAAGUCACGUAAGUAGUUCCGGUUUCCUGUCAUAUGCUUGGAGCAGCCACUAUCAAUAUACCAUGUAUCAUCAUUAGGUUCUCCAUCAUUAAGUACCUGAAAUCAGACAGAAAGUUUAGGUACCCAAAUCUGAAUGGGUCCUAGUUUGUCAGUUGUUAUUUUGGGUGCUUUGCUUGAUGAAUUUCUUUUAUCAUUUGACUUCACAUUAUUGUAAUGGUUUGCUUUAUGACGAUGGAAUGGUUGAGGUUUGAUUUGAUCUAUCAAUUUUACCCAAAAUGUGAUUUGUUUUUGAAUACUUGUAGGUUGAUAAGAUUUAUGAUUUGGUGAAAGAUAUCCUAGAUGUGAAGGUUUGUUUGAAAAUUUUUCUUCAUAUCUGGGAUGUGACGGGCGGUUUUGAAAAGCUUUUUGAUGAUGAUGGUUUGAAACUUUCUGAUGUGAUGGUUUUUGAAAGUUCCUUGAAUGAUUAAAAGUGAUAUCUUGAAAGCGGUUUUCAAAAGGUUUUGGAAAAGGUUUUGGUUUUUGUUUGGAAACCUGUUUAUGAGGUAUGACGUAGGGUUUAACUGGUUUCUUUGGUUGGUUUUCAAAAAUGUUUGGCAUGAUAAGUGGGGUUUUGGUGACUUGAAUGGAUUUUUUGCUUGUUUGUUGUUUCUUGGAGUAUUUUUGUCCCAGACUAGUUUUUCCAACAAUUGAUGAAGUCAUUGUAGGAAAAGCAGUUGGUAUAGAAGUACUACCAUCCUCAUAAGAGGAAUUUUCUCCAUUCAAAAAGUUUUGGAGUUUAGUGGUUCCAUCAGUAUGUUUGAUUUGGUGAGUAAAAGAACUUGCAGAGUCUGUUUCAGAAUUCACAACUCUUUUGAAAGACUUUUUGGAAACACUGAAAGCAGUAUCAUCUGGACUACAGUUGAUAACUGUUUCGUCAUCUGAAUCUUCCUCAUUAACAGAUGUGAAAAGAUCAGGUAGAGUAGAUUCAUAGUUUUCAUAAUUCGUCAUGUUUUUGUGUUUUGCUUGUUCAAUUUCAAAGGAUUCUCUUCCAAUUCCUGGUCUAUAAUUCGUAUCAAUUUUGCCAGUUCCUAAGGUGUUUGCCUUUGUGAAAAUAUCAUCACUUAGUUUUCUAGCAACUUUGAUAGAAUCCAUAUUCCAUAUCAGUCUUUUAUUCUCGGUUUUAAGAGAAUUGAUUUGUUUUAAAGAAUCAGUCAGUUUUUCAUUUAGAAUAUUGUAUUUAUCAGUUGAUUCUUGAAAGUCUUGUUUCAACCGAAGGAUUUCCAUUUCUAAAACAUCUUUUGUUUUAGAAGAAAUGAUUGACUGAUUUUUUAGUUCCAAAUCCCUUUUCUGAAUUAGGGACAGAUUUAAUUGUUCCAAGACGUGAUUAUAAUCUUCUGAUUUUCUUUCAACGUCUCUUUCCAAUUUGCUUUUAGUUCUUGUUGAUUCUCCAAAUUUGAGUUGCAAGGUUUGUAACUCAGAGUUGCAAGGUUUGUAACUCAGAUUUGCAAAUAUCAUAGUUCUUGUUGACUCAAAAAUUGUUUUGGAAAAACCAAGUUCACAGAUCAUAGACCAUACCUGUUCUAUGACGUUUGGAGCUCAUGAAGGUAUUUCAACACCAGCUAUGAAGCAGAAGUUUGAUUGUGCUUGUUCAUUGUCAGCUUCGUCAUCAGAUGUUGGCCAGUAUUCCACGCUUGGUUCAUGGAUUGCCAUCAAUGCUUUUUGCUUUUCUUGGUUUUCCAGUUUCUUCAAUUCAUCGGCUCUUUGAGCAUAGUAUGUUGAGUCUUUGAUUUUGGUUUUGUUUUUGGCUCGGCAUUCUCUGGCAUUGUGAUUUGUUCCUUUGCAGUUGUGACAAAUGAUCACUUCUUCAUCACUGUCAUCCUUUUGACUUUUAAUCAGAAGUCUUUCAGGAGCUUGAGUUUGGGUUUGUUGGGAAGGUUGACAAUGGUUUUGUUGGAAUCCAAAAUUUUGGUUGUUUUGAAAACCAUUGUUUUGAUUGUUGUAACCUUGAUUUUGGAAACCUCUGUUUUGAUUUUGAAAACUGUUGUUUGGAUUGUGAUUAUGACCUGAGUUGGGAUCGUUUUGAAAUCCUUGGUUUUGAAAACCUUGGUUUGAGUUAUUUUGGAAAGAAGGGCUUUGAGAAUUUUGUCCAAAGUAAGGUCUUGGUUGAAAACCUGAGUUAUUUUGUCCAAAAGACGGUCUUGGUUGAAAACUUGAGUUAUUUUGUCCAAAAGAUGGUCUUGUUUGAAAAUUUGGUCUAAAAUUUGAUUGACUAUGAAUUGGGAUAAAUCUCUGGAGAUUUAUGUUUGCAACCAAAGCACACAGUUGUUGAUAAUCUGCUUCAUCAUUUGAAUUAGACAGGAAGGAUUGGCUUUGAAAAAAUGUAGUCUGAUUAAAAUGAUUAAAGUUUUGAUCAUUGUAAGGUGUUUGGUUUUGAGAAGUUGUGGACACAAGACCAAGUGGUCCUCCAAAAGAUGCAAUGGUUGGUGGGUCAAUCGAUGAUUCAUACGAUUGAAGUUCUCCAUACAAAUUGUACAAAGAUUCGGUAUGAAUAGCUGGAUUUCCCUGAAUAAUGAGUUUAACCAUUUUCCAGCUUUCGAAAAGAUUGUUUAAAAACUUGAGAUUUAUCUCGUGUUGUGUUUUUUUGAUACCCAAAUUGUUCAUUUUAACCAUAAUCAAAGUGAACCUAUCAUGAGUAUCAUGGAUAGUUUCUGAUGAAAGCAUUUUGAAAUUAUCGAAUUCAUUCAAAACAGAUGUUCUUUUGUUUCCGAUAAUUCUUUUAUUUCCACAAAAACGAUUUUUCAAAUUUUCCCAAAUAUGAUUUGGGGUUAACAUCAUAAUGUCAUCCAUUUGACUUAGAAUACUGUGAGGUAUUCCAGAAACAAGUUCCUUUUUGGCUUGGAGUUCCAAGUUUCUUAUGAUAUCAGUUUGAGUGGCUUUAUUUGUAGCAAGAGUAGCCAAAUUUUCUGGAGUAACAUAUGUUCCUUCUACACACUUCCAGAUAUCUUCAUUUAUAGCGUUAAGAUGAAGAUUCAUACGGCCAACCCACAAAUUAUACUCUUCAGGAAUAAGUAUGGGUGCCCGUGAACCAGAUCCUAAGCUAUUUGCAAUGGAGACAGAGUUCAUGUUGGAGUAAUUUGCCAAAGAGAUUUUUUUGAAUUUUUUUUUUUAAAGGAUUUUGAACAAGUGAUAUUAAAAUGAAAUUUUUAAAGAAAAGCUUAUGGAAGGUUUAUAAACGCUAUAACCAAAAGUUUUUUGACAAAAAUUUCAAGGUAAAUCACACAAGCUCUGAUACCAAUUCUUGGAUAUUAUUCCUUUUAUAUCAGCUCAGAUACCGAUUGUUGGAAAUAUAAAAAUCUGAUAACCACAACAAAAGGCUCGGGUACCGGUUACUGUGUGACAGAUAUAUGAGUUAAAGGUAUAAGAUAUAGAUAUAUAUAAAGAAUAAUAAUUGCGGAAUAAGUAUAAAUAUGAAAGCUAUAAAUGACUGAAAGCUAUAAUAAUAUAAAUGACUGUAUUUAAAUGACGUAAAACUAUAAAUAAUAUAAAUGACUGUAUUUAAAUAACAUAAAGAUAUAAAUAAUAUAAAUGACUAUAUUUAAAUGACAUAAAGCUACAAUAAAGUAUAUAAGUAUAUAAAUAUAUAUCAAGUAGGUUCGUCAAUAAAUUGACUGAACUGGACUCGUGGAAAGACUGGUCGAUAUUUGUUCUCCUGGAAGAACCGGUCGAUAUUGAGACUCUUAGAACGACUGGUCGAUAUUUGUUCAAAGAUCAAUCCGGUAUUUGAUAAGUAGUAAAAAGUUCAUUUUCAUGUAAAAUGGAUUGUUUACAAAACAGUGCAAAGUACACGAGUCAUGUAUUUGUAUACGGGUAUCGGGUGUUUUGAGGAGAUUUGAUGAGGUUGGAGUGGGUAUUUGGAGGGUGUUAGGAGGUGGAAUAAGGUUGUAAUUUUGGUGGUGUAAGGCAGCAAAGAUGGUGAAGUUGAAGGAGCUUUGGGUGGUGAUGGAUGUAGAUUUUCGGAGUAAAUCUCUCUGGAUAGCCAAUUCUCUCUCGCGUCUCUUUGGGGUUUCCCGUGGUCAAAAUCGUCCACGAAAAUUUCUAUAUGCAGGUAAGGUUCUGAAGAAUUGAUGGUGAAAAUCUCCCUGGUGGUAUUUUGGCUGUGUUGUGCUCGGCUUUUUGUUUUCUAACAUGAAGAUUCUGAACUUGAAAACAGAAAUCUCUCUGGAUAGCCAAUUCUCUCUCGUGUCUCUUUGGGGUUUCCCUUGGUCAAAAUCAUCCACGAAAAUUUCUAGAUGCAGGUCCACUUCUGGAAAAUGUGUUAUGAAAAUCUCCCUAGUCUUAUUGUGCUUGUACGAAGCUCAUUUUUCUUUGUUUCCGACUUGAAGAUUAUGAUGUCGAAAAAACAGCAAGGUGUUGAUGGUUGCGGUGAUUUGAAAUGGUUUUUGGAGGAGGUUUAAGGAGGGUAUUUGGAGGGUGUUUGGAAAGUAUUUUGAGGUUGUUAGGAGAUUGAUAUAAGGAGGUGAAGUUUUGGAGGUGUUCUUGGUUGGAAGAGUUUUUUGUAUUGUGAUGUAUGCUGUAUGGAGAGAUAUUACAAAAUAAUCAAAUGAAGUAUAAUUCUCUCUUAAACAUUGGCUCUCACCUGGCUAUACAUACACACGAUCAUAUGCUCAUAUACAGAAACAUUAAAUAUCUAAAAUGCACUUGAGUUUAAUUAUGAAGGAAAAUGGGUAUAGGUUUCACGAUAUGUUUGCAAGUGGUAUGCUUCCUUUUUUGACUUUUCAACAUGGAUCGUGUGUUUGUGUUUGUACUUCUCAUUUCCAUUUCCACACAACAAUACGAGAAAUCUCAUAAAUUCAUUUAAAAUAAAUGAAUUUCCAUAAUAGUCCCUUGAGGUUUUCAAGUCUUGACAAUUUUUAGCCUUAGUUUGUUUUGUCUUCAAACAACCAAAUAAGCGGCUAUUUUCCGUCUUUGCAUAUUCCGCCUUUCACGUACUUUUGUAUUUUCCAUUCGAUCAUGAAUCCACGCAACCUGAAAUAAUUGAUAAUAGUUGUCAGAUAAAAUAAGAAUAGUUCGUUUUAUUUCAACGAUGGUCACAUACAAAAGCAUUUUUCAACGACAAAGAUUGAAGGACUUAGGAAGGCUUGUCCGCCCUAUUUCCUUUUCUUCGUUGAGAUGUGGUCUGGUGGGAUCCGAUGGCCGUUCAAAGGUCGUUUGAUUCAUUACUUAUAUGUUAUGUAUACGAGCAUAGACAUAUAGGUGUACUCUAUUCUGUUCAGUUACGAGUCUCCACCUCUAGUUCAGCACUUAUAUAUGAAACCCACUACCCACUCUUUGGGAUGCAUUUUCGGGACACGGCCUUCUCCGUCGUCUAGUUGGUAAGCAGAGUCUCCUGUAGGGACAGCGGACAUUGUGUGUAUAGAUCUAUACGGGACUGACACCCCCGCACCCUGACUGCUAGCUACAGUCCACGACCCACCAAGCCAAGGGGUGACAAAUGUCAUAUUUUAUAGACGCUCGUAGGGCGUCAGGUACUCUAGUUUCGGUUAGUAUGGUUACGAGCAUCUCAGGUUGCCUUAUAAUUCAUGGCCGUAAGGUAACGGUAUUUCACCAGUAACUUACACUGUAUGCCGGAAACUCAUUCUAAGAAUAACACUGUUUUUAGACCUCGCUAGCUGUACUUUUCAUUUGAUACUGUCUGCGGUCUGUAUUCUCUGUUUAGACCUUGCUAGCUGUAUCUUUCAUUUUAUACUGUGUGCGGUCUGUAUUCUCUGUUUUAGACCUUGCUAGCUGUAUCUUUCAUUUGAUACUGUCUGCGGUCUGUAUUCUCUGUUUUAGACCUUACUAGUUGUAUCUUUCAUUUGGUACCGUCUGGGGUCUGUGUUCUUUUUGUUAGACUGAGCCAGGCGUGUCGUUCGUUCGAUACUCUCCUGGAGUCUAUGAUUCCUUUGCCUUAGUCAGCAAUCCUCACUGCUGAGGCAUAUGUUAUUUCCUUGAUUUCUCUUGCUUUCUUUAAUAAUCAAUUUAUGUAUUUUGAUAAUGAUAGCGAUUAAGGGAAAACUACUUUUUACCACAUAACUCCGUCCAGUCUUGGUAGAAUACUGCUUUUAUUAAAGAAAAAUAUAGGAUUUUCUGGAAAGCACACUAAUGUAAUGGAUACUCUAAAACUAUCACUUUUAUUAAAGUUAUUUGAUUACAAUGACACUAAAUACUUAUGAACUCACCAGCAUUUGCAAAAAUGCUGAUACUCGCUUUUCAAAUAACUUGUAUUCUUAGGUCAGCAUUAGACAGGUACAUCCCCGGAGCAAUUGAAGAAGAUAGCUUAGUACCAUGUUGUACUUAUUAUAUUUUCUUGUAUUACAUCUGAUAUAUUGUAAUGUAAAACUAUUACUAUUAAUGCAAUGUUUUGUUGUACUUUGAUUACUAUAAUGCAUAUAUUGUGAUACUUGACGUCACAUCAUCCACCCCAGAACGAUUCCGCCGUUCCGGUUUUAGGGUGUGACAUAUAUAUUUAAUGCAAUGGAUGAUGUUGUUUGCUUAUUUACUGUUAUACUGUGUUGUGAUACUUUACAUGACGUCUUCCGCCCCUGAACGUUUCCGCCAUUCUUGGUUUUGGGGUGUGACAAUCACCUUCUUAAUCUUUAUCAGCAACCAUAUAUCCUAUGGUGCUUUUCCAAGAACAAUAUGAAACCUAAGUUUCAUGUAAGUGUGAUCAUCAUCAUCAUUAUCAAACUUCUUUGCAAUCUUGUACUGAGCCAAUACGAACAUCAUUUCGUUCACAGGGAAAUCAAGCUGGCUCAUGUCUGUGUUGGUAACCACAUAGCUUUGUUUGGGCUUUCUCUCGAAAUCGUACAUAUGAUUGAAAGAAAUUUUUUCUUCAAUGAUCUCAUAAUAUUAAUGCUUGCUUGGAUCAGCCUUAAUCAUCCCAGGAGGAUCAUUUACUCGAAGGCUUAAUAUGAUUUGAAUAGCCCUAUGUUUCUCCAUUUCCGCUUAAAUUGAUGCCUUCCUCUGUUCCUUUGAUUUUUCAACAGCAAUCGUUUUCCCUUUGACUUUGUUGGAAGAACUAUCAACUGCUUCCUUUAGUUUUGAACCUCUACUACCACUAGUAGAAGAACCGGUCAUAAUUCCUUUCGAAAUUGGCUUUGUAGUCAAAACCGUUGAACUAAUUGGCCCAACAGUCGAAACAAUUGGCUUUGUUGCUGGAAUUUUUAUUGGGAAAACUUUUCCAACAACCUUGACGUUUUCAUGAGAAACAUCAUCACCAACCUUCCUUUCUUCCACUUGCACCCCUAUGACAACAGGCGGGGCAUCUGUUGGUAAAAUGCUCGAAAUUCUGGAUAAUGGGGCCAAUUCUUUAUAUAGAAUAGCUUCAAACUGUGUAAACUUUUGGGAUAAAAACUCUAGAGUGAUUAACGGAGAGGAACUGUACUUUGUGAUUAAAGCCUUCAACUCAUUCAACUGAGUAGUGAUCUUAGCUAAACUGUUCGAUUCUUGAGUGGACAAUUGAGUAAGUUGAGGACUCAGGGCUUUGUAUAAUUUGACAAACUUGGUGACCACGUCAGCAAUAAUAUCAACUUGCGGAUUUAGAGAAGCAUAAUCACGUUGCACCACUUCAAUCUCCUUGGCCAUAUCUUCACGAAGCUCUUGACGCUUGAAAUUAACAUCUUCUCGCACCUUUUUCACAUGUUGAACGAACAUCACAUGUCAUUCUUUUGCCAGACAUUUGAAAUCUUUCACUGCCCCCUUAAAAUUCGAAGAUUGAGACUUCACUCUCAACUCAUUAUUUUUAUCAUUAUGAUCCACCUUCUCCAUUAUUCUAGACUUAGAAGCUUGAAUGAAUCCAUAAACUUUGUUAACUACCUUGGCUUCGAAAGCUUUUAACAUACCAUCAAUUUCCAAACCCGACACAGAAUGGCUUCCCCCCGUAUCAUCUUGAGACUAAAUAAUUGAAUUCAACUUUUUAUUCAGGAUCUUGAAUUGCUUCAUAGACAAUAACAUGUGAUCUGGAAAAUUUUUUUCCUCAUCAUCAAACUCCAAAUCAUCAAAAGUACCUCCAAAACCUCCUUCUUCAUUAUAAGAUUCAUCAUCAGGUUUGGGUGGAUCAGUUGAUUGGGAUGAGAAAAGAGUAGUAAAGGGAUGAUUGAUAACAUGUCAAAGGUGGGUGAAUUGGUGGUAUUUGAAACAGGAUGGAUACAUGGUGGUAAUGAAAUAGAAGUAUCCAUAUGAGGGUUUUCAGGAAUACCUUGAGUUGGCUGUGGAUUCUCUUUAUUCUUAUCGCCUUCACCCUUGUUGACAUUUACAUAUGUAUCAAAUAUGUGUGUAGUGAUGUCUGAAGUUUGAACCUCCUCAGUAAAUGACUUGGUUAACGAAACAUCGGGUGGUAUCACUUGAGUCUUCUCAGGAGUUGAAACUUCUUUGGAAAGAGUAGCUUUGGGCGUUUCAGGAAUGGCUUCGUCUUUAGAAGAUUCCUCUUGAAUAACCAACAUUCUUUUCUUCAGCUUCUUCUUCUUGGAAAUACGCUUUGCCAUAUCUUCGGUUAUUCGUUUCAUUGAAGUAGGAGUAAUAGGAGCUUGAACUUCACGAAUAAGUACCCCUUGAUGAGUAACAUUUGAUUUACAAACCAUCGUUACAGAAAAACAAGAUGAUCCGUCGGAAGACUUUUAUGAACGACAUGAUUUCUGCUUAAUUCUUUUAAAAACACCAGGCUUUGAAGGAAUGGUAUCCUUAUAUUGUUCAACAACAAUAGGCUCUACAGGCUAAUCGAAACUUUGUCCUUUGUCAUCGAGUGUUUCUUUGGACACUUCUUUGGCUUUUGUUCUUGCACAAGCUUCUCAAGAAAGGCCUUUGCAUCGUUUUUUGUUCAUCUUCACUUCUUAGAAGGACCAACAUCCUCUUUUGCUAUCAACUUACCGUUUUCGACACUCGGAUUAAUGGUCUUCAAAUACUCCACUAAUACCGAGUUGGCUGGAUCAACACGUUUUAACAUUGCAUCAAGGAUCCUAGUAAUGUUUGGAAACUCACAGCAUCAUCUAUAAUCUCCUUUGGAAAGUCAUACUUCAAGAACUCAGGUUUUUCUUCAUCAGCUGGCACCUCAAUCCCUUCUUUUUCAAAAACAUAACGAAGAAUCAAACUCUAGUAUCUUGCACAUGAUAUUCCUUGAAGCACAUUGGUUUUCUCCACACUUUUCAAAAACUCCUUUAGCAUUUGAGUAGAAUAAUCCACCGAAAUAUCCUAAUAAAGACUAGCAACCAUGGCAUAUACCUCUAUUCGUCCUUUAUCCAACCCAACACUGCAACCAGUCAAGCAACAUAGAAAAAUACCAAACAGAAAAUUCCAAAUACUUGGAAGGCCAACUUCUUGAAAUCACUGAUCUUGGUGAGUGGAGGUUGAUGACCCAUCUCAUUGAACAUGUGGAUAAUUUGAGCAAACGAAAGAUCAGUGUAUGGUGGAGAAUUGGGAAUUUCAAGAAUUUGACAGAACAACUUCUUUAACAGACGAAUCUUCGUAUCAUUCAGCAGAUUAAACGUGAUAGCAUCCAAAGCUUUGUAAUACGUUGUAGUGGAUCCUACUUGUGAAAGCCAUGAUAGAGGAACAUCAAACAAAUGGAACAUGAUAGUAGACAGAACAAAACUUUUCAAGGUGAUGACUAACAUCUUCAAUUCUUCUGGAUACAAUGAUAGAUCCCCCUCGACUUGAUAAUUUGUUCCUUGUAUCUUCAUAAUCGGUUGUGAAGUAACAUCUUCAGUUGUCUUCAGUGGGAGUAGCCAUGAUUAGGGUUUUGAAUCUUUGAAGAACAAAUAGAGACUUCAGAGACAAUUUGGAAAUUUUCUUUACAAAGCAUAAAUUUAUAAAGAACCCUUGACUCUACUUUUAUAUGUAACCCUAAAAUUUGAAUGUGAAGCGGGAUAACCAUUAAAUGAGAUCCAACGUGGCACCUUGAAACUCACACCACUAUUCUGAUAAAGAAGCCAUGCUUGAAAAAGUAACUGUCACUUUUCCUCAAAAACCAGAAAGAAUACAAGAUGUCGCAUCAAACAGCCUGUAUUGUGUAUCCCAAUAGAAUUGUAAUCUUCACAAGUCUUCAGUAUGGAGGUAAGGCUCUUUCACUUUUAGGAUUAAAAGCGAAGUUAUGUGCCAGAAUGUCAAAAUCAUCAGCUUGAGUUGGCGUUACUCAUAAACUCGAGGAUUUCGUGAGUGAAGUGUUUCAAAAGAAUGAAAUAAGAUGCAAAUUAACAAAAAUUUUGGAUUCUAUGAUGUGGAAAAAUAAAAUUUCGACAAAAAGGCAGUUAAACCCCGGGAAAAGGUUGCUUCGUUAAUCAUCAAGAGAGAUGAUCAAUAGCUUGUGUAUUUUCCCGUGAAUUAUAACCGAAUACUUAUAGAGAAGUAUCGAAGGGCUUCUUUUAUAAGGCUUUGUAGGUGGCUUACAAAUUCCGUUACAUAUCAACCUAAACAUAAGGUGAGUAAUUGUAACAUAAAUUACUUGUUUAACGACUUUAGUCAGUGACAAGUAUGAUUUUGGAAAAAUAUUUAAAUUACCUUGGAAAGCAAUUGAAACUCACACAAAAAUCAUAUCCAAGAGAAAAAAAAAUUGUGCUAGAUCCUGUUGGGUAACAAACAUCUUGUGUUUCGAUAGUUUGAUCAAGAUCACUCAUAAGAAUUGAAUAUGAUUUGGAGUUUCAAAAAUUUGUACAAAAACAAUUGUUUCGUGAAAAUAUGGAACAUAGUUCUCCGUUAAUUCCUUAAAAUUUUAGAAAUUUGGUUUUCAGUUCCAUCACGGCCUCAUGAUGUAAGAUCAUAAACACAAAGUUUUGAUAUGUCUAAGUAUUGACGGGUUAUAUCAAAGACCACUUGGACAUAUGUCUUCGUGUGUGAAAGUGUAAGAAUGUUGAUAUGAAAAAGAUUGGUUUGAGAAUCGAAGUGUACCUCUGUUAUUUUCGGACCAAACAGAAAAGUCUUAACUCAUUUGAGAAGAGAAAGGUAGCUCAAUAGACUAAUAUGAAUGUAAGCCUGAUUGGGAAGAAAUUUUCGUAAUGAAAUAUUUCAUUAAGGCUUUCGUAAACCCACAUUAAGUCAUUGGAGGCUUGAGUCGAUAUGCUGCAACAUGCUUCUAGGGACAUCUUAACAAGUACAAAGUUUUCGAAAAAUUACCUAACCCUAGACCUACAAGCAUCAACUAGUAAGAAGCAUCUUUGAUAUCUGCAACAAAUAACUAAAAACAUAGUAUAAAAAUAUUUUUGUUGUUUUUGAUUUUUCAAAAAUUAAGAGACAAAACAAACAAAAAUAUUUAUGGUAUUUUGAUUUUUCGAAAAUUAAGAGACAAAACAAAAGUAAAAUCUUUUUGUUGUUUUUGGAUUUUUCGAAAAGAAAACUAUGACACUAAUUAACUAAAAAAUUUUAAAGACAAAUGAAAGAUUUUAACAAACACACGAAAAUUUUGACAAACUAACGAAAUUUUGACAAACUAACGAAAGUUUGACAAACUAACAAAAAAUUUUCAAACAAACGAAAUUUUGACAAACUAACAAUAUUUUGUCGAACUAACGAAAUUUUGUCAACCCAAGGAAAUGUUAGAUGCUGUCGAAAACAAGGGUGUUGAAGCGCUGAAUAUGAACAGUAACCUCUGAACGUUGAAUGAAAUUAUUAUGCAAUUCUAUUCAACACCUAUGAAUUGACACUUUCUAACUUUUAUUCCUUAUCACCUGGAACAGAAUUUCCUUCAAUCAUACCAAGUCUUCCCAAGAUUCUCACAAAGGAUUUUUCAUCUAACGGUUUUGUGAAAAUAUCAGCCAAUUGAUUAGUAGUUUUCACGAAAUGAACUUCAAUAUUACCAUCCUCCACAUGAUAUUUUAGGAAAUGGUAACGAAGAGCAAUGUGCUUAGUUUUCGAAUGUUGCACAGGAUUGUGACAAAUACGUAUUGCACUUUGAGAAUUAAAAUACAAUGGAACUUUCUUCAUAUUAAUUGCAUAAUCACGCAAUUGACUUUGAAUCCAAAUUAUUUGUGAUGUGCAAGUUGCAACAGCAACAUAUUCUGCUUCUACAGUGGAAAUCGAAACACAAGUUUACUUCUUCAACUGCGAGCUCACCAAUUUUCCAUCAAGUAAUUGACAUCCUCCACUCAUACUUUUUCUAUCAAGACUCAACCUCCCGAAUCAGUAUCUGAGAAAGCUUGUAUAAAGAACCCAAAUUUUGAAGGAUACCACAAUCCCAAAGAAAUUGAUCCUUUGAGAUAAUGAAAAAUAUUCUUGACUACAGUGAGAUGUGGUUCUCAAGGAUUUGACUGGUACUUGGCACAUUACAAACAGAGAACAUAAUAUCAGGUCGACUUGCCGUGAGGUAAAGUAACGAACCUAUCUGCUUCUGUAAAGAGUUAUGUCAACAGCUGGUUUAUCUUAAGAAGGUGUAAGCCUUGUUCCAGUUGCCAUUGGUACUUGUAACUUCGUGCUAUUCACCAAUCCAAACUUUUCGAGUAGAUUCUUGGUAUAUUUUUCUUGAUUGAUAAAAAUCCCUUCUCUGCUUUGACGAAUAUUCAAACCAAGAAACUUAUUGAUUUUUCCGAUCAUGCUCAUCUCAAAUUUGCUUUUUAUCUAAUUUUCAAAUUCUUUAGACAAAGUAGGGUCAGUAGAACAAAAAAUAAUAUCAUCAACAUAAAUUUGAACAAGCAUUAGACGAUUCCUAACAUUCUUUCGAAAUAAUGUGGGGUCAAAUGAUCCUUGUUUAAAUUUCGAUUGUUCUAAAAAAUAAGUUAAAGUGCCAUACCAUGCUCUUGGUGCUUGUUUUAACCCAUAAACUGCCUUAUCUAAAAUAUAACAAUGAUCAGGAUACUUUUCAUUUAUAAAACCUGGAGUUUGUUCAACAUACACAGUCUCUUCAAGUUCACCAUUGAGAAAUGCACACUUUACGUCCAUUUGAUAGACAUCAAAAUCUUUGUGAGCUGUAGAAGCUAAAAAUAUUGGAACAGCCUCGAGUCUUGCGACAGCGACAGAGGUUUCUUCAUAAUCAAUACCGUCUUGUUUCAAAUAACCUUUAACUACUAAUCAUGCUUUAUUUCGUAAAAUAUUUCCAUCCUUGUCGGUUUUGUUUUUGAAAAUCCAUUUUAAUCCGACAAUCGAAACAUUUUUAGGUUUAGGAAUUAAUCUCCAAACCUUGUUUCUUUCAAACUCAGCCAAUUCAGAUUGCAUUGCAACCUUAAUUGUCUUUGAUUCUAUUUUCAAGAUGAAAACAUUAAACAUGCAAAAUUCUUGUUGAGUAUUCAGUACCUCAUUCUUCCUCGAAUUUGAGCUCUUGUCAAAACUCCAUCUUGUGGAUUCCCAAUGACUUGUUCUUUUUGAUGACCUCUUGUCCAUUUUUCUAGUGGUGGAUAUGUUGUAUCAAAAUCCAAAUGUGUAUCUUCAUACAUUUCUUCAUUUUCAGAUCCUGUAACAGAAAGGACAUCAUUAUUUUCGUGAAAUUCAUCAUUUUGAUCAAGAUUAAUUGCAUCAUUAUUAUUUUCGUCACAAUUGUCAUUCUGAUACUCCCCCUCGAAACUUUUAUUCUCCCCUUGAAACAAUGCUCCUCCUCAAACAUGUGAAGGUAUAUUCAAGUGCUCCCCUCUCCACUUGUGCAUCUAGCAUUCUUUCGCCAUUAUUAGUUGGAGACUUCGUGAUUGUUGAUUCACCAGAAUGUUUCGAAGAUUUAGGAAUUCGAUUAUCUGCAGCAUUUACUUCAGCAUUUGCAGCCCUAUCUGGAACACCAAAAAUUAAAUCAUAAUUAAAAUCAGAUGUACUCAAACAUUCAGAUUCAUCAUUUGGUUCAUUAAUAAUUGGUUUUUAUUCGAAAUGUUUUCAACUUAUUCACAUAAUAGUCAUCAAAAGUGAGGUUAAAUGUUUCUUCAGCUUUUCGUGUGAGCUUGUUCAAUACUCUGUAUGCAACCGAAUUUUGUGAAUAUCCUAAAAAUACUCCUUCAUUAGCCUUAGCUUGAAAUUUCGAAAGAUUAUCUUUGAGAUUCAUGAUAAAACACCUACAUCCCAGCACAUGAAAGAAUCUAAUAGUUGGUUUUCGGUUAUUUAUUAUUUCAUACAGAGAAAUAUUGAGAAGACGAUGAAUAAAAGAACGAUUUUGAGUAAAACAUGCUGUCAAAACUGCUUGUGCUCAUAGAUAAUGAGGAAGAUUCGCAUAUGUCAACAUUGUUCUUGCUGCAUCGCAAAGAGACCUAUUCCUUCUUUCAACUCCACCAUUUUGUUGUGGUGUAUAUGGUUAUGAAAAAAUAUGUGAAAUUCCUUUCUCAGUUAAGAACAAAUCAAGCACAUUGUUUUUAAACUCAGACCCAUUAUCACUUUUGAUUUUUCGAACAUUCUUUUUUAGACUUGUCUUAAUUUUCUUGAUAAAUUCAAUCAUUGUUUGGGCAACUUCAGACUUUAACCUGAGAAAAUAUACCCAUGUGAAUCGUGAAAAAUCACCAACAAUAACCAACAUGUACGAUUUCUUGUUCAGAGCUUCAACAGUUCAUCGUCCACAAAGGUCAAUAAGAAGAAGUUCCAACGGUUCCACAAUUUUCCAAUCUAUCACAAUCGGAUGUCCUUUCCUAUGAUGUUUCCCUAGUUCGCAAGCUACACAUAAGGUAUCAUUGUCAAAUUUUAAAAUUGGUAAACCACGAACAAGAUCAUCUACUACCAACUUAUUUAAAUUUCAAAAAUUUAAAUGUGACAACCGACGAUGCCAUAACCAACUAACAUCAGAUGUAACCAUCGAAAGUAAACAAAAUUAAGGUUUCCCGGCAAUAAGUUUUAUGUCAACAGUAAACAUAUUGCCAUAUCGUUUUGAUUUCAGUAACACUUCUUUCGUUUCAACCUUUAAGAUGAUACUACCUUCUUCGUUAAACACAACUUGAUUGCCAGUGCCCACAACAAGUUGUGAAACACUUAUCAAAUUAUGUUGAAGACCUUCAACAUAAGCAACACGAUUUACAGUAAACUGCCCAUUCGUUACUUUCCCAUAUCCUUUUACAUUACAUUUGUGAUUGUUCCUUAACUUCACAACACCAGCAUUUUCCAAGCUUCUAUAAUCCCGUAAAUUCUCUUUUCGUCCAGUCAAGUGACGUGAGCAACCAUUAUCGAUGUACCAUAUCUCAUCGUAUUGCUUGUCACACAACACCUGCGAUCAUUAAAAGAAUUUAGGUACCCAAGGCUGUUUGGGUCCUUGGAAAUUAGUUUUAAAAACAGAAUGAAAUGAAGAACCUUUAACCCAAACACAAACUUUUGAUUUGAGACUAUCAAUUAAUUCCACAUCAUUAGGUAAAGGAACCGAAACAUAAUUUUAGAUGGUUUUGGAUUGUCACUGACACUAUCCUUCGUCAUCUCAGUUUGUGUAUAGACUUUCUUUUCUUUCAUAACUGGUUUCCAUGCUUUUACUGAAAUAUUCGAUUCAUUUGAAGAUGAACUUCCAUUUGACGAAGUAUUAACAUACUUCUGAUAAGCUUCUUGAAUUUGUUGCUGGGAAAACUUUCUUGAUUGAUACAUUUUUCCUUUUCCUUCAAGCCAAUGAUCGAUGUUUUUCUCACAAGACAACCCUUCGAUGUAUGAAACUUUUAAGGUUUAUUUCCCAGAAGGAUUGGAAAUUUUGGUUUUUGUGGAGUGAAAUCAACAUAUGAUUUUGGACAAAAGUUUUCAACUUUUCGACUUUGAACAUUAUUUUUCACCUUUUUUUUUGUUGAGAAAAACAAUUUUGAAAAUGAUUUGAUUGAUUUGAAAUGAAGUCGGUUUGAUAUUUUGUUUUUGAUAAAAUCUUUGAUGAUGAUUGACAAUUGAUUUUGAUGCAACAUUAAUGACAGAAAAUUAAGAACAAUCAACAUCCUCAAUAUCACUAAUUUCACUAAUAUUAUCAUAAUUAUAUUCAAUAUCAUCCAAAUUAUAUUGAGAAUCAGAUGUCAUUUUCUCAGUCUUUUUUGAAAAUUUUUAUUUGCUCAGUUUUGGUUAAAGUUUCAUUCACAAUAUCAACUAAUUCAUUCGAAUCCAUAUAUUCGUCUAUUUUCACAAUUCCAUAUGGAUAUCUAUCAUCAGGAAUUUUGUUGAACUCUGCUAUUGUUUUCUCACAAUAAUAUGAAAUGUUGUCAACCUUCUCUCUCUCAUACUCUAGAAAAGGCAAUAAUUUUCUAUGUUGUUCCUUGCUAAUAUCAGACGAAUGAUGUAAUGCAGUAAGUUUAGCAUAAACUCUUUUAGCAGAAUUACAAUAUAUGUUUUGUUGGGCUAACAGGACUUUUACAUCACUACUUAGAGAAUCCCUAUCAAACAUAAUAUUUGUAACCUUCAAUUCUAAACACUCUAUUUUGAUAAUUUUUUAUUCUAGCAACUUCUGUGUCUUUAACAACUGCAUGUUUAGUUUUUUAGCUUCGUUACUAGUAGACACCACAAUUGAAUAAAAGUAAGCAACAGUAUCAUCAAAACCAAUUAUUUCAAAAUCAUAAGCACUCAAAGGAAUAUUGAAAUAUUGAAGAGUAUUACGUACCUUGGUAGUCAUUGGAGAUUUAUCAGCACUUUUGGUCAUGAAACAAUGACCAUUCACUUCUUCGUCAGAAUCUUCCUCCAGCUUCGCAAACAUUGCCCCAUGUGUAGGAUUACGCAUCUCUUCGUCAUCAGAUCUUGAUGACCAGAUCUGAUAACUGCCAUCUUCUUCACUUUAACCUUUAGCAACUAACGACAACCCUUUUGCCUUUUUAGGCACCUGUUCCAGCUUCUCUGCAUAGUACACUAGAUCCUUGACUUUAUUCAUUUUCUACGCUUUCUUACGAAGCAUGCAAUCAUUAGCCAACUGAUUUGCCCCGUUGCAGUAAUGACAAUCAAUGCGUAAAUUUCGCUUGAGUUUCUUCUCUAUCUUGACUUUAGCAGCUUUCACAUCAUUUUUCUCAAAUUUCUUCUUCUCCUCACCCACUGUCUCCUUAAAGAAACUUCCUUUCAUAUCUCCCUGCUUGACCUUGGGAUUGAACGGUUUCAUGAAAAACUUUUUAACUUGGUUGUUUGAGUAAAAAGCAAUCGCCUCAUCAUCAGAAUACAUGAUAAACCCUUCUUCAUCGUCAGAAUCAACUUUUUCACUUGCUUCCUUUUCAGACACUUUUGAAAUAAGAGCUAAAGGACCUCCCAUCCUAAGCUUCGACUCUUCAGCUAUCUCAUUCACUUCAAUUUCGUGUGUGUUCAGCUGAUUAUACAAAUCAUUCAGAGAUGAAGUAUCGAAACUUUGUUGAUUCUUCACCAUCAUGCUUACAAUCCUCCAUUCCUUACGGAGUCCCAUUACAAAGGUGAGAUUGAGCUCCAUAGCAGACCUUGUGAUUCCAUGACGGGAGAGUCAAGAUGUAUGACUCUGCUUCAUGUAAAAUCCACUAUAUAACUCUAUUAAGUUCCUAUUUGGAGAUUCUAAAUAUAUGAUGUGAUAAGAUUACAUUUGAUAUUUUGUAGAAUCGAAGAAAAGAAAGGAAGCUUAAAGGAAGGAGGGCGCUGAGUCUGAUCACGCAGAAAUGGAUUAAGAUCGCAUGAAUUCGAAGAUCAGAGCCGUAACUUUUAUAGUUAUGAUAGAUUGAUUAGGAAUAUAUGUAAUAGCAUAGUUUUUAUUUGAAUUUUCAUUCUAAGGCUAUAUUUUUCUGCAAUAAAAUAGACUUUGAUUUUUUCUUAUCUAUAUCUCCUUGCAAUAUCAUUUGUGAAAAUUGAUGCUUGUUUGUUUCAAUUAUAAGAAAUAUUAAGUGGAUGUGAUUCUUACUUAUGUUAUUUAUGGUAGUCUCGUAAUUUUCUAAGUAAGGAAAGAUUCCCAUCACCCAAGUUUCAAUUGGACUGAAUCUUGGAAUCAUGUGAUUUGUCACUUGUGAGCAGUUGGAAGUAUGUAAGGAAUGGACUGCACUGACAUUAUUAUGAUUAGAUGUGAUUCUAUUAAUAAUGAGUUCUCGUAUGGCAAAUAUGGAAUUGUUUCCAUAUAUGGGAGUUGGAUAUUAAGAAUCUAUGUCUAGAUUAGAAACUUUUAUGCAAGAAGGAUGUUCAAAGGAAUGUACUUUGAAUGUAAGACUUUAUAUCUAUGGAAUUGUCUUGCAACAAUCUCUAAUAGAGGACCUUGUAAUUUCAUUGGCAAAGUCUUUGUAACAUUGGCGCUAGGACAUUACGAAAGGAUCGUUGCAUAAAAGGUUAGAAUAUAACAUAAUCUAUAAGUGGCAAGAAUUUUGGUAUUCUUAUACUUGUGGUAAGGAUUAGGAACUGUGAAAUCAAUAUCAUUGGAAAUGUAUUCAUUUGAUUUAUUUCACAAAGUAAGGACCAUAUGUAAACAUAGUGUGCAUGCUAAGAGCAUCGGACAACUGUUGUUAUAAUUCAAGUAAUAAGUUGAUUAACCGAAACAUUAUACAAUGAAUAAUGUGUAAUCAAUAUGGUGAGUAAAUAAAAGGAGUUUUAUUUCUACUCAAACAUUUGGGGCCAUAUUGGAUUCGAUUAUUAUUUUGUUUCACUUUGCAUGUUUUGACUUCCUGAAUAACAAGAUUAUUCGAACAUUCCACAGUCGCUCAUACUUUGGGAGUAUGUAUGAAAGAAGAUUGUCAUUGUCACACCCCAAAACCGAUAACGGCGGAAUACGUUUCGGGGUGGAGGACGUCAUGUACAGUAUUAUCACAAUUGCGUAAUAGUAAAAACAAGAAACAUACAACCAUUUCAUUACAUAGUGAGUUUAAUUACAAGUAUGUUUUGUAAUGUUUAGCAAACACCAAAAGUAAUACAAAAAUAAGAGAUGGAUCUUGUAUGCUCCACCUUCUCCAAAAUGCUGCACCUGUACCUGUCUAUCUUUGACCUGAGGAUACAAGUUAUUUUGAAAACGAGUAUCAGCAUAAAGCUGGUGACUUCAUAAGAGUUUAGUGUGAGUUUUUGUAUAAAAAGGCAUUAGAACCGAUAGUAUGAAAAGCUGCAAUUUACAUUCUUAAGUAGUAGAAAAACCUAGAAAAUCCUAUAUCUUCCAGAAAUAUAUUGUGAAUGAAAACCUUUAAGAAACAUGAAAUUUUCAUCUUUGAAAUCUAUUUAUUGUAAAAGUAUAAUAUUAAAUCUCCAAUAAGUAAUGCAAUAUGAUACUUUAUGCCUGAAGUCAAUAAUAGUGGUGCAAACUUCCUUUAGUGUUAGAUUCUUGAUUACUUCGGGAUAUUAACUUAACUUUUAGUUUAGUAUUUUAGUGUGGUUUUAGUGUAUUUCUUGUAUGUUACCGAUAGCGUGAGAAGUAGAGGACCCCAUGACCUUCCCGGUCAUGCACAGUGUGAUGAAGUAGUGGCAUCCCUGGACCUUUAUGGCUCGGACUGAAGUUAACAGUCAGGAUGUAAUAGCGUCUGCCCCGUAUAGAUCUAUACAAGUAGCGUCGUCUUCUUGUCGGAAAACUCUGGGCGUAGUGCGUAGCGAAUAGAGAAUCUCGUAGUGAGUUAGUGUAUUAUCUCCUGAUUAGUGCCUUCUCUUGUAUUAUAGUGUAGUAGUCUUUGGUAUAACUUGUAGUGUGUUCUCGUAUUAGUGUAUAGUAUCAUAAUAGAGUGUAUUAUAGUGUGUAGAGUAGUAGCUACAGCGAGAAAUAGUGACCUUCACUAUACCUAUUAUAGCUAACUUAGUGUGUAUGAUUCUUGUCAAUUUAGUGGUUUAAACAUCGAAUGAAAUGAAAAUACUCGUAUCCAACACUAAGAUAUAUGAUAUAUAACUAAGAAAUCAACGACAGUCGGACGGAUAACAACUACCCUAAGCCCACAAUCAAACAAGAACAGGAAAUAAGGCGAGCUAUCGGUCCUAAGUCGUUCAAGUCUUACUUAUAUAAAUAUAUUGGCAUGGUUACAUUUUAUAUGGGAUUUAUUUAAUAAAAAUCUUGUCACAAGGGAACAUUUAGAAAAUUGAUCUUUUAUUCAAAAUAGUUUUGAAAACAAAAUUCCUUUUUAUAAAACAUAGUGGUAAAUCACAUGUGAUUUGAACUACGGAUAGUGAAUCACAUGUGAUUAAUUUCCGUAACAUGAUUAAUUGACUUGUAUGAAUUUCCAUAUACAUGUAUAGUUGACUUGUAUCGCCCCCUAAAACAUAUAAAACAUUUGAAAGGUUCAUUAAAGGGGUAUGAACUCACCUGAAAUCGCGUAAAUUGGGUAAAUCAGGUGAAAGUGUCGGUUGAGCGUUUUGUACCAAAUAACGACUUGUGCACCUUUUAGGACCCUAAUGUCAUAUGAAAUAUGUAUUUUAUAAGAAAUUAAUGAUUUUAUGCUUUUCAUUAAACUAUUUAGGCAUUCUAGCAUCGAUUCGGGGUUUUAGGGCUUAGAAGGGGUUCCCGGGAGUAGUACAAGGCCAAGAGGGGAUUGUAGGGGAGUCCAUGAGUUCACUCCCUGGGAGUUUUCGGACCAAAGGCCACUCCUCGGGAGUUUACGGCCGUAAGCCCCCUAGGCUUGGCCGUAAACUCAUGUCUUUCACCCAAAAUGCAAAGUUAGGCCUUUAUAUCAUUUCCCCAUUUUCUAGCAAGUUCUUAGGACCAAUUUGGAGGGUUAAACCCCUCAUUUUGUGGUAUUUUGGGGAUUUUACGGUUCUAGCUUAGGCUUGGGCCGUAAACUCCAUUUUGUUCUUCAAAAUGAAAUGUUAAAUGGUCCAAUACACUUCCUUACACCUUAGAUUAAUUUUUGAAGACCUUAGGUGGGGUUUUGGGGACUUUUUGGCAUGAUUAUUGGGUGUUUACGGCCCAAGCUUAGUCUUGGCCGUAAACUCCUCUUUUUGUCUCUAAAUUGUGUUGUUUAAUGGCCUUAAGCAUUUCCUAUGGUCAUAUCAAAUUUUCAACAUGCCUUAGAUAAAUUUUUUGGGCUAUUUGGCAUAGAGUUUUGGUGUUUACGGCCUAAGCAUGAGCUUGGGCUGUAAACUCCCUUUUAGGUCCCCAAAAUUUGUGUUUUCAUGUCCCAACUCACCUAGGUUAUUUCCUUAAUUAUUGUACAAGCUUAUAGGAAGGAAAAAUGGGGCUUUUGGCCAAGUUUUAGGUGUUUACGGCCUAAGGGGCUUCCUAGGCCGUAAACUCCCUUUAUUCCCCUAAAUCCUAUGAUUUUUUUGGCCUCUAAAUACAAUGAAAUACGUUUAGAAUAAGAUAGGGAAGAAAUCCUUACGUUUGGAAGCCGGAAUUCGCGGUUUUGGAGUCGGGUUCGGGUCUAGAGAGAGAAAGUAGUGAGAGAGAGAGUGAAUGAGUGGUAAAAGGGUUUAAAAGUGGUGUUCAUUUGCUUAUAUAUGUCUCGGGUAUUGCACCCGGUACACGGCUACCGGAUGCUAAAGUUUAACGGGGUCAAAUCUUUUUACCUGGGUGAAGUGGUUAAAAGUAAUAUUGCUUUGUUUGGUUAAACGGGGUUUAACACUUAGAAGUUAUAAUUACUUAUGAUAAUAUCAAGAAAUAUAAAUAACCAGAUAUUUACUUAUUGACGACCGCAAACAUGACGGAAAAAUAAUAUAUAACGACGAAUUCCGUUAGAGAAGACGGGAUUUUGUAACGGAAACAAAUUUUGGUUGUCAUAGUCAUGAAUUGGUUUGUAGAUUGUCUAAAGUGUAUUAGACAUAACAAAGGUUUGCUGCAAUAUUCAUGAGUGCUUAUGAAAAUGAUCUAAGCAUUGGAUUAAACCCACGAUCAGUUGAAUCACUUCAUGGGUUUUAUCACGAGUGAUUAGUGUGACGAUAAUAUAUUCCUGAAACCGAGACAUGUGAGUUGUAAUUUAAAAGUCGGUUGCACAUUGAAAAUUUGAAAACACACUAGUAACUUGGUGUUAUAAAACAUAUUGUUGCUUGUGAUUUGAUGAGUAAGUACAAAAGAGCAUUUGAGUCAAAGUUUAUCUUGUUCCUUUUACCCUAAGAGGGAUAAAAGCGAUAUAUGUGGGCCCCUUGAUGAUUUAAUGGUGACACCCUAAGCGCUUGGCCAAGCUAGGACUAAGUUGAUGUGUUCAGUUGUAGUAGUCUGUUGUCAGUCAUCAUAAAUCGAAAAUAGGGAAACAACACAUCGACUGAGAGAAUGAUUAUAAUCCAUGUCUCAUGCCUAUAUGAUAUCUAGAAUGGAGGAAUAUUAGAUCCCCUAUCUAAGGACAAGUCACUGACUAGGUCAGAGUUCGACAACGGUUUUGUUAGCUAAAAUUUGCUAAUCAAUUUUGAAGUUAUACUCACAACUAUAGUUAUUGGACUUAUCCAAGUGGGAGACUGUGGGAUUAGGUGUCUAAGCCCAUAACUAUAAUUGGUAUAUACUUGAAUUGAUAGUAGCAAUGUCCUUUUGGGUUAUCGUCGAACUUGGCUAUUGAAUAGGAUAGCUGUUGGAGAGAGAAGAAUGAUUUAUUAAUUUUUUACUUGGUUAAUAAAUUAAUUUGAAAUCAAGAUAAAUAAUUUAUUGAUGUAUAAUAGAUAUAAUAUAUUAAUUUGAAAUCAUAUUGUUUAAUUAAUAUUUAAUCAGAAAUUAAUUUGGAAUUAAUUUUAGGAUUAAAGGAAUUUAUUAAAACCACAGCGGCUAAAGGUGACAAUGUUCAAAAGUUAAGCAUUGAGCAUUAUAAAACCUCCCUUAGAGGUGGGGAACGAAAUAUAGAGUGUCCUAGAGUUUCCUUGGGUUCUAAGUGUGCCUUGGAAGCCUUAGGGAGGAAGUUAAGGGAUUAGGAUUAUCUAAGAUACACCUGCCUUAUCCUAAACCUUCCUUAUCACCUAUAUAAACCGCUAUACGGUUGGAUUUUGCCAAGGGACUCCAAGAAACGCUAAGUGCAGAAAUUUUCACUUCCCUUCUUUCUCUCUCUCUCUCUCUCCAUAGUAAUCCUUGGUUGCUAGGUUUGUUUGUGAGCCAAUAGAGGCGUGACACUUGUGGCGCUUGCUACCAAAGUUCAAGAUCUUUAAGGAUUUGAUUGUUAUUAGAAUAUAACAAUAAAGGUAUGUAUCCUAACCGUAAUUAUAUGUUAAUUUCGAAAAUUACAUGUCGCUCCUAGGGUUUUUAGUUUUUGUGUUCAAUGUUUGUAUGUAUAAUAGUGAAAACAUAGAUCCUCAUAUUAGGGUUACAUGCACACAUAGGAUUGUUUGCUAUUUAUAAAACCCAACACAUACUACCUUCUACAUCUAUCCGUACUUUCCUCUUGGUUUUCCAUGGGUUACCAAUGUGGUUUCCUGUUCAUGCAUACAGUUUGCAAUCAAAUGACUCGAGUCACUACUCUCAUCCUAGGCUUACCCUAGGAUAACCUCCAACCCACUCUCUGCCAUCAUCUGCUUAAGAAGCCCCUGUUAGCUCUCCCUAACUAGCUCAUAAAUACCAUUACAUAUUACUAAGACUAGAUAAUUCUUCGAACGAGAGGUCUCUCCCUACAACGGUUGGACUUAGACAAGAGUUGCACAAUAGGGAUAAAACUUAACUUCUGAAACUAUUUAGUUCUCAUAAUAUGUAACAUAUCAUAUUCAUUUACUAGUUAGUUAAAAGACAACAAUAACUCAUAUUAGCACAAAGCAAGUAGAAUUGGAGCAUUUAGUAACGAAAACCAGGCACAUCCUAAUCAGACUAUCAUAUCGCCAACUAAUCUGUACUAGCAUGCAGUUCAGUAAGCACAUACAGUAGGCACACAAGGCAUCCUUCCUAGAUCCUUAGCCCUAAUCUAGCAUGCAGUUCACGUAUUCACAAUCCAUAUCGUAACAUAACAUGUAUGGGUGUCUUAGGGACAACUUACUUGAGCUCGGCCGAUUGUACGCAUCACGCUCCUUGUUCUUUAUUAAAAGCACUUAAUUUUAAUUUUAGAAAAAAAAAUCAUAUUUCUUGUAAAAACCUUUCCUCGAUUUGAGUCCAGACACACCCGAGAGUGUGUUAGAAUCCCUCAAACUAGGGCUCUGAUACAACCUUGUAACAUCCCAAAAUUCAGAACAAAAAGUUUCAUUUUUAAUUGACUAGAUUAUAAAAACGGUAGUUUGAAACAUCAAUAGUGCCACUCAUAUCAUAAAUAAAACCAAUAAGUCAAUAACCAAAACAUGUCAUAUAAAAGUAAUAUCAUAGUACAGCUCCUAAAGUCUCAUAUGCGGAAAAUCAUAGUCUGAUGCGCUGCGAUCAUGCCGACUCCUUUCCUUUUGAAGAAGAAGUACCUGAAACCAAAACUGAAAAUCAUAAGCACGAAGCUUAAUGAGUUCCCCCAUCAUACCAAAUACCGUACAACAAACAUACUUCCAAACAUAUCUGGGUGUUGGCCUCCCCUUUGGUCUUUUCAACCAGAUAUGGCCGAGCAUAUCAGGGUGCUGGCCUCCCCAUUCAUCUAUUUAACCGGAUACUGUCGAGCAUAUCUGGGUGUUGGCUUCCCCUUUGUUCUAAUCAAUCGGAUAUUGCCAAGCAUAUUUGGGUGCUAGUGUCACACCCCGGCCUUCUGCGGAAACACCGGGUGAUGUAACGUCACUCUUCGUAUCACAGUUAUAUAACAUACAUUGAAUAGUUCUAAAGAAAAUACACACCUUUAUUGAUAAUUGAAAGUACAUUAUUGUUUUUCCUAGUACUUAUUACAUAAUAUCCGACUAUGGCAUACUUUUUAAUGAACAGAAAGAUAAUAGUAAAACUUCUCCUGUUCGAAUACAUACCAGCUUUUCAAGUUCCUGAAAACACAUGCAUUUUAAAAUACGUCAACACAAAGUUGGUGAGUCCACAGUUUUUGACUCCAUAAAAUAAUACAUUUUUACACAUUCAAAAGUAUAGUUUUGAAAGUAUCAUUUUGACUCUCCAAUAUUAGGUAUAAUAGUAUACUUAUCAUUUAAGUGUUAUACCUAAGCAUUUCUUAAUCUUAAGGUAUAAGUAGGGGAAAACUUAUACUUAACAUUAAUACUUGUAUACGACAAGGUAUAAUGUUUCUAUAAUUUGCUACCAUAAGCCUGUAACCGCUUCUAUGACAUAAUACCUCUGAUAGAACAAUACACUCAUGAUUUACCAUGAGAACAAAUACACUCAUGAUUUAACAUGAGAAACAACACCGUACGCUUCAUCGACACCAUAAUAAAAACAAAUAAAUGGAUAGUUCAUCACUUGUUUUUGGUUGUCUAUAGCUAACAGUCACAAGUGGGGUGGUCAGCCCGUAUACUAAUUAUAUACGAAAUCCUCGCUCACACGGGAUUAACGAUUAUAGUUCAGAGGAUUUCUACUAAGAUCCCCAAUCUCAGUUGAUGAAUACAAUUACUCAUGUAGACUUUGACGGCUUCCUAUAGCUCUGACAACAAAAGCAUCUUUAUGUCUAGAACCUUAAGUUACUAGACUAUGCUUUUAAACAUUAAUCCUAACUUCAUAAUAUUUAGGCAGUAUAUAACAGCUAUAUCUUGAAGUAAAAUCCAAGUUUUAUCUUGACCUAAAACAAAUAAUAACAACAUCAAACUUUUCUAGUUUUAUCAUGACAUAAAACUAAUAAUAGCAACAUACUUUGUAACUUAACAUAUAGACCUUCUGAAUAUAACUUCAGAACUAUAUCGCACACAACAUAUAUAUAGAAUCCUAAGUAUAACUCAUGAGCUACAUUAGUAUACUACUAUAAUAAUAACAUGCUAACAACUUUACGAUAGUUGUAUACUUUCAUAUACGAAAUAACUAUAUCAUUGUUAUUAUAGCUAUCUACGUUGAUAUUAAUAUACUAUUAUAUAGACAUAAUAAUAAAGUAUAUAUAUUAUUUGGCAUGCGUUUUUCCCCGAAAUAUUAGAAUGUGGGGCCGUGAAACUCACCCUGGUAGCGUGAUUUUAUGUUAUCUAAGCAAAACGGUCAGCGUGCGAGAUCGUCGGGGCUCGCGAUGCAAGAUGGCCUCAGCAAAGGAGAGAAACGGAAGAAGUUUUGGUGUAAGAAUAUCUGAAGUCGGACCUGCUAUUUAUAGUAGGGAUUUUGGACACCCACAUCGUGGGUUUUUGGACCCCCAUGUUGUGACUUAGGAUCUUAUCCUCGUAGACUUGCCAUUUGCGUUCCUAGCUUCGGAAGGUGUCACAAUUCCAGUUUCACGUCGUGAGUUUGGAUUCUAUCCCCUUGCAGCCUCGUCACACCUUCUAGAUUCCGAUAUAUGGAUAAAUGACUGCUCACGUCGUCAGUGUCAUAAACCUCACGUUGUGAAUUUAGUCAGCUUAGGGUUUCUGAAUGCUGAAUCUCCGGAAGGCCAUAACUUUUGCAUACGAACUCCGUUUUUGACGUUCUUUAUAUGCACGCGUAGGUAUUUAUGAGUACUACAACUCUAUUUUAGACUUAAAUAGCUAAAUCUAAGUGUAUUUUAAAUUCCUCUUACUAUAUAGAUUUAUAGUGUUUGAUUUAUCAUAACUUCUUCACGCGAAGUCAGAUUCAGACGUUCUCUAUAUUUUUGGAAUCGUAUGGAUGUAUAUUUUGAGUUGUAUUAUAAAGAAGAUUCAUAUUUGUAUUAGAAUUUAUCACGAACUACAUAACACGCUUACCAUAUUACUAGGUUAACAUAAUCACAUUACAUGAUUGGCAUAAUCACAUGUGAUUGUCUAUUGACCUAUUUUGACUGGUGUUACAUUCUCCCCCCGUUAGAAAAAUUUCGCCCCGAAAUUUAUCUUGUGGAUAGGGUUUUGUUAAAUACUUGGGGGUAUUUUUCUUUCAUCUGAUCUUCACAUUCCCAUGUAAAUUCAAGUCCUCGUAAAGAGUUACAUCGAACUUGCACUAUGGGAAUACGACUUUGCUUUAAUCGUUUGACUUCUUGAUCCAUGAUCUCGAUAGGUUCUUCUACAAAGUUGAGUUUGGUAUUGACUUGUAUCUCAUCGAGAUGUACCACAAGAGUGUCAUCAGAUAGACAUAUUUUGAUAUUUGAUACGUGAAAAACAUCGUGUACAUUACAUAGCUCUUGAGGCAACUUGAGUUGGUAUGCGACAGAACCAAUCUAGCUAGAAUUUCAAAAGGUCCUAUUGAUGGGUUUUAUACAAACAAUCCUAUGUGUACAUGCAACCCUAGCAUUGGACCUAUGCUUUCACUAUUAGAUACACAACGUUAUGAACACAUAAUAAAACCCUAAAGAUGAUUGCUAUUAUCGAAAUUAACCAAGAAGGAUAGAUAACAUACCUCUUGUUGUUAUAUAGUAAUAACAACUUAAAUCUUCAAACUCUAAGUCUUGAAAGCAAGCACCAAAAGUGUAGUGCCUCUAAUGGCUCACAAACACCAAGAGCAAAUGGAGAAGAUAUAGAGAGAGAAUAGGGAGAUAUAAAUCGGCCCUAUGAUCUCUUUAGGAGGCAUGGACGAAUUCAUGAGCCUUAGGGUCUUUAUAUAGGUGUAUAGAUUAGGGUUUCAGUCCUUAUCCUUAUCUAGUUGCCUGCCCACCAAGUAACAAUAAGAUAAGCCUUGAAAGCCCAUAUAUUUGGACGAUUUCAAGGAUACAAAUCCUUUACGAUUUCAUCCAACCCAUAUUAGGAUAAUCCUUACCCUACUUUGUAACUAUCACAUAAUUACAAUUCAGCCCCUCUAGUUUAAUUAAUAACACUUGAUCACAAAAUUAAUUCUUAAUUAAUUAUUGACCAAUAUUAAUUAAACAAAUAUGAUUUCUCCUUUAAUGUAUUAUUCUUAUAACAUAUUAAUAAAUCAUAAUAACCACUUUCUCUAUUAUAUCUCCAGUCAAGUUGCUUUCGUGAAGGCAACCCAAAAGGACCAUGCACAAUCGGGUCAAAUACUUACCGAUUAUGGUUACAGGCUUAGACACUAAUCGAACAGUCUCCCACCUGGAUAUGUCUAGUAACCACAAAUGCAAGUACAACUCAAUUAGCAAUCGUAGCUCUCAAAGACGCUAUUGAACUCUGAUCAUAUAAGUAACCUGUCCUUUAGAUAAGGGAUCGUAUAUUCCUCCAUUCAAGAUAUCGUAUAGACACGAGACAUGGAUUGAAAUCAUUGUCUCAGUAUAUGUGUUGUUUCUCGAUUUCCGAUUUACGACGACUGACUAAUUGAACAAAUCAAAUUAGUUGUAGCCCGACGAGCAUUUACGUUUGUCCUCACUAAAUCAUCGAGGGGCCCACAUAUAUCGCUUUUAUCCCACUUUGGGUAAAAGGAACGAAUAAACUUUGACUCAUUGUUUUCUUUCACUCACUCAACAAAACACACACAACAAUAAAUUUUAUAACACCAAGUUACUAGUGCAUUUACACAUUAUCUGUGACAACCCGAAAUUUCCAUUCUGAACAAACCAUAUCAAGCCAAUAGAUGUAGAACAGUUACAGUGAAAACUCGGAUUUCGAGUAUAAGUUUGGCAGUUUUCAGGAUUUUACACCUAAGGACAUAUUAGGAGAGUGGAUGGACUAAGGUUUUGUGCAACACUGUAAUUCCAAUACUCUAGGACAUUGGAGUUCAUUCCGAGAAUAGAAAUAUUUUAUACCAAAAAUCUCAGGACUAUAAAUAGAAUUCUGAACCAAAUUGGUUCAUUAAUUUAAUUCCAAUUAGAGAAAAGUCAAUAUUCUCUCUCACGGAUCUUCGGGUUUUCAUCCCAAAUCGUGAGUAUACUUCUCUAGUUGAUUAUAAUACUUGUUAUAAGCUUAUUAACAUAGAUUACAUGCCAAAUAUGUGAGAUCCGGGAGUUUACCGCCCAAGAACGUUCUUGGGGAGUAAACUCCAUUUUAAGGUCCUAAAGGGUUCCAACGACCCUCAAGGCUUUAGAACUCGAACUAGGAGCCUCCAAUUCAUGCCUUAUACCACAAAACAAUUAGGAUCCAUGACUAGAAGGGAGUUUACGACCAAGGAGCUUCUUAGGCCGUAAACUCCAUGUUUUAAGUGCCAAAGUGCUUUGAAACACUUCCUAAGGCUAAGAAUUAAAGUAGGACAAGUACCCUAAAGUGUUUAGAACCUAGAAAACAUAAGAAAUCACUAGUCUUGCGGAGUUUACGGCCAAGACAAGUUCUUGGGCCGUAAACACCUAUUUACGGGUCAAAUGACACCCUAACUCCUUCAUUAAGCCAAGAAACCAAUUUAGGCAUGUACCUAAAUGAGUUUUGGACUAGUUAACACACUUAGAACACCAAGAGUGAGGGAGUUUACGGCCCAAAAGGUUCUAUGGCCGUAAACUCCAUAAAAUGGUGCCAAAUGUACCAUAAACUCUUCUAAAGGCAAGUAGCAAAGCCUAUAUUUGUUCCUAGUUAAUUUAGAGACUUGAAUGCACCAUAUAAACCCUCCCAAGGGAGUUUACGGCCGUAAACUCCAAGGGAAUAUGGUCUAUGGGCCGUAAACUCCCCAAAGGAGUUCAUAUGGUACCCACACACUUGUAUAGCCUUGAAACAAUUCCCCACUAGACUUGUAGUAAUUCUAAGCUUCAGUUAGGGGCCUUAAGGAGAGUUUACGGCUAGGAGCUUACUCCCCUGUGCCGUAAACUCCAAAUCAUAUGGUCAUUUGACCAUAAACUUCCAUUAGGGGCAUUGCACUCCUUUGUUGCAACCCAUUAGCCUCCUAGCACUUGACCAAAAGUGUUUUCCUCGCGCUUAAAUGUUAUUACUUGUAUAAUUAGUGUUAUAAUCACUAAUUUUUUAUAUACAUAUGUUUUCAUAUGUAAUUAGGAUCAUUGUGUGUGUCUAAGUCUUCACUUGACACCAAGCACUUGUCCGAUCCUUCCGUACGAUAACAGUCCGUUCAAUUCCAGUCACUUACUGCAGGUGACUUCAUACCCAUUAACCAAUGAUUUAAAUGUUUUUAGAUGCUUUAGGGGGGGGGGAAUACAAGUCAAUUACUUAUAGUUAUUACAUCAAUCACAUGUGAUUAAUAACUACAAAACCAGUGAUUUCCUUAUUGUUCAAAUUGUUUGUCAAGCUGUUUUGCUUCAAACUAUUUUACAAAGUUCUGAUACUUAUCAAAUACAUUUGUUUAAACUCCGUUUUCCUUAUUAUCAAUUGCAUGUCUAGGUAUGUAUAGUUAUAUAAGCAAUGUUUAAAAAGCUUAGGAAGGCCUGCCCGCCCUAUUUCCUUUUCACGCUUGAGAUGUGGUCUGGUGGGAUAUCGGGUACCCAUCCGAAGGUCGUUUAAAUAUUAGUUAUAUAUCAUGUGUACAUAUAUAGUCAUAAAAAGUCCUUCCAGUUCAUUCGAUACCCUUGGGUAGCGAGGGUAUACUCCCAUGUUCAUACGUACCAGUACAUCACCAGUAAGUUACCAUAGGGGUAGCACAAGAAGAGUCUAUUAUUACUAGAACGAUGAAACAUACAAUGAGUCAGUUCAUUCAUGAGUCAAUACUUGCUAGAUAGAGAGAGAACAUUCGUUACAGCUAGCACACGCAGAACAUUACAGUACAUUACUAUACUAUUACUUAGAUAUGUUUUACAUGAUUACACUUACAUGAGUACGUUUACACAUAUUCGUUUACAUGAGUACGUUUACACAUAUUCGUUUACAUGAGUGCGAUUACAUACACUUUGAUAGGACAUACAUCAUUAGGUGCUAUAGCAUAGGAACAAGUUAAGGAUCUAACUAUACCGAUGAAUCACAACGCAUUGUGGUAGUUAUAUCGGGUAUACAUGAUCAUAGUAAUGUGGAUGUUCACGGUUUGAAUACAGGCAAGCAUCGUGUAAAGGUCCCAAAAUCCCUUUGACAGGGGAGCGUUUAGCCUGUGAUCUAGCCAUCACAUUAGGCCUUAUCCCUCAAAUAAGGCAAUAGGAGUACUAAGGUAGUCACUUAUUACAAAUACUACGGUACUUAUAAAAGUUACCCUAGACUUAAGGUAAUUAGUAUGGUUGUAGUACGACACUACACCAUAGUACUAUUUCAUUUUUCCCACUUACAUUCACUUCGUGAAUUUUCACACGAUGCACGGUAAUGUAGAAUCUAUAUUUUUGGUAAAUGAUAGUACGAAGUGGGGAAAACACACACUCUCUCAAGAGACAUGCGCACAGACACUAGAUCCCUUGGUAGAAGGCUACAGUUAGUAGAAAACGUAGGGUUUUCUAGGAGAGUUCAAACAUUACACAAAAACAUCUUGCAGAAACAUCUUACUAAUGUUUUCAUACAAACUCAGACAUUAAUAUACUUAUGAUCUCACUAGCAUUAAGCUGAUACUUGCUUUCAAAAUAACUUGUAUUCUUAGGUCACUACUAGACAGGUACAGCUGCCAGGUUUUUGAGAAGAUGGAGUUCGUUCAAGACUCAUCUUAUUAUUUUGAUAUGUAUAUUUUGGUGUCAAUAACUUUGACAAGAACACACAUGUAUGAAAUUAUUUUAUUAAUGCAAUGGAUGAUGUUGUUGCUUGUUUAAUAUUAUUCAUUGUUUGUGAUACUGUACAUGACGUCCUCUGCCCCGGAACGUUUCUGUCGUUCGUGGUUUUGGGGUGUGACAUUAUCAAUGUGCAACCGAUUCGCAAGAUACAACUUACACAUCUCGGUUUCAAGAAUACAAGAUAUUAUCGUCUCACUAAUCACUCGUGAUAAAAUCCAUGAAGCGAUCCAAGUGAGCGUGGGUUUAAUCCAGUGCUCAAAAUCAUAUUCAUCAGCACUCAUGGACGUUUGCUAUGUGCAAUACACUUUAGACAAUCUACAAACCAAUUCAUGACAGUCUUCAUUCAUACCUACUUCCAAUGUAUAACCGACUGUGGUCCUUCUGAAUACUUCGAUUAUUCUUAAUAAACUCAAUUAUUCUAGAAGUCAAAACAUGCAAAGAGAAACACAAUGAUAAUACUUAAUCUUAUAUGGCCCCAAACUUGUGAGUAUAAAUAAAACACCUUUAUUUAAUCAUCAUAUUGAUUACUCAUUAUCCAUUGUUUAAUGUUUCAGAUAAUCAACUUUAUAACUCGAAUCAUAACCACAAUUGUCCCAUGCUCCAAGCGUGCACACUGUGGUUUCCUAUGGUCUAUACUUUGUGAAAUGGAUCAAGUGAACACAUUUUCAAUCAUUCUCAUUUCACAAACCCCAAUUCUUAGCGUAAGUACAAGAAUAUCAAAUUCUUGUCACUUAUAGAAUAUGUCAAAUUCUAAUAUUUUAUGCAAUAAUUGUCACACCCCGCGAAAGCGGAAACACGAUGCGUGGCAAUAUAAAGGGUUUCAUAGCAAAAGUUAAAAGACAACACCAACCAUAGUAUUAAAAAUCAUUAAAAAUUUACAAUGGGUUUGAACAACUUUUAAAAGAAAUUACAAUGAAAACUGAAAUACAACACAUGCGAAUGCCCCUAAAAGUGAUGUAUCCCUAAGUGCCACCUACUUGAUGAUUCAUGAAAAAGCAUGUAAAACGAGCGUCAACUAUAAAAAUUGUUGGUGAGUACUCACAGAUGAACAAAAUAAUAUUGGUUCCAUGAAUUGAAAUCAAUGUUUUGAUAAAGUUUCCAAUAAUAAAAGUAUAUUGUUAAAUUGAGAAAAUAAGUUUGUACAAAAACAAAGUUCUUUGUCAUCAUGAGAGAUAAAGUAUGUUGCCCAAAUGAGAUGCAACGUUCAAAUUCUUAUGGAAGAUAAAGUUCGUUACUCAAACGAGUAAACAAGUUUCAUUUCUUAAAUGAGCUGUCAGUUUCGUUGAUACAAGGAGCAAACAAUUUCAUUGCUAAAACAUGUAUAUAAGUUUCCAGUAGUAAAAGUUCGUUGUUGUAAUGAGAAAUAGAGUUCAUUGCUAUAAUGAGAAACAAAGUUCAUUGCUAUAAUGAGAAACAAGGUUGAUUGCUAUAUUUGCUAAACGAGUUUAUCGCCAAAUAAAUAACAAGUUUAUUGCUAUAAUGAUUAACGAGUUUGUAUGUGUAUGAGCAAACAAUGAGUUCUCCACCAAACCUAUGACUGAAGCCCUAUCAUGAUCUAUGUUUAUCGUUCCAUAGAUGAAUAUGGUAUCAUGCACUCCAGCAAUAGGGCGAGUGAGAAGUUGUCAAUUCCUAAUAGCGCUAUCCAUAAUGACCAUUGGUUCAAAGAGUUAAUGGUUAGAGAUAAGGGAAGGGCCUUAAUACGAAAGUUCUCAUNGCAUAGACAUACAUAGAGAGAUAUAGCAAUAAAAUAGCAAUCAUGUUUGAUACAAAUCAAUUUAGAUACAACAUUCAAAUAAUAGUUUUUCGGGACAUGCUUUUCCACCCCAAAACAUAAAAAAAAACCGAAAAUAGGGGAGUACAUGAAUACUCCCAAUAUGCAAAAUAAUGUAAUCAAUUUUAUACGAGUCAAAUAAUUACAACGAAUAUAAAUAGUUUACGACAUGCUUUUCCACCACAAAACAUUUAAAAAUCGAAAAAUAGGGGAUUGGUGAAUACUCACAAUAUGCAUUGAGAUGAUGUAAAUGGUGCCUUGACUACGCUCCACUCGUACCACUAUCGAUUUCUACAAUAAUGGUAUUCGCUAGUGAGUCUCAAAUUGAAAUCUAACACUAGUAUACUUACUACUACAAUAGAAUUAUGCCAAUAGUGUGCCAAAAUUUAAUAUUGAUAAGUUAUAAAUAUUUUUCUGUGAAAAUUUAAUUUCAAUGAAUCAAUUGUUAUAUACAAAUUUAAGUGGAAAUUUCCCAUUAUUGAAAUGCUAAUAUUUAUCAUUUUAAGAGGUGUUCCAAUGAUUAAAUAUUCAAAAACUAAAUCAAUUUAGUUCUAAAAUUUCCCAAACUUUGCAUUUCAGUUUUAAAUUGAAGUCAAAGACCUUAAGAUAAAUUUUCUUGAACUUUUGAUUUGUCUAACUAUUUUUCACCAUUUUAGUUUCUUGAAUAACCAUAAAAUCAUGAAAAUUACUAAAAAGUUAAUAAAAAUUACCAAACUUCAUAUUUUGGUUCUAAAUGUAUUAAAAGACUUCUAGAUAAAUUUUCAUGGAUUAUGGAUAUGCAUAACCAUUUUUCAUAUAUUUAAUUCUCUAAAUAUAUAGAAAUUCAUGAAAAAUAGACAUCAGUGAAGAAAAUGCCCCAAACUAUUUAACCCAUUUUUAUGAUUUUUGAUCAUUUAUUUUAAUAAAAAUUGAAAUAAAUAGAAAAUAGUUUCCAAAAUUGCCAAAAAUUUUUGUAACACUGUUAUUAGUCAUUACUAAGCUAGGAAAAAUAUAAAAAUGAAUUUCUUAACUAUUUAUCCCGAUUUUAUGAUUUUUGUGUAUUUAUUCUAAUAAAAAUUGAGUUUAAGUGUAUUUAAUCUUGGGAAAAUAGAAGAAAAAUAGUAUAUAGAAAAGAAAAAUCAUCAAAAUCUUUAUGUAGGAUCCUCAUGUGCUAAAAGGUGUUCUGGUAAAUUUUCAUAAUUCUUGGAUGAGUAAAACAGCUUUUCCUGUUUUUAGUCCAUUAUAAUUACAAAAAUCGGAGAAAAAUAGGAAUACAUUAUGAAAAAUUCUGGAAAUAUUUUUCUAAGUCUUCCACAGAGUUUAUAAGCUGUGAAAAUUGGUAUGUAUCAUUUUCACAUUCUAUAAGGUGUUUUUAUGAUUUAUUGGAUUCAAACAAAAAGAAAAUUCAAAACCAUGUUAAACCAUAACAAAAAUCGAUGAAAUUUAAUGUGAAGUCAUUAGAUUUAUUGCCCUAUAUGAUUUAUUGCCCUAUUUUCUUUCAUUAAUUAUAGUAAUUCGAGAUAAAUGCAUUAUCUUCUGGAAAUUUACAGAGCAUCUUAUUUCGUUGAUGGGAAUCUGGGAAAAAUCGGAUUUGGUCAAAAAAUGAGUUUUAGAUAUUUAUUUGGAAUUAAAUCAUUCAUGAACAUAUUUGAAAGCUUUUAACAACAAACUUUGAUCAUCAAGAAUCUAUGCUUGAAGAUCAUCACAUGCAUGUUGGCUUGAAUGUCAUUAAUGAGUUUCAUAUGCUCAGAAAUCGUUUUUGAUAGAAAACGUAGGGUGCAUGUGGUGUUUUUCCACCAAAACAUGUAAAAAAGUGCAUUUCCUUGAUUUUGACUUAGGUUUAGGUUCUUGGAUUUCACCAUUUACAACAUGCAUGUUGUUUUUCGGUGAAAUCCUACCACCAUCAUCAUCAAAACCGUGAGUAGGUGCAAGUGCUCAUGAUUUUACAAUAGAAUGGGGUAGAAGAUGGAGAAAAUCCAUGAAAAACAAGUAAAACUUGAAGGAAAAGAGAAGGGGAAUGAACAAUUUUCGGGUUUACCUUUAAGAAUAACAUCAAAUGUUGAGGUCUUUUUAGUAGAAAUGGAUGAACUUUUCUGAGAUUUUCGUGAGUUUAGAGGGAGAAUGAAGAGAGAAUUCAAUGUAUGAUUGUAGAGUGUGUGAGAGAGAAUGAAGAGGUGAAGAGUGUGGAGAAGAGAGAAAUGACUAUGUGUUUUGGGAAGAGGAGGAGGGGCUUGGGAGAGGGGAGGCCGAGAUUUUGGGUGAGAGCGGCUCCCUCUCUCUUGUUUCUUUUAUAAAAAUUUAAAUAUUUUAUAAAAAUAUCAAACCUUUUAUAAAGUAUACACUAAAAUCAAGUUUUUAUUCAUAAAACCUUUAUUUUUGAUUUAUAGAUUAAGGGUAAUGUUAACGAGUUAAAUUUUAUUUGCCUUGAAUAUAUUAUACUAAUUCUAAUUAUUAGAAGAUAAUAUUACAAGGCUUAUAACUUUUUAUAGAAUUUUUAAAGUUAAAGUUUGUAAAUAUGAGUUAUUAGGGCAUUUAGGGUUUUUGAGAGUUUGUAAAUCUUUGGAUAUCAAAAUUACUUGAAUUUUGUGACUUCAAACUAUUUUAGAGUUUCAUAACUCUUAUUCAAAUUAGAAAUAUUGUUUGUAAUUUAUUUUUAUUGGUUUAUUGGCAUUCUAUAUAGUGAUUCUGAGAUUCAAAUGAAAUUGAGGAAUCAAGUAUACUAGUCCUAGUUUCAACUUUGACUUAAGUUUCUAUAAGACUCUGACCUAACUUUUACUUCUAGGUCAAGUGCAUGAUGUGUGUAUAUGAUUCAUGAAUCAUAUACACACAUCCAUUGUAUCUAUCUGUUUCCAAGAUUCUACUAGGUCAUAACUUAGCUUCUCGUUACUAAGUCUAGUAUAUGUAGUGCCUAUAUGUGCAACUAAGUCUAGUCAAAUCUAGAACCAACUCGAAUUUUGACGGUUGUCACAAUAAUCCUCUCGUGAAGUCACGACACAAAAUCACAAACACUCGGCCAUCAAAGUCACAAGGUACUCUAUCAAAAUAGUUACAGAACAAUUCCAUAGAUGCGAUGUCUCUCACUGAAAGUACAUUCCUUGAACAUCCUUUUGCGUAAACUCUUCUAAUCUAGACAUAAACUCUUAAUUUCCAACUCCUAAUUAUGGAAACAUUUCCAUAUUUACCAUAUGACAACUCCUUCUUAAUAGAAUCUUAUCUAUUCAUAAUAAUGUCGAUGUGGUCCAUUCAAUGCCAUACUUCCUUCCAUCUACUUACAAGCGACCAAUCCUCAGCGAAUUUUGGAUUAUCCUUUGACAGUUGCUUAAUUAUCUUAGUCAAAACCGAUUCUUGUCCUUUUUCCCUCUUAAUCCAUUAGACAUUUGGAAAAUUUUAGAAUGGUCAAAUAUUAUAGCAUUUGCAAUCGAUAUUAUACCUGAAGCGUAUGGGACACGAUGCAUAAUGUCUUACAUAAAGAUACGAUACUCUAUCAAUCUUCUGCCAUAAUAUUUUAUGUGUCACGUUCUUACAAUUCGAUCUAUGAGGAGGGAUACCGUAAUCAUAAUCAAAAUUUAAGUACACACUAUGUAUCCUUUGACUAAAUUUAUUAAAAUUUCUCAAUCUAAGAUUUAGAUUUUGAAACGAAGUACAAUAUUCUCUCCCUUAAUUAUAGCAAAACAACUUUUCAACCUUUACGACAAUGCAAAGUACAACGCUUGUUUUCUAUAAUUAAUAUUGCUAACUUGCAAUACUUACCAUAAUAAUCAUUCUCCCACUUACAUGAUGAUUAUUUCUUUACUAGCAUAACACUUAUGCUCCCACUAGCUUUGACAUGUAUUCAGAAAUCAGCUGAACUUUUAGAAAACAAUUUCUUAAGUUCAUAUUUCUAAUACUAGAUGCUUCGAUAAGACUUUAUCUAAGCUUCUCAAACUUAUACACUUUUCCUUGGACAACUUGUAUAUGUCUAAACGAUUCUAGGACUCAUAUUAAUAAGUCUAAGAUGCUCAGAACCAUUUGCCAUUUCCCACAAUUCUAACUAUGAAGAGGUAUGCCGUAAUCAAAGUUGAAUUUGAGAAACCCAAAUCACAUAAUUCCAUCUUCAAAAUCUCUCAUAGUGAAAGCGUUUCCUCACAAUCAUUCUUAUGAAUGAAACAAACCUUAUGACACUUAGAUUUUGUGGUGUAUUCGUUCUCAUCCAUGUGAAUUUGUCGUACCCCUAAUCACAAGAUAAUGUUAGUGACAAAUCCAAACUCUUAUGGAUAGAACUAGUUCAUCUUAAUUUCUUGCCAUCAAGGGUCCCACCAUUGCUUCCAAGUUAUUGAGCAGCCCACCCCUUCAUUUCAAUGUACUUUCCAUUGAACAAAGUGUCUUGCCCCUAUACGAUCCAUUGAGAACUCGUUGAGCUCGCAUAUACAGAAAACUCAAUUGGAAUGGCACAGAAAACAAAAUAGUGUCAACAUGAUAGGUUGUUAACCUCAAGUGGUGUGCUAGUGAUGAUUGAUAAGGUUUAUUCUUGAUUUGUUCUUGAAACCUUUCAAGACCAUUAAGACUCCCACUGACUCCUUGACAUAUAAGAUUCCCUUGUGAAGAAACAUUUCUCGACAAACAAAUAUUCAAGAGUUAGUGUAGCUUUUAUCAAGACAAAACUCUUCACAUAAUUGGUCCUAGUUGGUCUUUGUCUUGUCCAAGACAUCACAACUUACCAAUUUCAAAUGUGCAAGAAUAAGAAAACCCCUUUUUCCAAAUUCCACAUUUGAUGAAUGUUAUAAACCUUCUUAAGACUUGUUAUCGGAACGAAGUAUGAUUGACUUUUUGAUUUAACCAUUUCCACAAUUCUCGAUUCUUCUUCUGAGAUAUACUAAGAUUCACUUGAGAUAUGGUUCUUAAUCAUUAAGAUCUAUCAUAAAACAUAAUUAAAGGUACUCUCCCUUCUUCAUAGAAUAGAGAAACUAUUAUCUUUCUUCCUACUUGAUUCUUUUUAUUCGUUUUGCUAUUGAUUGAUACUCUUUUAAUCAACCCAGAAUUAUACUCAAUUUUAUAUGUAUGACCAUAUUCACUAAACUUUAGUAAAUCAUGACGAAUAUCUUUGUUACUCUUGUGGUAGACUUGAUCAAUGUACGACCUAGUGUACUCGAUCUCUUAGUCCCUAAUUUCACACUUUGUCCAAAUUAGUCUAAAUUUCCCAAAUGUGAAAGUUUUUCAUUCAUCAUACAAUGCUUGUUGCACGAUUCCAAGUUCCUAUCCACUUGAAACUUGGGUGAUGAGAAACUCUCCCUAUUUGGUAAACUCUUGACACUUCCACAAAUAACCUAAUUGAGAAUCAAAUCCAUUUUUCUAAUAAUAGAAGUACACAAACAUCAAUUUUUCACAUAUGCCAUUGUAAGGAUAAACAAAUAAGAUAAAAUCCAAAAUUUAUUUUAUUCAUCAAAGCAGCGGAAAACAUGUCCUUACAAUGCAAAAUUCAAAUGAAAAAUCUAUGUAUUCAAAUACUCCUAACAAAGCUAUCAUAACUUCCUAAGCUCAAAAUCUGAUCAUUGAAUCCAUGCGAUCGUAAUACAUUUCUUCGUGAUCAGACUCAUCUUGCUUUUCCAUCAAACUUCCUCUCAUUUCUCUAAUCCUACAAAACAUUCAAAUGUAAUCUUAUCACAUUAUGCAUAGAGAAUAGGAAUUUAAUGGAGUUAGAUAGUGGAUUUUAUACCUGAAGUGGAGCCAUACAUCUUGACUCUCCCAUUUCUUAGACUCUCCAGUUCCUUUGGGCAGCUUCAUAUCCAUUUCCCUUUCCCUUGGCAGCAGAAACAUGUGGCCUCUCCUAGAGCGUCCAUGGAAGCAUGGUUGGUUGAUUGACUAGACAAAUAUGCUCCAUUACAUCGCCAAAUCAUUUCUGAUUCAACAGCAACAAGCAUGUAAGUUAAGUCAAUGAGGGGCACGCCAAGAUCCAUCAUGUAAUACUCUCUUUUGAACUUAUCAUAUGAUUUAGGGAGUGACUGAAGAACCCAGUCCACAGCCAAUUUAUUGGGAAAAGACGCACCCAACAUAAUCAACCUAUCAAUGUGUGAUUUCAUCCCUAAGACGUGAUCACACACGGGUUUACCAUCUUUAGGUUUCAUUGCCAAUAGGGUUUUGGUGAUCUUGAACCUUUCAGAUCUUCGUUCUUGUGGGUUGGGGAGAACAAUGGGAGGAGGAGGAGGGAGUGAAAUCAAGCUAGUCCACAUUGAUUCUUCACUUUGGAACAAGCUUUUACUUUCAACAGGAACACCUUUUCCUUGGGACUCGGGAAGACCAUGGUUAGAGUUUCAAGUUAGUUUAUUGAAUCCUUAAUGAAACACCCAAAUGAGACAUUAAGUUAGUUUAUUGAAUCCUUAAUGAAACACCCAAAUGAGACAUUAAGGCUAGGAUCCAACAACAUUAUUUACACAUUAGAAAAGGGAUGCCGUAAUCCAACAUGCAAAUAAUUUGGAUGUAAGUGAAUGACGAUUCACUAAUUCUUCACCAUGAAAAACAUGAAGGCUUAAGUUUUAAAUCUAUUAAGAAUUCCUAGAUUUCCUUUUAUAUUGAUUGAACUUUUCAAUGGCAUGUAUAAAUCUCAAUAUGCCCCUCUCGUUUGUGACUGGGAUGCCGAGGGUCACAAAGUGGGUGUGAAUAACCAUGAAAAUAUACAUGGUGCCCUCAUUGUUACAGUCGCCUAUUCGAUGUGCAGGUUAACCACACACGCUCCAUCAAACUAUGAAAAACAUUGAGUCACCCUUUUCCACCUUUGCUUAGAACCAGUUAGUGUUCCAGUUAACCACACACGCUCCACUAACUUCUUAGCAAGGGUGCAAAGAGUAAUUUCAUGGGAUUGCAUCAGUUUCACUUUUGCCUAAAGUAACUAGGAUUGGGAAUUUGUAAAAGCGUUUAGUUACUUUACAUAGAUUCAUUAUACUUAUUAAUGAAGAGAGGAUUGCCCUAUCCUACCCGUUCGGCUAACGAACAUCCACCAAUCAAGGAAGCGGUGGGUAAGAGUGGAUACCCAUUAAACGGCCAUUUGAUAGGCCAUAACCUUAUACCCCCCUUUUAGNCCCCCUUAUAGACCGACUUCGUGAAGGAGGCCUACUAACGGUAAGAAUAGCUUUUCAAUUAUACAUAUAUAAUAUUAAACUUUUAAUGUUAUACAUAGUAUAAGGGUGUAUUUUAGACUUUUAAAAUACUAGGUGGUUUAAGUUACACUUUUAAUUAACCAAUAUUAUUAUGGAUUUAUUAACUCUCUUUUAAUUAUACACUUAAUUAAUUUAAUAAAACCAUAAGGGUUUAAUAAGAACUUUUCAAAAUUAGGAUUUUAGAAUUUAGACUUUCAAAAUUAAACUUUUAAUCAACAAUUUAAAUUCCAAAACUUUCAGGGCAAGUUUUGAAACUUUUCAAAACAAUUUGAGUUUUAAUCUCUCUUAAAAUUUUCGAAUUUAUGACAUACAAAUUAAAAUUUUAAAUAUUUAAAACUCUUGAUUUAAUAAUUAUCUUGAAUUAAACUAUUAAUUUAAUUAUCAAAUCAUAAGCGAUUAUGUAAAUCAUGAGGAUAAUUACUAUUUAUACAUUUAAGAUAUUCUAAUCCCUUCAAUCCUUCUCUAAAUCUCGAAAAUAAGGGAUGGGAUAAUUCAAGAUCUUUAAAUACCAUAUUUCACAAUUAAAAGGAUAAUUACAAGAUAUGGGAUAAUCCAAAUCCCUAAAAUAUAGGAUCUUAUCUUGGGGAGGAGGGCAAUUUCGAAAAUUAAGGGGUUAUGAAAAACCUUAGGUUUCAAAAUUUAAAGGUUUAAGGAAAGGAUUUGAAGAUCUUAUUCAAACUUUUGCAAAUUAGGGUUUGCAAACCCUAAUCUUGAAAAUCCUAGCCUCCUAGGGUUUAUUGGAAUUAAACCCUAAUAUGUCAAGUUCAUACAAUUGAAUAAACUAAUUGAAAUCAAGUUAACCAAAGGCUCUGAUACCACUGAUGGGUUUUAUACAAACAAUCCUAUGCUUACAUGCAACCCUAGCAUUGGAUCUAUGUUUUUACUAUUAGAUACACAACAUUAUGAACACAUAAUAAAACCCUAAAGAUGAUUACUAUUAUCGAAAUUAACCAAGAAGGAUAGAUAACAUACCUCUUGUUGUCAUAUUGUAAUAACACUUAAAUCUUCAAACCCUAUGAUCUCUUUAGGAGGCAUGGACGAUUUAUGAGCCUUAGGGGUCUUUAUAUAGGUGUAUAGAUUAGGGUUUCAGUCCUUAUCCUUUUCUAGUUGCUUGCCCAUAUCUUUGGACGAUUCCAAGGAUACAAAUCCUUUAAGAUUUUGUCCAACCCAUAUUCAGAUAAUCCUUACCCUACUUUGUAACUAUCACAUAAAUACAAUUCAGCCCCUCUAGUUUAGUUAACUACAUUUUAUCACAAAAUUAAUUCUUAAUUAAUUAUUGACCAAUAUUAAUUAACCAAAUAUGAUUUCUCCUUUAAUAUAUUAUUCUUAUAAAAUGUUAAUAAAUCAUAAUAACCUCUUUCUCUAUUAUUUCUCCGGUGAAGUUGCGUUGGUCAAGGCAACCCAAAAGGACCAUGCACAAUCGUGUCAAAUACUUACCAAUUAUGGUUACAGGCUUAGAUACUAAUCCAACACCUAUAUACCAUGGGUUUAGUUUGCCUCGCCUACCGAAUUGAAUAAUACCUUUCCAAGGAGAGACCUUCAACAUUACUUUAUCUCCAACUUGGAAUUCUAAAGGCUUAUGUCACACCCCAAAACCACGAACGGCGGAAACGUUCAGUGGUGGAGGACGUCAUGUAGAGUAUCACAACAGUGUAAAAUAGUAAACCAGCAACAACAUCAUCUAUUGCAUUAAAAGUAAAGUUUUAAUACAUGUGUGUUAUUUCAUAAUGUACAACAAUAAUAUGAAUAAUCAAAAUAAGGCGAGUCUUGUCUGUGCUCCAUCUUCUCAAAAAUCUGGCCAUCGCACCUGUCUAACUGAUGACCUGAGAAUACAAGUUAUUUUGAAAGCGAGUAUCAGCUUUAAAGCUGGUGAAUUCAUAAGUAAUUAAGUGUCAUUGUCUUGCUUAUGAAAAUCUGUUAUGCAGGACAGGUAAGCCGUUAAAUGAAAUUGUUGAUGUAAGUGUGAAAACCCUAGAAAAUCCCUUAUUUCCUAUAAGUAUGAAAUGUAGUCUUCAACCAAGUCUCGAAUGUUUUGUUAUGACAAUGUAGUCUUCUACCAAGACCCGAAUGUUUUGUUAUGAUAAUGUAGUCUUCUACCAAGACCCGAACGUUUUGUAAGUAAAAUGAUAGCUUAUCCUUUCUAUUGACUAAUACUAAAAGUACUUAGUCUAACUCAUCGUUUAUGUGAAAGUAUCACAAAAUAAACUAAACAGGAAAAAGUACUAACGUAAGUGUUAUCCCGAGGUAUUAGGGCUAACAUGCCAUCGUGUAAAGUGAAACGUAUAACCUAUCACAAAAUAAAGUAAAUAGGAAGAAGUACUAAUGUAAGUGUUAUCCCGAAGUACUAGGGCUAACACGACGUAUGUAAAUGUUAUCCCGAGGUACUAGGGCUAACACCACACACACACAUAUANAUAUAUAUAUAUAUAUAUACAUAACCUAAUGAACAUUCGAAGAUUGUCCAAUUGUCCUCUGUAGCAGCAACAGGGCGGAGGAAGGGUUAGUCCCGUAAAGGUACUCCUAGUAUAAGUAAUAACCGUAGGUAUCCGUAGAUGUUCAUUACCCACUGUUGCUAAAAGAUGGGUUCCAGAAUGGUUAGUCCCGUCCAUAUAUCCCGAGGUCCUAGGGAUAGGGCCCGUCUAGGUACCCCGAGGUACUAGGGAUAGGGUCCUGUCUAGAUAUCCCGAGGUACUAGGGAUAUGCAGGAAGAUUUACACAGAAGGUACUAAUAAAUCAUCCUCGUAGUGAGUAAAUACAGGAUAAUGCCUCUAUGUAAAAGUGUUCAUGUAUGGCAUUCAUGUAAGUGUGUUCAUGUAACAGGUAAGUAUAUGUAAACAUAUUCAUGUAUCAUGUAAUCCUAAGUAAGUAUACUCAUGUAUCAUGUAAGGUAUUUGUAUAGACUCAUGAAUGAACUAACUCUUGUGUGAUUCCUUGUAGUAGUAAUAAUGUUUGAUAUCUUCUAACUAUACCUAUGAUAGUUAACUGCAAGGUAAUUGGUUGUUUACGUAAGUUUAUGCACUCUUGCUACCCAAGAGUAUUGGAAACUAAUAUGAAGGGUGAAAACUAGAAUCUCUAACAUAUAUAUGAACAUAUGCGCAUAAGUAUAGUUUGAUUCAAGAAGGUAAAAUAAUGCUUUUGCAAGAUAUCUAGGAGUUUUUGUAACAGCCCGGAAUUUCAGGUAUUUCUUUAAAUUAUUUUUGGGGCACAUUUAGGAGGGGACUCGGCGAGUUGGUGCAUGACUCGCCGAGUAGGGCCAUGGUCUUGGUCGCAGACGCGCGACUGGACUCGACGAGUCCAAAAAGGGACUCGGCGAGUCGACGCUGUUCAGCUGAACCCUAGCCGUUUCGAUUCUGCACCGUAUAUAAUGGUAUUAUAGCCGUCAUGUCGUGUUUUUUUGGCCGAUUGAAGAUCCCCUGGGAGUGUGUGAGCAUUUGAAGCAAGAGAGAGGACUUGAGAAGGCUUGAAGAGAUUGUUAGACAAGGAGGAGCAAGGUGGUGAUCAAAGGAAUUGAGUAUUGGAGGUUUGGAGACACAGGAAACACGUUUCCAGGUAAUUUUCGGAUUGAAAUCUGUAACUUUUACGUUGAAUGCGAGUUUAGGGUUUAGGAAACCCAAUUAAGGGUUAGUUAGAUUAUAUUGUUGUUAUAAGUGUUUAAAAACCCCUGUAAUAGUAUAUGUGAAAGUCCAGGAAGCCCUAUAUCUAUAUACUUCGAAAUCAUGCGAAAUACAGGAGGCAGCGGGUUGACUGCAUGGCGGGGACUCGCCGAGUCCAAUGAUCAGACUCGGCGAGUAGCUUGAAGAUUCACUAGAACUCGCCGAGUUGUUCUUCAGACUCGGCGAGUAGCUUGAAGGUUCACUAGGACUCGUCGAGUUGUUCUUCCGACUCGGCGAGUAGCUUGAAGAUCUACUGGAACUCGUCGAGUCGUUCUUCGGACUCGGCGAGUGGUGUCAGGAUGUCUAUACUCGUCGAGUUACCCUUUGUACUCGACGAGUCCGGUCAAGAUUGACCGUUGACCUGUAUAUAUCUUAGAGGGGUCAGUUGUCUUGUUUGAUAAGAUCAUUAACUAGGGCUGUGGUAUUAUAGGGAACCUGCGGACUAGCGGAUUGUGUGCGAGUAGCUCGAGGAGGUUAUAGCCUGCGUACUACGAGGUGAGUCUUCUCACUAUACUUCACCCGGAAGGGUUUGACUGUUAGACCGGAAGGUCGCGUGUGUUAUAUUCAUGCUAUGUCUAGAGAGAUAGAUGCUUUAUAUGCGAUGUGUGCUUAUAUGUGAUGUAUGAUUAUACGGGCCGGAAGGCGAGACUUUAUGUGUUAGAAAGAACGGUAUGAUAUAUGUGCUUUAUGUGUUAGAGUAUUUGUGUUAUGUGUUAUAUAUGUGUAUGGGCCGGAAGGCAAUUAUCUUGUGGAUCGAAAGAUCCGGGCCGGAAGGCAAUGUUAUGUGGAUCGAAAGAUCCGGGCCGGAAGGCAAUGUUAUGUGGACCGAAAGGUCCGGGCCGGAAGGCAAUAUUAUGUGGACCGAAAGGUCCGGGCCGGAAGGCGUAUGUGGGUAAGUCGUAUACUGGGGAACUCACUAAGCAUUUAUGCUUACUAGUUGUGUUUAUGUUUUUCAGGUACUAGUGAUGACCGUGGGAAGGCGCCGGCGUGACACGUACACACUGCCACUGUUGGAGAUCCUGGAGAUUUAUUAUUUUUAUUUUGAAAUAAACUUGGAAUAAACCCUUUUGUCGAAUAAUGAUGUUUUAUUUUUAACGAAAAAUUUAUUUGAAAAUUUGAGCUGUUACAAUUGGUAUCAGAGCCUUGGUUUGAGGGAUUCGGGUGUACUUUUGGGUGCAACUGAACUCAGACCGGGGAUUUGAGGAAAAACUUUUUCUUAAAAAUAAUAAGGACAUAACAUUUUAUAAAGGGCAAGGCGGUAAAAACAAGGGUGGAACAGUGUGUACGAGCAGCCAGCGUCCGAACGGUAAAGAUCCCCAGAAUACCUUACGAUGUUAUGUUAUGCACUGAAUUAUGAAUUGUUAUGCAUGCUAGAAGACUAGGUAUACAUGAUAGGAAUAGAAUUGCCUGUUUUGUGAUGCCUUAGUCUAGGGAGAUUGCUUAUAUGAGAUAUUUGGUAGCGUGCAAGUAAAUAGUACAUACUAGAAGUAGAGUACCCGUUAUUCGGGAUUUGGGGAGGAAGAUUUGGGACGAAUACUGAUACGGUGUGGUCGGUAGUAUUGGGCCCGUACUACCGAAGGCACCGGAUCAGUGGAAGACUCAAAUAAGAAUCCCUGGAAAUCGGAGACUGGGUAGGGCGCGUAUUGAGUACAAUUGUACUUGGUGGAGUCUCUGAUGAUUUUAUGUUGUAUUUCAGAGACAUCAUGGUUAUCACACGCAAUGGGGCGAGUUCGAGCGGUGCGAGUGACGAGGAGAUUCGUCAGAUUAUUCAGGAAGAGGUAGCUGCGGCGGUCCGGGCUGAGAUCCCGGAGAUGUUUGGGUCUAUUAAGACCACGUUGAUGGAGGAGUUUGAGGAGCGGUGCGCCGCAAUUUCUGAAGCUGCAGUUGCUGCCGCUACCGCAGCGGUGGCUGCUGCCAGGCCGCAAGGGGGUGAUUCAUUACCAUUCAGGGAAUUCAGCAACACGAAACCCCCUGAAUUUGAUGGGACGCAGGAUCCGAUUGCAGCUAUGAGGUGGAUCGCCGACAUCGAGGGGUGUUUCUAUACUUGCUCAUGCCCGGAGCACUUGAGGGUACGGUUCGCCUUGAACCAGCUCCGUCUGGGAGCGAAGGAUUGGUGGAAGUUCGUGACAGCGAACUUCACUCAGGCAGAGAUUUCGGCGGUGACAUGGGAGAGGUUUACAGAGAUGUUCAGGGAUGAGUACGUUCCCCCGGUAGAGAGGGAGCGAUUGAUUCAGGAGUUCUUGACCCUUAAGCAGGGUACUGAUUCCGUGGCAGUGAUCACACGGAAGUUUCAUGAGAGGGCAAUGUUCUGCCCCGAGCUGGUAUCUACGGAGCAGUCGCGGAUGAGCCGCUAUUUGGGUGUUUUGAAGAGGGAGAUUCGGGAGUUUGUGUCAAACUCCACCUAUCGUACUUUCACUGAGCUUCAGGCGAACGCCAGGAAGCGCGAGAUUGAGUUGGAGACUCAAGCGAGGGAGGAGGCUGAGUCUCGGCAGGUGGAUCGACGGCCGGCCCAGUCUCAGCCGGCAGCCAAGCGGAUUAAGUUCGCUGAUUCGAGGAUGGGAGGUUCGAAGGGUCGCACUUGCGCGAAGUGCGGCAAAAGUCACGAGGGGGCGUGUCGAACUGGUGGUUGCUACAAGUGUGGCAAGGACGGACAUAUUGCCAGGGAUUGCCCUAAGGGGUUUAUGGUUUGUUUUCACUGCAACCAGACAGGCCAUCGGAAGGCCGAGUGCCCGCAACUUCGUCAGGGAGCUACACCUACUACCCGGACUACUGAGACCCGACCGGUGAAGGUCGAGGCCCCGAGGGCUCGCGGGAGAGCCUUUCAGCUGACUGCGGAGGAGGUCCGCGCUGCGCCCGAUGUUGUGGCAGGUAUGUUAUCUUUCAUGUAUUUAAUUAAAGGUCGAAAUGUUAUGCUUAUGUUAAUAUAUGUGUAGGUACUUUCCUUGUGAACUCUAUGCCUGCUCUAGUAUUAUUUGAUUCGGGUGCGAGUAGAUCGUUUGUAUCGUUAGCUUUUAGUCAGCACAUCGGCAUUAGUCGUGAGCCGUUAAGUCGGCCUUUGAGCGUUUCCAUUGCGGCUGAGAGGGUGAUUUGUGCUACGGAGGUUUUUCGGGGAUGUGUGCUAGAGAUCUUCGGGGUCGCAUUUCCGAUUGACCUAAUUCCUAUUGCGAUGGGUGAUGUCUGUGUCAUUGUAGGCAUGGACUGGUUGAGCCGAUUCAGCGCUGUCAUCGACUGCGAGCGUCAGUUGGUGACUAUACGAGACCCUAGUGGGGGAGUUCUUACGGUGUACGGCGAGGGUACCCGUUCGAGAUCAGCUUUUUGUUCGGCUGCUAGGGCGAGGCAAUGCCUACAGCGGGGAUGUAACGGUUUUGUGGCGUAUGUGAUGGAUACGCGGGAGAGUUCCGAGAGACCGAAGACAUUGAAGGAGGUUCCAGUGGUGCGCGAGUUUCCAGAUGUUUUCCCCGAGGAUUUGCCGGGAAUACCUCCUGCGAGGCAAGUGGAGUUUGGUAUCGACCUAGUUCCAGGGGCGGCGCCUAUUGCGAAGGUGCCUUAUCGUCUUGCACCUCCAGAGAUGCAAGAAUUGUCCUCGCAACUUCAAGAGUUGUUGGGGAAGGGAUUUAUUCGGCCGAGUAGCUCGCCGUGGGGAGCACCGAUUCUGUUCGUCAAGAAGAAGGAUGGUUCACACCGGAUGUGUAUCGAUUACCGGGAACUGAACAAGGUGACAGUUAAGAACCGCUAUCCGUUACCAAGAAUCGAUGAUCUAUUCGAUCAGUUGCAAGGGGCAUCUUGGUUUUCCAAGAUUGAUUUGAGAUCAGGGUACCAUCAGGUAAGGGUGCGGGAUGAGGACGUCCAGAAGACAGCCUUUAGGACGCGGUAUGGGCAUUACGAGUUCGUGGUGAUGCCUUUUGGGCUCACCAAUGCCCCAGCAGUGUUCAUGGAUCUCAUGAACAGGGUAUGCAGGCCGAUGCUGGAUCGGUCUGUGAUUGUAUUCAUCGACGACAUUCUGGUGUAUUCGCGGUCUAGGGAGCAGCAUGAGGGACAUUUGAGGGAGGUCCUUGAGGUACUGAGGUCGGAGAAGCUAUAUGCAAAAUUCUCCAAAUGUGACUUCUGGUUACGGGAGGUUCAAUUUCUGGGGCACGUUGUAAAUCAGGCAGGGAUAUUGGUCGAUCCGGCCAAGGUGGAGGCGGUGAUGAGAUGGGAGGCACCAAAGUCACCUUCGGAGAUCAGGAGUUUCCUUGGGUUGGCAGGGUACUAUCGAAGGUUCAUUAGGGACUUCUCCAAGAUCGCAGUGCCACUUACCAAAUUGACCCGAAAGGGUGUUACAUUCUCAUGGGGACCCGAGCAGCAGACUUCCUUCGAGACACUUCGUCAGAGACUGUGCGAAGCACCAGUAUUAGCCCUUCCUGAAGGGAUGGAGGACUUCGUCGUAUAUUGCGACGCAUCGAUUUCAGGACUGGGUGCAGUGUUGAUGCAGAGGGGCCAUGUGAUAGCCUAUGCAUCGAGGCAGCUGAAGCCUCACGAAGCGAGAUAUCCCACGCAUGACUUAGAGUUGGGGGCAGUAGUGUUCGCCCUCAAAAUUUGGCGUCACUACCUGUACGGGGUUCGUUGUACCAUAUACACGGACCAUAAGAGUUUGAAGUAUUUGAUGGAUCAACCCAACCUAAACAUGCGCCAGAGGAGAUGGUUAGACGUGGUUAAGGAUUAUGACUGUGAGAUCCUAUACCACCCAGGCAAGGCUAAUGUGGUAGCCGAUGCAUUGAGUCGUAGGGCGGAGGGUACUCCAUUGCGGGACGUAUGUUUGAGAUUGACGGUGGUGACUCCGGUAUUAGAUACUAUUCGUGGGGCACAGGCCGAGGUUGUGAAGUCUGGGAUGCAGAAACAGGAGCGGGUCGUCGGGUUAAUUUCAGAGUUCGUUACGGAUGGGCGGGGACUUCUGACAUUUCAGGGUCGGAUCUGGGUGCCAUUCGUGGGCGGUACGCGUGUCAUUUUGAUGGAGGAGGCACAUAGAUCGAAAUUCUCGAUCCAUCCCGGUGCUACGAAAAUGUAUCUGGAUUUGAAAAAGGAGUACUGGUGGCCUUGCAUGAAGAGAGACGUUGCUUGGUUCGUGGAGAGGUGUUUGACCUGCCGUAAAGUUAAGGCCGAGCACCAGAGACCGCACGGUAAGUUGCAACCCUUGGAGAUCCCUGAGUGGAAGUGGGAUCAGAUCACGAUGGAUUUCAUCACCAAAUUGCCGAAAACUGCCAGGGGAGUCGAUGCGAUUUGGGUGAUUGUGGAUAGACUAACAAAGAGUGCACAUUUCCUUGCCAUUAGUGAAAGUUCAUCAGCAGAGAAGUUGGCGGAGUUGUACGUGAGAGAGAUAGUAUCUCGGCAUGGAGUGCCGACCUCGAUUGUUUCGGACCGCGAUGUACGUUUCACUUCCAGGUUCUGGAAGAAAUUCCAUGAGGAGUUGGGUACUAAACUGCAUUUUAGUACCGCAUACCAUCCCCAGACCGACGGUCAAAGCGAGCGGACGAUCCAGACAUUGGAAGAUAUGCUUAGAGCGUGUGUGUUAGACUUCGGGGGUAGCUGGGAUGCGCAUCUGCCGCUGGCUGAGUUUUCCUACAACAACAGCCAUCAUUCGAGCAUUGGUAUGCCACCUUUUGAGUUGUUGUAUGGUAGGAGGUGUCGGACUCCCAUUUGCUGGGGAGAAGUGGGACAGAGAGUGAUGGGCAGUACAGAGAUCGUACUUCAAACGACUGAACAGAUCCAACGGGUGAGGCAGAGGUUAUUGACCGCCCAGAGCCGACAGAAGAGUUAUGCGGACAGACGCCGGUCCGAGCUCGAAUUCCAGGUCGGCGACUUCGUUCUCCUAAAGGUUUCUCCUUGGAAAGGGGUGAUUCGGUUCAGGAAGAGGGGCAAAUUGGGGCCCCGGUUCAUAGGUCCAUUUCGGGUAAUUGCAAGGGUAGGUCGGGUAGCUUAUCGGUUGGAGUUGCCAGCGGAGCUGAAUCAGAUUCACAAUACCUUCCACGUAUCGCAGCUGAGGAAGUGUAUAGCCGAUGAGGCAGCAGUGGUUCCGCUAGAAGAUAUCCAGGUAGAUGCGAGUCUGAAUUACGCCGAGAGACCAGUAGCUAUCAGGGAUCGGAAGAUCAAGGUUCUACGGAACAAGGAAAUACCUCUGGUGUUGGUUCAGUGGCAACAUCGGAAAGGAUCGGAGAUGACUUGGGAGCCGGAAAGAGAAAUGCGGGAGCAACAUCCGGAGUUAUUCGCAGAAUGAGAGACUUCGAGGGCGAAGUCUAGUUCUAGUGGGGGAGAGUUGUAACAGCCCGGAAUUUCAGGUAUUUCUUUAAAUUAUUUUUGGGGCACAUUUAGGAGGGGACUCGGCGAGUUGGUGCAUGACUCGCCGAGUAGGGCCAUGGUCUUGGUCGCAGACGCGCGACUGGACUCGACGAGUCCAAUAAGGGACUCGGCGAGUCGACGCUGUUCAGCUGAACCCUAGCCGUUUCGAUUCUGAACCGUAUAUAAUGAUAUUAUGGCCGUCAUGUCGUGUCUUUUGGCCGAUUGAAGAUCCCCUGGGAGUGUGUGAGCAUCUGAAGCAAGAGAGAGGACUUGAGAAGGCUUGAAGAGAUUGUUAGACAAGGAGGAGCAAGGUGGUGAUCAAAGGAAUCGAGUACUGGAGGUUUGGAGACACAGGAAACACGUUUCCAGGUAAUUUUCGGAUCGAAAUCUGUAACUUUUACGUUGUAUGCGAGUUUAGGGUUUAGGAAACCCAAUUAAGGGUUAGUUAGAUUAUAUUGUUGUUAUAAGUGUUAAAAACCCCUGUAAUAGUAUAUGUGAAAGUCCAGGAAGCCCUAUAUCUAUAUACUUCGAAAUCAUGCGAAAUACAGGAGGCAGCGGAUUGACUGCAUGGCGAGGACUCGCCGAGUCCAAUGAUCAGACUCGGCGAGUAGCUUGAAGAUUCACUAGAACUCGCCGAGUUGUUCUUCAGACUCGGCGAGUAGCUUGAAGGUUCACUAGGACUCGUCGAGUUGUUCUUCCGACUCGGCGAGUAGCUUGAAGAUCUACUGGAACUCGUCGAGUCGUUCUUCGGACUCGGCGAGUGGUGUCAGGAUGUCUAUACUCGUCGAGUUACCCUUUGUACUCGACGAGUCCGGUCAAGAUUGACCGUUGACCUGUAUAUAUCUUAGAGGGGUCAGUUGUCUUGUUUGAUAAGAUCAUUAACUAGGGCUGUGGUAUUAUAGGGAACCUGCGGACUAGCGGAUUGUGUGCGAGUAGCUCGAGGAGGUUAUAGCCUGCGUACUACGAGGUGAGUCUUCUCACUAUACUUCACCCGGAAGGGUUUGACUGUUAGACCGGAAGGUCGCGUGUGUUAUAUUCAUGCUAUGUCUAGAGAGAUAGAUGCUUUAUAUGCGAUGUGUGCUUAUAUGUGAUGUAUGAUUAUACGGGCCGGAAGGCGAGACUUUAUGUGUUAGAAAGAACGGUAUGAUAUAUGUGCUUUAUGUGUUAGAGUAUUUGUGUUAUGUGUUAUAUAUGUGUAUGGGCCGGAAGGCAAUUAUCUUGUGGAUCGAAAGAUCCGGGCCGGAAGGCAAUGUUAUGUGGAUCGAAAGAUCCGGGCCGGAAGGCAAUGUUAUGUGGACCGAAAGGUCCGGGCCGGAAGGCAAUAUUAUGUGGACCGAAAGGUCCGGGCCGGAAGGCGUAUGUGGGUAAGUCGUAUACUGGGGAACUCACUAAGCAUUUAUGCUUACUAGUUGUGUUUAUGUUUUUCAGGUACUAGUGAUGACCGUGGGAAGGCGCCGGCGUGACACGUACACACUGCCACUGUUGGAGAUCCUGGAGAUUUAUUAUUUUUAUUUUGAAAUAAACUUGGAAUAAACCCUUUUGUCGAAUAAUGAUGUUUUAUUUUUAACGAAAAAUUUAUUUGAAAAGUUGAGUUGUUGGAGUUUUGAACAAUAAUUAAGAAUGACUUGAUGUCAUUUUAAUAAACAUUUCAAAACUAAUACUUUUGUUAUCAAGGUAUUAUAAGAUAGAAAACCACUUCAUGUGUCACCUUUAGAAAUAUGUGAAAUCUACUGAGUGAAAACACAGUUAUAAAAUACAUAAGAUUGAUUUAAAAUCAUUUAAAACACUGAUUAAAGGGUAUGAACUCCCCUGUAGUUGGUGAUUAGGAUGAACUGAACGGUAUAGGAUUGCUAGAUGUCAAGCGAGGACUUGUACAUAGACUACGAUCCUAAUGAACAUAUAAUCACACAUAUAUGCACUCAAUAAGUCUCAAAUCACUAAUUGAUAAUGUUAAGACAUCCUAGACAUAAUAAACACUUUUUAUAAGUGUUUUAAGCCCUAAGGAUUUCAUCUAAGCUAAUGUGGGACAAGGCCCUUGUGUUUAGGGUUCCAAAGGACCCCAUAUAUGAGUUUGCUCCUCAUAUACUAACACACAUGGAGUUUACGGUUGUAAACUCUUGAGUUUACGGCCAUAAACUCCCAACCAUGGGGGUAUGGUGUGUUUUGAAGUUCCAAAUGAUUCCUAGAUUUAUUCCAACUUGGUGGUUAAAUUCUUGGUAGGGUUUAAGGUCUAGAAACACUCCUUAGAGGAGUUUACGACCCUAAGGUCAUUUCCUUUGGAGUUUACGGCCGUAAACUCCCUUGGAAUGGUGUUCUUGAUGUUUUCAAGCCUCAAGCAUAGGUGGUAUAAGUUCUAGGCUUUUAUUCCAAGCAUAUGAAGACAUUAGGCACACUUUGGUGCCCUUCUUUCAUGUUUACGGCCGAAGAACCAAGUCUUGGCCAUAAAUUCACUUUGAUAGGUGAUUCUUAUGUGUUUAAGGCUCUUGAUUUAUUGGGAACAAGUCUAGGUAAAAGUCUAAAGCUUUAGGUGCCUUAAAAGCACCAUUUUGAGCUUGAAUUUGGAGUUUACGACCUAAGAAACUCUUGGGUCGUGAACUCCCAAACAUGGGUGGUUUUUGCUUGAUUUCAUGUCCCUAACACACUUAUAAAGCUUUCUAAGGAAGUAGCAUCACACAAGGGUCGGCCUAGGUUUCGUUUCGGGAGUUUACCGCCCAAGAACACCUUGGGGAGUAAACUCCUAAAUGUAGUGAUUUAGCCUUCUAAAUCAUGUUAUUAACACAUAUAAAGCUUUCUAUAACUACUAGAAAGAGGUACUCACGAUUCGGGAUAAAAACCCGAAGAUCCGUGAGAGAGAAAAUGGCUUUUCUCAAGUUGGAAAUGCCAAUAAUGAAUGAAUUUGGUUCAGAAUUCUAUUUAUAGUCCUGAGAUAUUUUUGGCAGAAAAUAUUUUUAUUCCUGAAAUGAUUUCUAUUAGAACAAUGUUCUAUCAGGAUUGUAUGAUUCUAAGCAAAAUAUAAAUAAGAACGUAGUAAUGAACACAAGUAUUGCACUGAAUAUGUCGAAUGAUUAAUGCAAAGAUACCCCAGAUGAGCUGGAUAAAGAGCUUCAAUCUGUAGAGGUAUUAUAGGGUUACAAGAAACAACGUAAUCGACUAUUCUAUUUUAUUCGCAUACAUGCAUGCAUAUAUUUAUAUUAAAAUCCUAAGAACUUAUCUAGAUAAAAGGAAACUAUUCUAGAUAACUACGGAUGGACAAGCCUAAUCCGAUUACAAAAUCAAAAGGCCCAAGACGCAACACUAAAAUACUCAACAAUCUCCCCUUUUUACUACAGAGGACUUUUUCACAGUUUCAAAUAUCCUUGGUAUAAUGGCCAGAAUAUGGUGUCUAAACGUUAUGUACCACCGAAGCAUAUAUGUGAAGUUCUUUUUAUCCGCUGUUGAGUUGUCCUUGCAUCGAUGAAUGAUAUUGAUUAUAUGCUCCAGACAAUCUGUUGAAAACAGAUGCUUGUCAACCAAUGCAAACAAAAACUUGGACUUCUCAGCCUUCGUGAACAUGAAAGUCAAAUUUGUUGAAUCAAUCUGCCCUAACUUCAUCUGAUUCACAUCAUCGGGCUUAGACGUUGGCUUGACUGACGGUUUCUUGUUCAUCACCUUUGCUAUCUACUGAUCCAUAGUGGCAAGCUCAUGGACAUAAGAGGCCAACAUUCUUUUUAGAUGUUUUAGAAUCGGCUCAUACUCCCUUUGAUUUGAGAGCAGAAUGUAGUAUAGCAGAAUCCAAUCAUAUGGAUUAAGGUUGGGAAGAUCUUCCAGAGAAAUUAAAUAUUCCGUAUUUGUUGUGCCACAGUUUAUCUUGAAGUUUACAUUCACAAACCUCCUAGUAGGUGACGGUUUCAGUACCUUGACUUUUGUAAUUUUCUGUGCACUCCAAGUCAAGUACUGUGGUUGACCAUUCUUCAAAUAAAAAUCGACUAACUCUCUGUCAACCUUCAGAUUCUACCAAGACCCGAAUGUUUUGAAAGUAAAAUGAUAGCUUUUCCUUUCUAUUGACUAAUACUAAAAGUACUUAGUCUAACUCAUCGUUUAUGUGAAAGUAUCACAAAAUAAAGUAAACAGGAAAAAGUACUAACGUAACUGUUAUUCCGAGGUACUAGGGCUAACAUGCCGUCGCGUAAAGCGAAACGUAUAACCUAUCACAAAAUAAUGUAAAUAGGAAGAAGUACUAAUGUAAGUGUUAUCCCGAAGUACUAGGGCUAACACGACAUAUAUAUAUAUAACCUAAUGAACAUCCGAAGAUUGUCCAAUAGUCCUCUGUAGCAGCAGCAGGGCGGAGGAAGGGUUAGUCCCGUAAAGGUACUCCUAGUAUAAGUAAUAACCGUAGGCAUCCCUAGAUGUUCAUCACCCACUGUUGCUAACAGAUGGGUUACGGAAUGGUUAAUCCCGUCCAUAUAUCCCGAGGUACGAGGGAUAGGGGCCGUCUAGGUAUCCUGAGGUACUAGGGAUAGGGUCCUGUCUAGAUAUCCCAAAGUACUAGGGAUAUGCAGGAAGAUUUACACAGAAGGUACUAAUAAAUCAUCCUCGUAGUUCUAAGUACAAGUAUCCAGGUGAGUAAAUACAGGAUAAUGCACCUAUGUAAAAGUGUUCCUGUAUGGCAUUCGUGUAAGUGUGUUCAUGUAACAGGUAAGUAUAUGUAAACAUAUUCAUGUAUCAUGUAAUCCUAAGUAAGUGUACUCAUGUAUCAUGUAAGGUAUUUGUAUAGACUCAUGAAUGAACUAACUCUUGUGUGAUUCCUUGUAGUAGUGAUAAUGUUUGAUAUCUUCUAACUAUACCUAUGAUAGUUAACUGAAAGGUAAUUGGUUGUUUACGUAAGUUUAUGCACUCUGGCUACCCAAGAGUAUUGGAAACUAAUAUGAAGGGUGAAAACUAGAAUCUCUAACAUAUAUAUGAACAUAUGCGCAUAAGUAUAGUUUGAUUCAAGAAGGUAAAAUAAUACUUUUGCAAGAUAUCUAGGAGUUCUGAACAAUAAUUAAGAAUGACCUGAUGUCAGUUUAAUAAACAUUUCAAAACUAAUACUUUUGUUAUCAAGGUAUUUUAAGAUAGAAAACCACUUCAUGUGUCACCUUUAGAAAUAUGUGAAAUCUACUGAGUGAAAACACACUUAUAAAAUACAUAAGGUUGAUUUAAUAACAUACUGUUUUCUANCCCCCCCCCAUUAAAACGUUUAAAAUCAUUUAAAACCCUGAUUAAGGGGUAUGAACUCACCUAUAGUUGGUGAUUGGGAUGAACCGAACGAUAUAGGAUUACUAGAUGUCAAGCGAGGACUUGUACACACACUACGAUCCUAAUGAACAUAUAAUCACACAUAUAUGCACUCAAUAAGUCUCAAAUCACUAAUUGAUUAUGUUAAGACAUCCUAGACAUAAUAAACACUUUUUAUAAGCGUUUUAAGCCCUAAGGAUUUCAUCUAAGCUAAUGUGGGACAAGGCACUUGUGUUUAAGGUUCCAAAGGACCCCAUAUAUGAGUUUGCUCCUCAUAUACUAACACACAUGGAGUUUAUGGUUGUAAACUCUUGCGUUUACGGCCGUAAACUCCCAACAAUGGGGGUAUCGUGUGUUUUGAAGUUCCAAAUGAUUCCUAGAUUUAUUGCAACUUGGUGGUUAAAUUCUUGGAAGGGUUUAAGGUCUAGAAACACUCCUUAGAGGAGUUUACGGCCCUAAGGUCAUCUCCUUUGGAGUUUACGGCCGUAAACUACCUUGGAAUGGUGUUCUUGUUGUUUUCAAGCCUCACGCAUAGGUGGUAUAAGUUCUAGGCUUUUAUUCCAAGCAUAUGAAGACAUUAGGCACACUUUGGCGCCCUUCUUUCAUGUUUACGGCCCAAGAACCAAGUCUUGGCCAUAAACUCACUUUGAUAGGUGAUUCUUAUGUGUUUAAGGCUCUUGAUUUAUUGGGAACAAGUCUAGGUAAAAGUCUAAAGCUUUAGGUGCCUUAAAAGCACCAUUUUGAGUUUGAAAUUGGAGUUUACGGCCUAAGAAACUCUUGGGCCGUGAACUCCCAAACUUGGGUGUUUUUUGCUUGAUUUCAUGUCCCUAACACACAUAUAAAUGAGUCUAAGGCAGUAGCAUAACACAAGGGUCGGUCUAGGCUUUGUUUCGGGAGUUUACCGCCCAAGAACACCUUGGGGAGUAAACUCCAAAAUCUAGUGAUUUAGCCUUCUAAAUCAUGUUAUUAACACAUAUAAAGCUUUCUAACACUACUAGAAAGAGGUACUCACGAUUCGGGAUAAAAACCCGAUGAUCCGUGAGAGAGAAAAUGGCUUUUCUUAAGUUGGAAAUGCGAAUAAUGAAUGAAUUUGGUUCAGAAUUCUAUUUAUAGUCUUGAGAUAUUUUUAGCAGAAAAUAUUUUUAUUCCUGAAAUGAUUUCUAUUAGAACAAUGUUCUAUCAGGAUUGUAUGAUUCUAAGCAAAAUAUAAAUAAGAAUGUAGUAAUGAACACAAGUAUUGCACUGAAUAUGUCGAAUGAUUAAUGCAAAGAUACCCCAGAUGAGCUGGAUAAAGAGCUUCAAUUUGUAGAGGUAUUAUAGGGUUACAAGAAACAACGUAAUCGACUAUUCUAUUUUAUACGCUUACAUGCAUGCAUAUAUUUAUAUUAAAACCCUAACAACUUAUCUAGAUAAAAGGAAACUAUUCUAGAUAACUACGGAUGGACAAGCCUAAUCCAAUUACAAAAUCAAAAGGCCCAAGACGCAACACUAAAAUACUCAACAAUCUCCCCCUUUGCAUCCUUGGAGCAGAAACUUCAUCCCCUUUUCACUACAGAGGACUUUUUCACGGUUUCAAAUAUCCUUGGUAUAAUGGCCAGAAUAUGGUGUCUAAACGUUAUCUACCACCGAAGCAUAUAUGUGAAGUUCUUUUUAUCCGUUGCUGAGUUGUCCUUGCAUCGAUGAAUGAUAUUGAUUAUAUGCUGCAGAUAAUCUGUUGAAAACAGAUGCUUAUCAACCAAUGCAAACAAAAACUUGAACUUCUCACCCUUCAUGAACAUGACAGUCAAAUUUGUUGAAUCAAUCUGCCCUAACUUCAUCCGAUUCACAUCACCGGGCUUAGACGUUGGCUUGACUGACGGUUUUUUGUUCAUCACCUUUGCUAUCUCCUGAUCCAUAGUGGCAAGCUCAUGGACAUAGGAGGCCAACAUUAUUUUUAGAUGUUUUAGAAUCGGCUCAUACUCCCUUUGAUUUGAGAGCAGAAUGUAGUAUAGGAGAAUCCAAUCAUAUGGAUUAAGGUUGGGAAGAUCUUCCAGAGAAAUUAAAUAUUCCGUAUUUGCUGUACCACGGUUGAUCUUGAAGUUUACAUUCACAAACCUCCCAGUAGGUGACGGUUUCAGUACCUUGACUUUUGUAAUUUUCUGUGCACUCCAAGUCAAGUACUGUGGUUGACCAUUCUUCAAAUAAAAAUCUACUAACUCUCUGUCAACCUUCGGAUUCGGAUGAGGAACCUCAGCAGUUACAUCGAAACAAUGAAAGGUAAAUGUUUUUCUUGUGAUUGGCAUGUCGAACUGCGAGUCCUUUGAAUUAUCACAAUCAAACGAAGCAAUCAGUUCCAACCAGUACAUAGCAGGAAACUCAAUCGCAUGAUUGAUGAGUGUAUCUCUGUCCCAUUCUAGAAACAGAGUCUUCUUGCAUUGCAAGACAUCCUCCUCUUCCUUAUUCUUUGCCUCUUGUGCCACCUUCAUCGGUUCAUCGAGCUCUUUGUUCCUCUUCUUUCUUUUAAGGGCUUCAGCGAUAGUCUUUUCAGUAUCACUAUCACUAUCAACUUGAACUUGCUUUCCAGAAACCGAAGCUAAAUUAUCCUUCAGUUCUGUUUUAUCUUUCAGAUUUGCACUCUCUUCUCUCCCUUGUUUCGGAAGAACGACCUUCUCCGAGACACCCUUCAUCUCACUGAGAAUGGUAAUUGCAGGAAGGAGUUUGGACUGAAGAUGCUUCCGGAUGGUUAAGGUCAAUAAGGGAUGAUGAACGUCAAGAAGAGUAGUCAAGAUAUUCUUCACAUCACCAGCACAACUUUGAUAAACUGCCCUUUGAGUCUUUAACAUAUAGAUCUCUUUUUCUGCCUGAGCCAGUUGAACUUUUUGGAGAUCAAUUAUGGCUUGGUGUUUUAUCAGGUCCUCCUUCAAUGUACUUUCUGCAGAAAGAGAAGCAAAACGAGAAUCCAGAGAUUGGAGAAAAGAUGUGGAUUGUGUUUUGAGAUCAGUACGAAGGGCUUCAAAUUUUGUGGUUUCAUCCUGAAGAGUUUUAGAGAAGGAGUCCACCGAAGCUUGAUAUUUGGCCGCAUUUGUGUCAGUAUGAGCUUUCAGAGAAUCAAGGAAAAGCUGAGUUGUGUGAACAACCUCAAUAACCUCCUUUGUGGCCUUGGAACAAGAAGUGGUUGACUUAUCAACUGCUUCUGUGGAUUUCUCUAUAGCCUCGGUGUAUUGCUGAAUAGUAGUCUCCAAGAAGGCUUUUAAAACAAUAUUGCCAUAAGCUUUGCUAUCAGCAAGCAGUCGAUCUAACUUGUCAUUGAUGUCCUGUAUAUGUUGACUGAUGACAGGAGCAUCAGGAUCAUUAUCUGUUGGAAUUCUAUAAGGACUGUAAUACAACGAUUCAUAGUCCUCAUCAUCUCCACUGAGAGUAGCACCAGCGGUAGAGGAUGGGGUCGAGGAUGGUGGUAUGUUGAUAACAGGAGUAUCAAUCACAGUAGUAGCCCCGGUAUCAGAUACAUUGACUUGCACUGGGAUUAUGGGAAUGGUGGUAGUGAUAGAUUCGGUUAUUAGAGGAGUUGAGAUAGGUAUAGUUGAGACAGGAACAGAGGUAAUAAUGGUUGAAGGGGGUAGAGAAGUUGGUUUAGUAAGAAUAGGUGGUAUAUCGGUGGGAGCAGAAAGUGGAGCUUUCUGUUUUGGUGAUGGAGGUGGGGUUGGAGAUCUUCGAGGUGUGGACUCUCUUGUUAAAACCUGAGGAUUCUCCGGUUCUGCUUCUUGAUGUUCAACCAUAUCAGAUCCAGGAGAAAGGCUCCCCUUGGGUCUGUUAGCCAUCUUCUUUAUAUUCUUCGGUUUUGGUUGAAGAGAAUUCCCUUCACCAGUCUUUCGCUUUGAAGAUUUUGGCUUACCCUCCUUAGAUUCUUCUUUCUCUUUCUUUAUUACCCGUUUGCCUCUGUUAGCAGGUUGAUCCAAGGCAUCCAGUGCAGCUUGUUGGUCUUCAGUCAGAACCCUUGGACCAAGAGGAGAGCGUUUACAGUAUUCAGCCAUCACAUUGCUCUGUGCCGAAACACACCUGUACAUGGAUUCCAGAAUCAAUCCAUAGUGAUGAAACUUACUUGGAUCAGAUAGGAUGAUCGUCUUUGUAUGGAAUGAGGCAAUAGAGGCAAGAAGAGCAUCCUUCAUGAUAGGUAUCUCCAAAGAAUCCAUGGCCUUCUUUGUAAUAAGGGUCCAGAAACGACCACAAGAGAUCUCUGAAUGACGGGUCGUUGUGUUUAAACUCUGCACUACUUGGGACCAGAUUAUAGUGCCAUAAUCUAGGUUGACCUCGUUGUAUAAACCAUAAAGAAUGGUAACAAAGCCUUUGCUUGUUGUGUCUGAACCACCACAUCAUUCCGCCAAACCCUUGAUUAGCAAUGUCAGCAACCCAUUCCAUUGCGAUGGUAAACACGAUUUCUUGCCCUUUGCAAUCGUUGUAAGCACAUCUGUGUAUCCCAUCUCAUACAUCAUCGUGAAUAGUUGUGUUGUAGUGAUGAAAUCAGGCGAGAUGAUCGAAGAAUCAACUGCAAGCCCCAUAAUGGAACAAAACUUUGCCUUAGAGACUGAGGAUUUCUUGUCAAGAAUUGUGAAGUAGAUGCGAUCUUUAUUCUUGUCAUAAGUCGCCGAUGAGUAGACUUGAGAAAGCAGCGACAUUGGAACCGCUUCAACCUGGGUUAGGGCCAACAACAGGAGGGAAUACUUUAGACAUUCCGCACCAUGCAACAUAUAUGAGUCAUAUAGGAAUGGUGUCAUUUCGAUAAUCAUGUUUUCGCUGGGUUUGAUUGCAAGCAAGGAAGAUGUUGCAGUUUGAUCAUGUGCAGAUGAAGUCGCCAUUGAUGAACGAAGAAGAAGAUGAACAGUGUGAACAUGGAGGAGGAGGUAAUUCGUGAUUGGUAAAUGACAAAUGAAACGAUCUCCCCUAUUUAUACCGUUGCCUGGAGAGAGAAAAAUGUGAUGAUGAGGUUGCUAAAGCGUCUCCUUAAAAAGCGCGAUUUGACAGUGUGGUAAUCCCAGGAAAACGUCAGCACGUGUGGGUUUUGAAAUGGAGCAAAUGUACACGCUGAAAGCUUAUCUUCAAAUCGUUUGAAAUUCCAUAUAUCCUCUUGUUUGGUCACAAGUGAUAACCAAAACUUAUACCAAACAGCAAUAAGAAUGUUGGAAAAUAUUAAUUUUCGUGCAUAAGAGUGUGAAAGAUAAAGAAAUAAAGCAAGUGUGUACUGGACGUGAGUGAUGUCUGUGUAGAAGAUAGAAAGCAGAGGAUUCCGAGUAAGAAUCACUUCCUUCGAAGUCAAGAGAGACUUGAAGUGCUUGUGUGGUUUCCCGAAAAAUACGAUCAACUGUUUGUUAAUAAACAUUGAAAGGCUUCUUUUGAUCAUAGGUAUUGGGUGGCUGUCCUCCAGCCGAACAUUGAGUUUUAACAUAAACCCAAUUGUUGGUAAAGGUACCUGUGAGACCAAUGUGAUCUGUUGAACAGGUAGGUGCGAUUUAUUGAAUGACUUAUAGGAAGCAGAAAUCUCAAAAAAAAAAAAAAAAUGGACCUCUUUGGGAAGAAAUGUCUUGGCGGUAGACAAUUUCAUAAAAGAUCACGCAAAAUAGAAAGAGAUUUCCUUAGGUAACCAGUAAAUGCUUGAGUAUAUCACUCACCGUCAAUUCGUUUUUGGUGUCGGAUUUUGGGUUUCACUUAGAACAUGGUAAUCGUAUCCAAGAGCAUAAACACAAAUGUUGUGUAACCUUAAACCUCAGUGGUAAAGACCGAAAGUCUCAAGGGUUACGUUAGUGAACCGAAGGUAGAUGGAGAAUAUGAGGAGGUGGUUUUAGGAAUCGAAUGUACCUUCUGCUAGAUAAGUGUGACAGAGCAGAGAAACUCUUAACUCAUAUUAGAAGAGUAAGGUAGCUCUAGACCGAGUGAGGUAAGAUAGCCUGAUUUGGAAGAAACGAUGGGUAUCGAUUGAAUCAUUAAGGCUUACUCAAGAUCAUAGAGGCUUAAGAUAACAUACAGUAGCAUGCUUCUAGGGACACUUAACUAAGUUGUGUGAAAGUUGAAACAUACCUGCUUUAGAGCUAUCGACGAUUAUCCUUGUGUUUACCUAUUAAUGACAGACAACAAACAAAACAAACAAGCAAUUGAAACAAAUAAAAAAGAUAAAAUAUUUUUGAAUUUUUGAAAUUUUUCAGAAAAAGAAUAAAAACAGAAAGAUAAAGUAUUUUUGAAUUUUUAAAUUUUUCUGAAAAAGAAUAAAAACAGAAAGACUUACAAAAUAUACAACCGAAACCUUAUCUUGAGAGAAGCAAAAUAGAUCGAUCAUUCAAUUUUCCUCUGUUCCGGAGAAUUACGGAGCCGAAAUGGACAGAGCGGUCUGUCCAUGUCGGUUCCCAAAAAUCAAGAGCAGGGAUAGACCGAGCGGUCUGUCUAUUUCGGUUGUCUUAAUUUUAAAGAGAGAUUUGAGGACUCGGUACCGACUCUCCUUCCAUCAUACCCAAACCUUGUAAGAUUUUAUUGAAGGUUGUUUCUGGUAAGGAUUUAGUAAAAAUAUCUGCCAGUUGAUUAGCAGAACGAACAAAAUGUACUUCUACGUUCCCAUCUUCUACAUGAUCCUUGAUGAAAUGAUACUUGAGUGCAAUGUGCUUGGUUUUCGAAUGUUGCACUGGAUUAUGACAGAUCCUAAUUGCACUUUCAUAGUCACAAUAGAGAGGGAUCUUUUUCAUACUCAGCCCAUAAUAUCUUAACUGACUUUGAAUCCAAACAACCUGAGAGGUACAUGAUGCGGCAACAAUGUAUUCUGCUUCUGCUGUGGAUAAAGAAACACAGGUUUGUUUCUUUGAUUGCCAACUGACAAGUUUUCCGUCAAGGAAUUGACAUCCUCCGGUAGUGCUUUUCCUGUCCAGUCCACAUCCUCCAAGAUCAGCAUCUGAAAAGGCUUGUAUGAAGAAUCCAGAUCUUGCAGGAUACCAGAGACCGAGAGAUGAAGUCUUCUUCAGAUAUCGAAAAAUAUUCUUCACAGCAAGCAUGUGGGGUUCUCUUGGAUUAGCUUGAAACCUGGCACAAUAACAAACAGAAAACAUGAUAUCUGGUCUACUAGCUGUUAGAUACAUAAGGGAUCCUAUCAUUUGUCGAUAAAGAGUUAUGUCCACAGCCGGUUUCUCCAGGGAUGGAGUUAGCUUGGUGCCGAAUGCCAUAAGAACCUUUACUUUUGAAUCUCCCUUCAUUCCAAAUUUAGUCAGCAGAUUUUUGGUGUAUGCUUUCUGGUUUAUAAAGAUACCUUCUGAUCCCUGUCUAAUAUUCAAACCGAGGAAAAAGUUAAUUGGACCCGUUGUGCUCAUUUCAAAUUCAGUCUCCAUCAACGUUCUGAAUUCAGCAGUUAGGCUAGGAUUCGUGGAACCGAAGAUGAUAUCAUCGACAUAAAUCUGAACAAUCAUCAAAUGUUCGCCUUCCUUCUUUCGAAAGAAGGUUGAGUCAACCGAACCUUGUUUAAAGUUUGACAUUUUUAGAAAGCGAGUAAGCGUUUCAUACCAGGCUCUUGGUGCUUGCUUUAGCCCAUAGACAACUUUAUCCAGCACAUAGCAAUGAUAUGGGUACUUUUCAUUCACAAAACCAGGUGGUUGCUCAACAUAGACAGUUUCUUCUAAUUCUCCAUUCAAGAAUGCACAUUUGACAUCCAUUUGGAAAACUUCGAAGUUCUUGUGAGUGGCAUAUGCUAGAAAAAUUCGAACAUACUCUAACCUUGCAACAGGAGCAAAAGUUUCUUCAUAAUCAAUCCCUUCUUCUUGACAAUAGCCUUUUACAACUAACCGAGCCUUGUUACGAACGACAUUCCCUUCUUUGUCCAGCUUAUUCCUAAACACCCAUUUCAAGCCGACAACAGAGGCAUCUUUCGGUGUAGGAAUCAAUCUCCAAACUCAGUUUCGUUCGAAUUCAUUGAGCUCAUCCUGUAUUGCUUUAACCCAAUCAGAAUGAUAAAGUGCAGCAUUUACGGUUUUCGGCUCUAUUUUGGAGAUAAACGAAUUAUACAUACAAAAUUCCACUUUAGAGAAUAAGGAUGUUUGUUUCGCAUUCAGCUGAGAUCUAGUAAGAACACUUUCAGAGGAUUCACCAAUAAUUUGCUCUUUGGGAUGGUCUUUUGUCCAUUUUGUUAGCGGAGGAUAGAGCGAAUCAUAUUCUAGAUUUAGUUCUGCUUCAACUUCAACUUCAACAUCUGACUGAUCCCUUUCACCUUUGUCAGUAGAACUGUCACUUGUUUUCUCCUUCUCCGCCUCGACUGGCGAAGUGAAGUCUUUGUUUUUAGCAGAAUCGGUAGUGGGUAUCUCCCCCUCGAUUGGACUUUUACCUGUUGAUUUCGGUUCAGUUGUUUGAGUAUCUUUUGAACUAGUAGAUAUUGAGGCGGAAUUGUGAUUCUUCCCCUCAGCAGGAACUUCAGAUGAUUUGAAAGUGGUAGAGUUCUCCCCCUGGAACAUUGAAUCGGUGUUUGAGGUACUGGGUAAUGGUUUAGGAGUAGGUGUUUCGUUUUCCAUUGAUUUGGUAGCUUCAUCUAUGACUUUCUUCAGAUUAUCUAGUUUGUUGUCUGUUGCUGUUGCCUCCGAAUGUAUUGCCAUUUCUGGUUCAUCAAAUAACCGAAUGUAUUCUUCAAACAUGUUGGAUAUUGGAAGUGAGACCUGUCCAGAUUCCGGAAAGAUGUCUCCUGAAGCGUCUUCUGUUCUUUGAACUUUCUUCAUGUAAUUGUCAUCAAAGGUGACAUAAUAAGUUUCUUCUAUUCUUUUAGAACGCUUGUUCAACACCCGGUAUGCUUUUGAUGACAGAGAGUAACCCAGAAAGAUCCCCUCAUCGGCUUUAACAUCAAACUUAUUUCGGUUUUCUUUAGAAUUAAAGAUAAAGCACCUAGAACCAAAAAUGUGGAAAAACUUGACGUUUGGUUUCCGAUUGUUUAAGAUCUCAUAAGGAGUUAUCGAGAAUCUCUUGUUGAGCAGGGACCGAUUUUGAGUAUAACAGGCAGCAGCAAUGGCAUCAGCCCAAAAGUAUAGAGGUAGAAAGGCAUAGCUGAGCAUGGUUCUUGCUGCUUCACACAAUGAUCGGUUUCGUCUUUCAACAAUCCCAUUUUUUUGAGGUGUAUAAGGGGCCGAAAAAUUGUGUUUUAUCCCCUUAUCAGCCAGAAAGUCUUCGAAAUCCUAGUUUUUGAAUUCCAACCCAUUGUCACUUCUGAUGUUUCUCACUGUCUUCUUUAAUUGAACUUCCACUUGCUUGAUGAACAUCUUCAGCUUGGGAGUUGCAUCUGAUUUCUGUUUAAGAAAGAAAACCCACGUGAAGCGUGAAAAAUCAUCUAUAAUAACCAGAAUAUACUUACUUCCACCGAUACUCUUUAUAGCAUAAGGUCCAAACAAGUCGAUAUGUAACAAAACAAGUGUUUCCACUAUCUUAGUAUUAAUGCGUGUAGGGUGACUUUUUCUGCUCUGCUUGCCCAUCUCACAUGCCGCACACAAAUGCUCUGUAACACUCGUGUUUCUAGCCUAGGCAUUUAUAUUGAGUUGAUAGUCUAGGUUAACCGUUGUAACUCAUUUUGAAGAAAUGAAAAGGAGUUAUGUGAAUAUUAUGUGAAUUAUGUGUUUUAUGCUUAAGUAUUAGAGCUUAAUUAAUUAAGAAUAAAAAUAAGCGUCAAAAUUAAAGUGUGAGAUAAGCCCGAUAUCUUUACAUAAAGUUGUAGUGGUCGAAACAAGGAUUUCAGGGAUAUAAAGAAUACCAAAAUCCGAGUUAUAACGAAGAAGUUAUGACCUGUCGAAGUUUCACGACAAAACCGGCACGGUGCUGAAUGUCGUAAAAAGUGAGUUUUUGAUAAACUACUUUUUUAGCCUUAGUAAUCUAAACGAAAGUUGUAGUAUUCGUUAAACCGAGAAGUUCGAUAAAAAGAACGCCCAAAUCUGACUUCGUAUGAGGAACUUAUGAUUUUUCGAAGUUUCAGCGUAGCAGUAGACAGCUAAAAACUCGAAUUUUAGAUCGAGCGAUUUUUAGCCGACACAACCUAAACGAGAAUUGAAGGUCUCGUCAUUAGGAGCACAACGGUAAAAAGUCUGACGAAAACGGACGUCGGAUGAAGAAGUUAUGAAUUUUUAACGGAUUUCCUGUCCCGGUCUGUUAAAAAUAAUAAUAUAAAAAUUAAAGUCAAAAUUAGCCGACGAAGUCUAAACGGAAGUUGUAGAUCGUAAUUUUAGCUACGCGUGCAUAUAAAGAACGUCAAAAACGGAGCUCGUAUGCGAAAGUUAUGGAUUUUAGAAGUUUUGGCACGAAAACCGAGAAAUUUCGCAUAGUCACAAUUGCCACGUCACCCUCGCUUAGAAAGUGACACGUGUCCUGCUGAGUCACCUGGCUGCUGAGUCAUUAGGCUGCUGAGUCACCGAGGCUGCUGAGUCAUGCGAGCCACGUGUCCUCUUCUGAUUCGACCGAGGAGGAGGCCCAAUCCGAAGCAGCCAGCUCCCCAGCCGAAGCUUCGCCCAGCUGCCGCGUGUGUCCGAGCCUCGCAUAGCCUAGCUCCGAGCCUCGCAGGUGCGCCAGCAAGCCGCGGUCCACUUAGAAGCCGACAGCGAGCCCUCGCAUGUGCGAGCCAUGUGCGAGACCCCCCCUGCGAAGCCUCUUAGCCGUCGGAUCAGGAGACUUCUCAGCCGUUGGAUCAAACUUCGGACCCUAUAAAUAGAAGGGUACCUGCGAGGGUUUCCGGUUACUUUUGGAAUUUAGCCAUUUUUAGCCCCUCUCUCCAUAUUUUCUUCAUCUUAACAUCCCGCAAAGCCCCGGUAUCAAUUGUAAAGCCCGGAAUACCCCACGAAGUGCCCGAGAAGCCCGGAAAAUUUAUCUUUUCGGUUUCGAAGCCCGACUUUUGCAGAGCCCGGUUUCUCAAUAAAACUCCCGGUUUUAUUAGAAACGAUCGUUUUAGGAAACGAAUUGCUGCCCGAUUUUCACCAAAAUAAGUGAGUGUGUAGUUACUUUCAAUUUACACAUAGAUAUGAAGUAUUUACCUUGAAAUACGUGUUAUGUGUAAAUAUGCUAAUUGUUUAUUCGAGGUGACUGUUGAAUUGAUGUUUUAUACAAGUUUUAAACUGUAUAUGCUUUUUAUCUACAAAAUAUGUUGGGUAGAACAUGGGUAGAUGAAAUAGUUGAUGUGUGUUAAAAUGGUGAGAGGCCUCGAUGUUGAUGUUGUUGUUGUUGUUGUAGUCAUCUAGCGAAGUAUAGAUGACGACCACGGACUUUCUAGAUAGUCCAGUGGAACACUAGCAGGUUCGCAACUUGUAGGUGUUGAUGAAUUAAAUGUUCAUUGGCGUACUUCAUCCCCCUCAUGGUUGCCUUAAGGACAUGUAUGGCUGAGGAAACCCCUUAGCAGUAGUGUCCAUCCCGAUGAUAAUCCUUAGGCUAGGUCCCUUGUGAUAGGUGUUUAGGGACGUAAAGUGAGGACAACGGGAAUGGGUAAUCAGGGUUAUUGUUGAUUGGUGAACUUAAUAAGUAUAUUAUUAUUGUGGGUUGAAAACCCUAUAUGCUCACCAGGCUCCCAAGCCUGACCCACUCAGUUUUAUGAUUACAGGUAGUGGACCCCGAGCAUAGUCGGAGGAUGACGAGAGAUUUUUGGAUUAUAGGCCAGUAGUUGUAAAUAACUGUUGAAAGGCUUAUAAUGUCUUGUUUAUGCUUUUGAUCUGUAUCGGAACAUGACAUCCCGAGGUUUUGAUAUAUAUAUGGAAAAUAUAUACCUUCUUAAUGAAGGAUUUUGAUAAACUUUUAUCAUAUAUUGUUUGGGGACCAAUUCCGCAAUAUCUUAUAAAAAGAUUUCUCUGAUUUUAUUUUAAAAAGCAUAAAUUAAAUCGGUCUUUUCUGGCCGAGAAAUAUGGGGAUGUCACAGUUGGUAUCAGAGCAUUAGUUUAAGCGAACUAAGAAAUUGUAGAAUUUCUAGACUUGAACUUAGAAUGCUAAGUGAUGAUUGUGAGAUGAGUGUCUACCAUAUUUUAGACACGAGCACUAGUUUAUUUUAGGGAAGAUGCCUAAAAUGCCCUUAUGUGCUAAAUGCUAUGUGUUUGCCAUGUGUGCCAUUAUUUGUUCGGAUCUAUGGUCUGUUGCCGACCGGAUCUGGAAACCUUAUGUGUGUAGGAUUCUAAGUGUAUGAAUACGAGAUUAGAACUAACAUGUAAACGUUUCGGAGUGAUAAGGGAAUUGACAUGUCUAACAAGGAUAAAGACCUAAAUUUCGCCUUAUUCGGUAUAUAGAUUGUAAUGGCAAGAACUCGGAGUGGAGCUGGAAAUGCAAACAGAAACCAACAACCUCAACCUCCAGUGGUGGAACAGGUGCCUAUAGUAGGAGCUGCACCCGAACCCAUCACCAUGGCUGGAGUACGAACUAUGAUUCAGGCCAUGUUGGCUGAACAGAGGGAGGAAUUGAGGCAAAUGUUGCUGAACGACAGGGAUGAACCUUCAGUUCCUGUUGAACAACGUGAACUAAAUGACGAUCGAUCUGAAGAAGGGAACAAUAGCAGAUCGGUUGGUCAUAGUGAACCGCUUGUGGUUGGGAGGAAUAACCACGAGGGUAGAGUGGAGAGAAAUGGGUGCAAGUAUAAGGACUUUAUGACUUGCAAGCCAUCGACCUUCAAUGGAAAAGAAGAUCCUGUCGGAGUAAUGGACUGGAUCUCGGAAAUGGAGUUGGCUUUCAUGACUUGUGAUUGCCAAGGCAAGUUACAAACUACGUUUGCAGUACGUCAGUUCAGGGGUAGUGCUGCCCGUUGGUGGAGCACUUUGGGGAAAACCCUAAGCCCUAAUGAGCCACUGCAAUUAACUUGGGCAGAGUUCUUAGUGCACUUCAAGCGCAAGUACUGCUCGGCCCAAAACGUACUUGAGUUAGAAAACCAAUUUCUAACGUUGCAGAAGGGGAGUAUGACCGUUGACGAAUAUACAAAUAACUUCACAGACAAAAUGGAGUUUGCUUUGCGUAUUGUCCCAGAUGAGUUGGCAAAAAUAGACAGGUACGCAAAGGGACUUCCAUGGGAGUAUGCGGUGCCAGUACGUCAGGCACUUACUUUGGAGGCAGCUAUCUGGGCUGCCAAGUCUGUUGAAGAUAUGAUAAAAGGGAGAGCCGCCAGCAAGGUUGAAGUUGGCGAAAAGAGAAAGUUUGAAGGAACUUCAGGUUCCAAUAAAAAGAACAAAUUCUCGAAGACUGGUUCGAGAAAGUUUGGAGGAGGAAGCGAAGCCAAGUGGUGUGACAAGUGUAGGAAGAAACAUGCUGGGAAGUGCAGCGUGGAAGUCACUUGUUACAAAUGUGGAAAGCCAGGGCAUUAUGCCAAUGAAUGCACCUUCAAUAAGAACGUAUGUUUUGGGUGCAAUGAAGAAGGGCAUAUUUUGAGGGACUGCCCGAAGAAGAAGGACGCAGCAAAACCCAAUCUACCACCAAAGCCGAAGGCGAGAGCCUUUCAGAUGACCCUCGAAGCUGCGAAAGAAGAAGCCGAUGUCGCUUCAGGUACCUUUCUCGUAAACGAAUUGCCUGCCCAAAUUUUGUUUGAUUCUGGAGCCAAUUACUCCUUUAUAUCGCAUGAAUUUGGUAGAAAGCUAGCUUUGCCUGUAGAUAUGCUAGUUAAUGCUAUAAUAGUCGAGAUUGCUAGUGGCAAGUUUGUACCUGUUAGCCAUCGUAUGAAAAACAUCCUCAUUGACUUGGAUGGGAAUAAGUUCCAAGAGGAAUUAUUGCCUAUCGAGUUAAAUGGAUUCGACAUAGUUUUAGGAAUGGAUUGGCUUAGCGCCAACGAUGCAGAAAUACUAUGUAGAAAGAAGAUAGUAAAAGUAAACCCACCAGGGAGAGAGUCGUUUAUGGUGUACGGAGACAAACGCAGAGUAAACUCUGGAAUCAUUUCCCUAAUGAAAGCCAGAAAGUGUUUGGCCAAGGGAUGUACAUCAUAUCUAGCAUUCGUGAUCGAUGCCAAGAUGGAAAAGAAGGAGGUGCAGAAUAUUCCGGUGGUGUGUGAUUAUCCGGAAGUCUUUCCCGAAGAUCUUCCCGGAUUGCCCCCUGAUCGACAAGUAGAAUUUCGUAUCGACUUGUUACCAGGAACGACGCCGAUAGCGAAAGCACCUUAUCGAUUAGCGCCAACCGAAAUGAAAGAACUUAUGACACAACUUCAGGAGUUAUUGGACAAAGGUUUCAUUCGACCUAGUUCAUCACCCUGGGGAGCCCCUGUGUUAUUUGUAAAGAAGAAAGACGGAAGCAUGAGAAUGUGCAUCGAUUACAGAGAGCUGAACAAAGUGACGAUAAAGAACAAGUACCCGUUGCCAAGGAUCGAUGACUUGUUCGACCAGUUGCAGGGUUCGAGCUAUUUCUCGAAGAUCGAUCUUAGGUCGGGAUACCAUCAACUAAAGGUGAGAGAGCAGGAUAUCGAAAAGACUGCUUUUAGAACGAGAUAUGGACACUAUGAAUUUUUGGUUAUGUCGUUCGGACUAACCAAUGCCCCAGCAGCUUUCAUGGAUUUGAUGAAUAGGGUUUGUAAACCAUUCUUAGAUAAAUCCGUGAUAGUAUUCAUAGAUGAUAUCUUGAUUUAUUCGAAAAGCAAGCAGGAGCAUGAAAAGCAUCUGCGUGAAGUGCUAGAAGUCCUGAAAAAGGAGAAGCUGUAUGCAAAGUUCUCCAAGUGUGAAUUUUGGAUUCAAGAAGUCCAAUUUUUAGGUCAUGUGGUUAACCAAGAAGGAAUAAUGGUUGACCCAGCAAAGAUUGAAGCUGUAAUGAAGUGGGAACAACCAAAAAGUCCUACGGAGAUUCGAAGCUUUUUAGGAUUAGCUGGAUAUUACCGAAGGUUUAUCCAAGGCUUUUCUUCGAUUGCUACUCCAUUAACAGCUUUGACCCACAAAGGAGCCACUUAUGCUUGGAAUGAGAAGCAUAAGGAAGCCUUUGAGAAGUUGAAGAAGAGAUUGUGUGAAGCACCGAUUCUUUCAUUGCCUGAAGGAGUUGAUGACUUUGCAGUUUAUAGCGAUGCAUCCGGAGUUGGGUUAGGUUGUGUUCUGACCCAAAGGGAUAAAGUGAUCGCGUAUGCAUCGAGGCAAUUGAAGGAACAUGAAAAGAACUACCCCACUCAUGAUUUGGAGUUGGCAGCGGUAGUAUUUGCCUUGAAGAUAUGGAGGCAUUAUCUUUAUGGCACCAAGUGUAAACUUUUCACUGAUCAUAAGAGUCUCCAAUAUCUCUUUAAUCAGAAGGAAUUGAACAUGAGGCAACGACGCUGGCUAGAGUUACUCAAGGACUACGACUGUGAGAUACUUUACCACCCUGGUAAAGCAAAUGUUGUUGCUGAUGCUCUCAGUCGGAAGGUAAACCUUGAAAAGAAAAGGCCAAGAGCGUUGAGAAUUGAAGUUGUCUCGACAAUUGUGGAAAGUAUAAAGAAAGCUCAAGAGGAAGCUUUAGAGAAAAAUGACCGAAAGGAAGAACGUUUGGGCAAAACGUUAGUGUUCGGUACAAACAACCAAGGGUUGAAGGUAUUUCAAGAUAGAAUUUGGGUACCUAAGACGGGCGGAAUAAGAGAUCUUCUGAUGGAAGAAGCUCACAAGACCAUGUACUCAAUUCAUCCCGGCAGUACGAAAAUGUAUAGGGAUCUAAAACCCUAUUAUUGGUGGCCGACGAUGAAGCUCGAUGUUGCUAAGUAUGUGGCCGAGUGUGUAACUUGUGCUAGGGUUAAGGCACAACAUCAGAAACCGUAUGGGAGUUUAGAACCUUUACCCGUACCCAUGGGUAAAUGGGAAGACAUCACCAUGGAUUUUGUGACUAAACUGCCCAGAACAAGGAACGGUCACGACAUGAUUUGGGUGGUCGUUGAUCGCUUCACUAAGAGUGCGCAUUUCAUAGCGGCCAAAGAGAAAUGGUCUAUGGAUAAACUUGCGAAUUCUUACGUGAAGGAAAUUGUGAGGCUUCACGGUGUUCCGUUAACGAUUGUGUCCGAUCGUGACAGCCGUUUUACCUCAAGGUUUUGGAGGAGUCUACAAGAGGAAUUGGGUACCAAGUUGUGUUUGAGUACAGCUUACCAUCCGCAAACCGAUGGUCAGAGCGAGCGAACGAUUCAAACAUUGGAGGAUAUGCUGAGAGCAUGUACCCUAGAAUUCCAAGGUAACUGGGAUGAACACUUACCUUUAGUAGAAUUCUCCUAUAAUAAUAGUUUCCACUCAAGCAUUAAGAUGGCACCUUAUCACGCUUUGUAUGGGGAGAAGUGUCGAACGCCAUCAUGUUGGCUGGAAGCUGGGGAAAAGCAGUUUAUGGGACCUGAAAUAGUCCAUGAGACUGCUGAAAAGUUGAAAGUGAUAAGGGAAAGGAUGUUAGCUGCUCAAGAUCGACAAAAGAGUUAUGCUGACAAGAAAAGACAACCGAUAUCCUUCGAUGUUGGAGAUUCGGUUUUACUUAAAGUCUCGCCGUGGAAGGGACUUAUAAGAUUUGGUAAGAGAGGGAAGUUGAGUCCAAGGUUUAUUGGACCAUUUAAAGUUCUUCAGAGAAUCGGGAAUCAAGCUUACAAGCUAGAGUUACCGGAAGAACUAGAGGGUAUUCAUAACACCUUUCAUGUGUGUUAUUUGAGAAAGUUCACAGGAGAUGUGCCCGACAUAAUUCCGAUUUCUGAGUUAAGGUUGGAUGAAAACAAGAGGUUGAUCGAAGAACCUGAGGCAAUCGUUGACCGUAAGACUAUGAAGUUACGACGCAAGAUGGUCGAUUUAGUGCUUGUGCGCUGGAAACAUACGAAUGGACCAAAUCUCACUUGGGAAACGGAGAGUGACAUGAUGAGUCGCUACCCGCAGUUGUUUGGUGAUAUGUGAUUCCGGGGACGGAAUCAUCCUAAGGGGGAGAGAAUUGUAACACUCGUGUUUCUAGCCUAGGCAUUUAUAUUGAGUUGAUAGUCUAGGUUAACCUUUGUAACUCAUUUUGAAGAAAUGAAAAGGAAUUAUGUGAAUAUUAUGUGAAUUAUGUGUUUUAUGCUUAAUUAUUAGGGCUUAAUUAAUUAAGAAUAAAAAUAAGCGUCAAAAUUAAAGUGUGAGAUAAGCCCGAUAUCUUUACAUAAAGUUGUAGUGGUCGAAACAAGGAUUUCGGGGAUAUAAAGAAUACCAAAAUCCGAGUUAUAACGAAGAAGUUAUGACCUGUCGAAGUUUCGCGACAAAACCGGCACGGUGCUGAAUGUCGUAAAAAGUGAGUUUUUGAUAAACUACUUUUUAGCCUUAGUAAUCUAAACGAAAGUCGUAGUAUUCGUUAAACCGAGAAGUUCGAUAAAAAGAACGCCCAAAUCUGACUUCGUAUGAGGAAGUUAUGAUUUUUCGAAGUUUCAGCGUAGCAGUAGACAGCUAAAAACUCGAAUUUUAGAUCGAGCGAUUUUUAGCCGACACAACCUAAACGAGAAUUGAAGGUCUCGUCAUUAGGAGCACAACGGUAAAAAGUCUGACGAAAACGGACGUCGGAUGAAGAAGUUAUGAAUUUUUAACGGAUUUCCUGUCCCGGUCUGUUAAAAAUAAUAAUAUAAAAUUUAAAGUCAAAAUUAGCCGAUGAAGUCUAAACGGAAGUUGUAGAUCGUAAUUUUAGCUACGCGUGCAUAUAAAGAACGUCAAAAACGGAGCUCGUAUGCGAAAGUUAUGGAUUUUAGAAGUUUUGGCACGAAAACCGAGAAAUUUCGCAUAGUCACAAUUGCCACGUCACCCUCGCUUAGAAAGUGACACGUGUCCUGCUGAGUCACCUGGCUGCUGAGUCAUUAGGCUGCUGAGUCACCGAGGCUGCUGAGUCAUGCGAGCCACGUGUCCUCUUCUGAUUCGACCGAGGAGGAGGCCCAAUCCGAAGCAGCCAGCUCCCCAGCCGAAGCUUCGCCCAGCUGCCGCGUGUGUCCGAGCCUCGCAUAGCCUAGCUCCGAGCCUCGCAGGUGCGCCAGCAAGCCGCGGUCCACUUAGAAGCCGACAGCGAGCCCUCGCAUGUGCGAGCCAUGUGCGAGCCAUGCGAGCCAUGUGCGAGACCCCCCCUGCGAAGCCUCUUAGCCGUCGGAUCAGGAGACUUCUCAGCCGUUGGAUCAAACUUCGGACCCUAUAAAUAGAAGGGUACCUGCGAGGGUUUCCGGUUACUUUUGGAAUUUAGCCAUUUUUAGCCCCUCUCUCCAUAUUUUCUUCAUCUUAACAUCCCGCAAAGCCCCGGUAUCAAUUGUAAAGCCCGGAAUACCCCACGAAGUGCCCGAGAAGCCCGGAAAAUUUAUCUUUUCGGUUUCGAAGCCCGACUUUUGCAGAGCCCGGUUUCUCAAUAAAACUCCCGGUUUUAUUAGAAACGAUCGUUUUAGGAAACGAAUUGCUGCCCGAUUUUCACCAAAAUAAGUGAGUGUGUAGUUACUUUCAAUUUACACAUAGAUAUGAAGUAUUUACCUUGAAAUACGUGUUAUGUGUAAAUAUGCUAAUUGUUUAUUCGAGGUGACUGUUGAAUUGAUGUUUUAUACAAGUUUUAAACUGUAUAUGCUUUUUAUCUACAAAAUAUGUUGGGUAGAACAUGGGUAGAUGAAAUAGUUGAUGUGUGUUAAAAUGGUGAGAGGCCUCGAUGUCGAUGUUGUGUUGUUGUUGUAGCCAUCUAGCGAAGUAUAGAUGACGACCACGGACUUUCUAGAUAGUCUAGUGGAACACUAGCAGGUUCGCAACUUGUAGGUGUUGAUGAAUUAAAUGUUCAUUGGCGUACUUCAUCCCCCUCAUGGUUGCCUUAAGGACAUGUAUGGCUGAGGAAACCCCUUAGCAGUAGUGUCCAUCCCGAUGAUAAUCCUUAGGCUAGGUCCCUUGUGAUAGGUGUUUAGGGACGUAAAGUGAGGACAACGGGAAUGGGUAAUCAGGGUUAUUGUUGAUUGGUGAACUUAAUAAGUAUAUUAUUAUUGUGGGUUGAAAACCCUAUAUGCUCACCAGGCUCCCAAGCCUGACCCACUCAGUUUUAUGAUUACAGGUAGUGGACCCCGAGCAUAGUCGGAGGAUGACGAGAGAUUUUUGGAUUAUAGGCUAGUAGUUGUAAAUAACUAUUGAAAGGCUUAUAAUGUCUUGUUUAUGCUUUUGAUCUGUAUCGGAACAUGACAUCCCGAGGUUUUGAUAUAUAUAUGGAAAAUAUAUACCUUCUUAAUGAAGGAUUUUGAUAAAACUUUUAUCAUAUAUUGUUUGGGGACCAAUUCCGAAAUAUCUUAUAAAAAGAUUUCUCUGAUUUUAUUUUAAAAAGCAUAAAUUAAAUCGGUCUUUUCUGGCCGAGAAAUAUGGGGAUGUGACAUGCUCCUUUUCAAAUUUGAGAAGAGGAAGACCUCGAACGUAAUCACCAAUCACUAAUUUGUUGAUAUCUUUGAAGUUCAGGUGAGAUAGAUGUCGAUGCCAAAGCCAACAUUCAUCAGUGUUUGCCUUUGAUAGCAGACAGAUAGCUAGUGUCCCCCGAAUAGGAUUAAGAUUCAGAGGAUACAUUUCUCCUUUUCGUGCAGAUUUCAGCAGAACUUUCUUGGUUUGUUUUUCUAUUAUCUCAGAUCCUUCAUCAUCAAAUGAUACCUUCAGACCUGUGCCCACAACUAAUUUUGAUACACUGAUGAGGUUGUGCUGCAAUCCUUCUACAUAAGCCACUUUUCUAAUGGAGAAGUUUCCAUUAGUUAUCAUCCCAUAUCCUUUGAUUGUUCCAUAGGAAUUGUUUCCAAACUUCACCGAUCCACCAUCCUUUAGAGAUCGAAAUUCCCUUAGUUCCUCCUUUCUUCCUGUCAUGUGACGCGAGCAGCCACUGUCUAUAUUCCAUUCGUCGUCAAACUGCUCGUCACUGAUUACAUGCAAAUUUAACCAGAUUUAGGAACCCAAAGUUUCUUGGGUCGUGGUGAGUUUUUCACAGAGAAAAGAAUAACAGUAGAAGCAUCAACUAAAUAAGUCCGUUUAACAAGAGUCGUUUGAUCUUUUCUUUUGAUGGUAAACACUUUGAUUUUUUUUAUCUUCUUUAAAUUUUAAUGUAUCUUUUGGUGUUUCUUUAGAUGGUUUAGUGUUUUUCGUUGGAUUCCUAGGUUUAGUGGAGGAUCUCUUAUUUUCAUUUUCAGAGUCUGAAAACAGCUUUCCUUUUCCUUUGAUGUCCUUUAAGUAAUUUGUUUCAUCUUGGGAUCUAGAGGAUCCAUGUCUAGAAUUGGGACCAAAACUGGUUUUAGGACCGAAUCUGGAUUGAGAGCCGAAUCUGGGUUUAGAACCGAACAUGGGUCGAGGACCGAAAUUGGGUUGAGAACCGAACUUGGGUUGAGAAUUGAGACUUGACUUACGGUUUUGGGAUUUGGAAUAAUAGGAAUUUGGACUGAAAUUUUCCUUUGACUUUUCCUUUCCUUUAUCCAUAGAUUCUUUCCUAGAAGGUUCAUAGUUAGGAUUUUGAGAAUUCCAAUGCCUUUUCCGUUCAUUCAGAUUCGAGGCAUAUCUUUGAUUUCUGAGUCGUUUCUGUUCAGCUAGUUCCUUCUGAGAUUUGUGAACAUUGAAGCUGGCCUGUGGUUUCUCCUUAGUUUGAACUUUCGGUGCUUCCUGUCUCUUGAGUGGACCUCUCGGUUCAUUCCUCUCGAUUGGAACAUCAGGUUCAACUAUCGGUUCUUCAGGAACAUCUUUAGUUCCGCUUGUGUUAGGAAUAUCGAAACUAGAAGGUUUAUUGAUGGGUUCUGGUAUGUAUCGUCCUUUGACUCUCCAUGUGGUUUUCUCAGACAAUCCCACAGUUUCAUCUGCAUUAUCAAUGGGAGCAGACCAGAAAUAGUCUCACAUCCUUCAGCGUUAUCAUCGUCAACUAUUAUCCUUAAUUCUGUUGUUUGUCUUUGAGUGACUCCAGUCACAGCAUAAACUUGAUUUGGCACGGUCUGUACCUUUUGAUAAACCAAGGAUUUUUCUUUGAGUUUCGGUUUCUGUUCCUUUAACAGAUGAGCAAACUCAACCGAAUUUUUUGAAAUAAGAGGUUUUUCGCUAUGGAUUUCAUUUUUCACAAACUUAGAACAAUCCAGUGACUCCAGUCACAGCAUAAACUUGAUUUGGCACGGUCUGUACCUUUUGAUAAACCAAGGAUUUUUCUUUGAGUUUCGGUUUCUGUUCCUUUAACAGAUGAGCAAACUCAACCGAAUUUUUUGAAAUAAGAGGUUUUUCGCUAUGGAUUUCAUUUUUCACAAACUUAGAACAAUCCACAAUGUCCUCUACUGAGAUUUCACUCAUUUCACUCUCCGCAUCAAAUUCGGAUGAAUUAUCUAAGUUUAUUUUAUUAUCUUUAACAAUUUUGGCAUUUGACUCAUCGAAUGUUCGUAUAGUUUCGGUUUUAAUCUUUAACCUGUCAUUUUCAUCUAAGAUAUCUUUUAACAUACUUUUAUGUUCCUUAGAAUCGAUGAAAGUUUCUAUCUUAUCUAAACCUAGCCUAUACGACAUGGAUGUUUCUUCAGAGGAUACUUCUGAUUCACACUCUGCUAUAACCUCAUCUUCCUUAAAUUCAAGGAAGGGCAAAAUCAUUUUAUGUAUUUUCUUUCCAAUUUCACAAUUUAGAUGUAAUUGAGCAAUAUUAGUAUAAAGACGCUUAGCAAUUAAACAGAAAACAUUUCUUUGUUUUAACAAUUUUAAAUUGUCUCUUUGCAAAUAAAUACUCUCAUCCUUAGCCCUAACUAACUCUGCUUCCUUCUGCUCAAUCCAGAUCCUCCUCUCCUCACUUUUUGAAGACACCCUGCCGAGUUGGUCAGUUAGGUUAGAGUUUGCUAAGCGGGUUUGCAUGAGGCUACUACUUAGGUUGGAAAAUUUAGAAUUUAGUUCAUUUAAUUCUUCUAAAUAUUCAGUUUUGGGAAUUUUAAGAGAUUCAAGGAUAGAAUGUACCUUUUUGAUCAAUCGAUCGCAGUCGUUGAUCUUCUCACUCACCGGCUUGGCUGCAAAACACUUGUUUUCUGUCAGGUUCGGUUCUGUGUCAGCACUUUCGAUUGAUGGACCAUUAGUGACGAUAAAGCAUUUUCCACCAAAACCUUCAUUCUUUGCCACAAGCGCCUUACCAUGAGUGGGUCUUCUAACCUCUUCAUCUUCAGAGUCUGUUGACCAGACUUCUACACUACCGAACUCAUCUUUCCCUGCAUUUUCUUGUACAAUUAGCGCAUUCAUCGAACUGUUGGAAGCCUUUUUCUUCUUGACUUCUUCUAAUUUACGCAUGUAAUACGCUUCAUCAUCUUCACCGUCUCUCUUUUCAGCCAUCUUACUUAGCAUGCAAUCUUUGGCAAAGUGGUUCUUGCCGUGGCAAUAGUUGCAGUCGUAUCCAGAGUCUCCUGCAAGCUUGUUUUCCUUUUUCUUUUCCACCUUUUGAGAAGAGACUUUCGGUUCAUCUUUUAUUUUCUCAGAACUAUAACUUCCCUGCCAAUUUCAGUUCUUAUUGGUGGGAAAUUUUCUUCUUGCGAAUUUCUUUGGAUUUGUUAUCAUUAAAGCAUACUCCUCACUUGUAAGAUCACAUUCUGACAUGUCUGACUCUUCUUCUUCUUCAACAACACUUUUUCCUUUAGAGACAAGAGCCAGCGAUCCCAUGCCAGAGACCACUUUCACCUCCUUAGUUACAACACUUUCAUGUGACUUUAGUAUCCCUACUAGUUUCGCCAGUGAGUACGAUUUGAACUGUUCAUGCGCCUUCACAGUGGAAACCACAACCAUCCAUUCUGGUCUGAGCCCGUUCAUGAAUGUAACUUUCUGCUCGAUCAGCUUCCUCUCAAUUCCAUGCUUGAUCAUCUUACUUAAAAGAUGAUUGAACCGAUCAAAGGUCUGAAUGAGCUUCUCUUCAGGUUUCUGUUCAAAAACUCCAAAUUCUGACAGCAACAAAGUUUGAAUUGAGUGUUCCAGAUCUUCAUCAGUUGAGUAAAGUUCCUUCAACCUAUCCCAGAUCUCUUUAGCAGUUAUGCAUGAGCCUACAAGCCGAAAAGUGUCAUAUUGUAAGGCGAAUCUUAUCAUUCGCAUGGCCUUAACAUUACAUAGGAUCUUGUCCUUCUCAUCUUGUGGCAUCUUCUAAACAUCUGUCAUGAGUUUGUUGUAAUCCUUCUGAGUCUUAACGAUCGUGUUUGUUUCUGAAUGAACAAACGGUCCAAGAAUGAUAGCUUCCCAGAUGAGAUAGCCAUUAUCUUCAGAUCCAACCACGUAAUCUUCAAAGUGAUGAGCCCACACUUCGUAGUCUUGAGUGUAGAGUAUGGGAACUCUAGUUGUAGAUCUGAUGCUGUUUGAGAUGUUAAUUGGGUUUGUAUGCGUAUCGUCGUGGGACCUAGUGAGCUACUAGAAUCAUACCUGUAAACUUGAGAUUAGGGUUUUAUCAAAAACUAAGUAGUCGUCGUUAAGAAGACGAUGACUUCGAUAAAAGCGGAAACCCUAAAGAUUUGAGAAUACAGAAGUAAAGUGUAUUGAACACACAAUCUCCUACUCUGAUACCAAUUGUUAGAACAAUGUUCUAUCAGGAUCGUAUGAUUCUAAACAAAAUAUAAAUAAGAAUGUAAUAAUGAACACAAGUAUUGCACUGAAUAUGUCGAUUGAUUAACGCAAAGAUACCCCAGAAGAGCUAUAUAAAGAACUUCAAUAUGUAGAGGUAUUAUAGGGUUACAAGAAACAACGUAAUCUACUAUUCUAUUUUAUACGCAUACAUGCAUGCAUAUAUUUAUAUUAAAACCCUAACAACUUAUCUAGAUAAAAGGAAACUAUUCUAGAUAACUACGGAUGGACAAGCCCAAUCCGAUUAAAAAAUCAAAAGGCCCAAGACGCAACACUAAAAUACUCAACAAUUUCUCAUAUAACAGAGUGUUGGAAUAACAGUGUUGCACGAAACCCUAGUGCACCCACUCUCCUGAUAUUUCCUGAAGUGUAAACCCUGAGUUACUCAAACUUACACAAAAAAGUCUAAAAAUUAACUGUGACCACUAUAACAUCUAUUGAAGUGAUAUAGUUUGUACAGAAUGGAAAUUUCGGGUUGUCACAACUUAUGUCUUAUGUCAGCAUAGCUCUUUUGACGAUCACGUGCAGCCUUUAAUCGAUUCUUAAUUUGCACGAUCUCUUCGGUUGUCUUGUGGAUUAUUUAUGGCCCAGUACAUAAGGUAUCGCCUGUACGUUCUCUGGCCAUCUGCGUAUCUCCAACUUCUGACCAACAUACUGGGGAACGACAUUUUCGUCCAUACAGAGCCUCAAACAGUGCAGCCUUGAUGCUGGUGCGAUGACUAUUGUUGUAGGAAAACUUAAUUAACGGUAAAUGAGUAUCCAACGCAUCCCCAAAGUCAAAUACAUAGGCUCGGAGCAUAUCUUCUAAAGUCUGAGUGGUUCUCUCACUCUGACCAUCAGUCUGUGGAUGGUAAGUUGUACUCAUGUUUGAUGGGUUUUUGGUAAAACAAAUAAACUAGAAAUCAAUUUCCUAAGUUCGCAUGCAACCUACUUUGGAUCUAUGUUUUAACUAUUGAACAUACAACAUUGAAUUGCAAAAGAAGAACCCUAGAGGAGGUGACUUAUUUCAAAAUUAACAAACUAGGGUUUAGGAAUUACAUACCUUUAAAUUGUUAUAGCAAACAAUUGACAAUUCCCCUGAUCUUGAUCUUCUUGGAAGCCUAGCACAACAAGUGUAAUGCCUCUAAUGGAAUCACACCCAAACUAGCAAGAAGGAAAGUAGAGGAGAGAGGGGAGAGGGAGUAUGCAAAAUCUUGGCCUUAGGGGUUCUUCAAAAGAAAGAGUACCCAAAAUGUGAACCACGAGGCUCCUUAUCUAGCUGAGGGAUCUAGGGUUUAGGGCAAACCCUAAUGUUCCUUUCUUAGGGCCUAAGCAAACCCAAGGGCCUUAUCUUGGACCCCUAGGACGAAUUCUCUAGGGUUUCACCUAGGGUUUUUGUCUACCUCCUUCCAAGGGGGUUCUAGAGCCUUCCACUCAACUUUUAGAUAAUUGCAAACUAGUCCCUGCACCUUACAAUUAAUACUUUUAACCCCAAAAUUAAUUCUAAUUAAUUUCUGGCUAACUAUUAAUUAAACAAAAUGAUUUCUAAUUAAUAUAUCAAUCUUUUAACAUAUUAAUAAAUUCAUUUAUAUUAAUUUAUUAACCUUAUAAUAAAUUAAUAUCUCUCCUUUCAUAAUUUCCUUGUCCGGUUGCUAGGUUUGAGGGCAACCCAAAAGGACUGUGCUGCUAUCUAUUCAAGUACAUACCAAUUAUAGUUAUCGGCUUAGACACCUAAUCCCACAGUCUCCCACUUGGAUAAGUCUGUAACUAUAAUUGCUAGUAUGACUUCUAAAUUUGACCAGCAAAUUGUAGCUUCCAAAAAGCUGAUGCCGAACUCUGACCCAGUCAGUUACGCAUCCUAAGAUAAGUGAUCUCAUGACCCUUCGUUCUACUAGAUAUCCCUAGACAUAAGACAUGGAAUACAAUCAAUCUCUUUGUCCAAAAUCUUUGUUUCCCAAUUUCUGAUUUGUGAUGAUAUAGGACAUCUAAUCGAACACAUCAAUUUAGUCCUGGUAGGGCCCAGCACAAAAGUUAACACCAAAUCAUCGAGGGGCCCACAGAUAUCGCUUUUCCCAUUUGGGCAAAAGGAAUGAAUAAAAAUUGACUCAUAUGCUUGUAUCUUUUACUCAUCAAACCAUAUAUGAUAAUACGUUUUAUAACACCAAGUUACUGAUUCAUUUUUGUAUCACCAAUGCAUAGCCGACUUGCAAAUUACAACUCAUAUAUCUCUAUUUUAAGAUCGUAGAUAUUAUCGUCUCAGUAUUACUCGUGAUGAAUUCCAUGAAGUAAUACUCUGAGCGUGGUUUUAUCCAAUACUGAAAUCUCACUCUCUGAGUAUUCAUGAACAUUGCAGCAAUUCUUAUUGCUAUGUCUACCCUUAGACAAUCUGCAAUCCAAUUCAUGACAGUCUUAAUUCACUACUUACUUCCAAAAGUACGAGCGAAUGUGGAGUUCGAACAAUCAUAUUAUACAGGAAGUAAAACAUGCAAAAUAUGAAACACAAUAAUAAACAAUUGACAAAAGGUAGUAAACUCAUAAAUAAUACUUUAUUAUUUAAUCACCAAAAGUCAAUUACAUUUGCUUUGUAACAUGUUUCUGAAAUAGACUAGUCUAACUACUAAAACUAAUAUCAUCUUUCAACCCUAUGCUUCUGCUGAAUAUGCUUAGCCCUACUCCGACCCUUUGUGAGGAGGUCUACCGGGUUAUCUUCAGAUGACUCCCUCUUUACAACAAGAUGGCCUUCUUCUACUCUAUGUCUGAUGAAAUGGUACUUUCUAUUGAUAUGUCUGGUCUUACCAUGGUCUCUGGGUUCCUUAGUUAAGGCAACCGCUCCCUCAUUAUCGCAGAACAGUUCCAUAGGCUCCUAGAUGGUUGGAACAACUCCGAGAUCCCUAAUGAUGUUCCUCAACCAAGCUGCUUCUUUAGAUGUUUCACUCGCUGCUAUGUACUCUGAUUCACAAGUAGAAUCAGCCACCGUAUCUUGCUUGGAACUCUUCCAAGUAACCGCUCCUCCAUUCAAUAGAAAUACCCAGCCAGAUUGAGAACGAAAGUUAUCACUGUCUGUUUGAAAGCUGACAUCACUGUAACCAUCCACUCUCAAAGUACCAUUGCCACCAAGUACAAGGACCCAGUCCUUUGUUCUUCGCAAAUACUUGAGUAUAUGCUUUACUGCUAUCCAAUGAGCUCUACCUGUGUUUCCUUGAUAGCGACUAACCAUGCUCAAAGCAAAGGCCACAUCAAGGCGAGUACAUGUCAUAGCGUACAUGAUCGAUCCGACAACGGAAGCAUAAGGUACAAAAAUUAUGUCAGCUAUUUCCUCGUCUGUACUAGGGCAUUGAGUCUUACUCAAUUUUGUGUUGCCCUGGAUAGGUAGCUCUCCCUUCUUGGAAAUUUCCAUACUAAACGUCUUUAGUGCCUUAUCCAAGUAUGUGCUCUAAUUCCAAUUAGUCUCUUCUUUCUAUCGCUUAAUAUCCUAAUCCCAAGAAUAUAGGCAGCUUCUCCAAGGUCUUUCAUGGCAAAACACUUUCCAAGCCAAGACUUAACUUCGUUCAAGGUUGGAAUGUCAUUACCAAUGAGUAAUAUGUCAUUGACAUAUCACACCAGAAAAGUCACUAUACUCCCACUAGCCUUGAUAUACACACAAAACUCAUCUUCACUCCUAGAGAAACCAAACUCUUUGACUUUCUCAUGGAAGCAAAGAUUACCACUGCGAGAUGCUUCUUUCAAUCCAUAAAUGGAUUUCUCAAGCUUACACACUCUAUUGGGAAACUUUAAAUCGACAAAACCCUCUGGUUGAUUCAUGUAAACAUCCUCAGCCAGCUUCCCAUUAAGGAAAGCAGUCUUGACAUCCAUCUGCUAGAUUUCGUAGUCAUGAAAGGCAGCUAUGGCGAGCAAUAUCCUGAUAGAUUUAAUCUUGGCUACAAGCGAGAAUGUUUCAUCAUAGUCAACCCCUAGGGUUUGUGUGAAACCUUUCGCAACCAGUGUAGCCUUGAAUGUGUGUACAUUCCCAUCCAUGUCUGUCUUCUUCUUGAAGAUCCAUUUACACCCAAUUGUCUUUCGACUCAGUGCAUUAUCAACCAAAUUCCAAACUUGGUUGUCAUACAUGGACUUUAUCUCGCUGUCCGUUGCCUCUUUCCACUUGGAAGCCUCUGGGCCUGCCAUUGCUUCCUUAUAAGAGACUAGUUCAUCUAAAUUCACCAGUGUCCUAUCACUGAUGAAUGUGUCACCGUCUAAAGUAAUAUGAAAACCAUACAACUCAGGUGGUACGCUCACCCUACUGGAUCUUUGAAGAGGUAAUGAUUUAUCAACUGGUUCAACAGGAACUGUUUCCUCUGGUUGAGUGCCAAUGUCAUCUAAGGUCAAUGGUACUCUCACUUUCCUCUUUGAAUAUGAGUUCUCUUUCUAGAAAGACUCCUCUUCGUGCUACAAAAACCACGUUCUAACUAGGUCUGUAGAACAAAUAUCCAAAAGACUGUUUUGGGUAACCAAUAAAAACACAUUUCUCACUUCUUGCUGCUAGCUUGUUGUGAGUCUCUCGUCUUAUGAAAGCUUCACAACCCCAGACUUUAAUAUGUGCUAACGAGGGAACUUUCCAUGUCCACAUUUCAUGAGGUGUUUUGGCAACCUUCUUUGUUGGCACAAGAUUUAGGAUGUGGGCGGCUUUUUCUAAGGCAUAGCCCCAGAAAUGAAUUGAAAGUGAGGCAUGACUCAUCAUAGAACGAACCAUGUCCAACAAGGUUCGAUUACACCUUUCAGCCAGACCACGUAACUAUGGUGUCCUAGGAGGAGUCAAUUAUGAGACUAUCCCACAUUCCUUUAGAUAGUCAUUGAACUCAAUACUAAGAUACUCUCCGCCUCUAUUGGAUCUAAGUAUGUUUAUUGUAAUGCCCGUGUUUCUGGGCUUGCCAUUUUUAGCAAUGUAAUAGUCUAGGUUAACCUUUGUAACCCCAAUUCGAAAUAAUAAAAUGUAUUAUUUGUGAAUUAUUUGAAUUAUGUGAUUUAUGUGUGUAUUUUCUUAAUUUUUAUAAUUUAAUGAAUUAAGAAUAAAAUAAGCGUCAAAAAUUAAAGUGUGAGAUAAGCCCGACAUCUUUGCAUAAAGUUGUAGUGGUUGAAACAAGGAUUCCAGAGAUAUAAGGAAUGCCAAAAUCCGAGUUAUAACGAAGAAGUUAUGACCUGUCGAAGUUGCAAGACAUAACCGGCACGACACCGAGUGACGUAAAAUAUGAAUUUAAGAUAGAGCGAUAUUCAGCCUUAGCGAUCUAAAUGAAAGUCGUAGAUUUCAUUAAACCGAGAGCGUGCAUAAAAGGAACGCCCAAAUCUGACUUCGUAUGAGGAUGUUAUGAUUUUCUGAAGUUUCGACGUGGUAGUAUGCAGCCCGAAUACUCGAUUUGAGAUCGAGCAGUUUUUAGCCGAAACAAUCUAAAUGAGAAUCGAAGAUCUCGUUGGUAGUAGCGAAACGAUGAAAAGAUAGGCGAGAACGGACGUCGGACGAAGAAGUUAUGAUUUUAUAACGAAAUUUUCCUGUCCGAACCUUCUAAAAAUAAUUAAUAAAAAUAAAAAUCAAAAUUAGCCGACGGAGUCUAAACGAAAGUUGUAGAGCGUAGUCUCACCUUCGCGUGAAUAUAAAGAACGUCGAAAACUGAGUUCGUAUGAAGGAGAUAUAUAUUUUUGAAGUUUAAUAAAUAUUUAAUAUUUAUUUUUAAUUUAACUCCGAUAUUAUCCGAAGAGAAGUGAGGCGGUCUAUCCGAAGUACGCAGCACGUACUGCUGUACACCCCGCGUACAGCGAAGGGCACUCGAGUAGUCCGAAGUCGUAUGCAGUGACGUAAGGAGACCCAUGACGUAAGCGCUGGCGACCCCCCGAGGCGUACGCCCCGCAUACCCCGAAGUUACGCCCCGCGUUCGUGCGAGGGUCAGCCUAUAAAAGGGGAUCCGAAGGCAGCUCAUUCUUCAUUCACAAUUCCAUCAUUCUCUCUAGUCCUUUGCCUUGUUUUGCAUGCCGUUUGUACCCCGAAGCCUCGGUAUUAUUUCUGAGCCCCGAAGCGAGAUCCGAAGCCCCUAGAACCCCGAAGAGCAUUAUUCCCGAGCCGAAGCCCUGCCCGCGAGGAGCCGGUUUUUGUGAAGAUCUUCCAGAUCUACGGAGAGACGCUACUUCUGUAAGCCGUAGUGCUGUCGGAUCAUCUUCUGCUCAAGUGAGUGUGUAGUUAUUUUCUUUGCAACGCAAUAUUAUGAAGUAUUUAAUAUAAAAUACGUGUACGUGUAAAUAUUUUGUGGUUAUAUGUGUGAAUGUAUAUUCACUCUCUUCUGUCACAUAGAUCUGAUAUAUUCUCUAUGAAAUACGUGUUAUGUGUGUAUGCCUCAUCUGUUAUGUGGAAUAUGUGUUGAUUACAGCAUGCUAUACAGGUUUUUAAACAAUGUAUAAAAAUGUAUAUUUUUAUCUACUAAUAUGUUGGGUAGAACAUGGGUAGAUAAUUGGUGUGUAAUAAACAGAUUAGAGACCUCGGUGUUAUUGGUGUUAUUCUAGUCAUUCAGCAGAGUAUGGAUGACGACCACGGACUAUUCUAGACUGUCCUGUGGAACACUAGCAGGCUCAUUACCUGUAGGUGUUGUGAACGACGUGUUCACCGGUGUACUCUAUCCCCCACAUGGUUGCCUUUAGGACACUUAUUGUUGAGGAAGCCCCUCUGCAGUAAUGUCCGUCCCGAUGAAAAUCCUGAAAUAAGUUCCUUAUAAUAGACGUUAUUUUUAGGAACGUAAGGUGAGGAUAACGGGAAUGGGUAAUCGGGUUUAUUGUUGAUUGUUGAAAUUAAAUAUAAUUAUUGUGGGUUUGAAAACCCUAUAUGCUCACCAGGCUCCCAAGCCUGACCCACUCAGUUGAUUUGUAUUACAGGAAGUGGCGCAAGAGCUUAAGAUGGGCGAAUCAUCAAGUUGUUUUGUUUACAAGUCUGUAUAUGUAUAUAUUUGUUGAACGACUUGUAAUGUUAUCGUUUAUGCUUUAUGAUCUAUAUCGGAACAUGACAUCCCGACUUUUGAUUAUGAAAUGAAAUCAUAUUUCUAUAUGAAAUGUUUUGAUAAAUAUCUAUUUUAUCAUGUUUUGUUUUUGGGAACAAAUUCCGCAUCUCUUUUAAAAUCAAACGGAUUUACUCUGAAAAUGGUUUAAAAAGCAUAAAUGAAAUCGGUCUUUUCUGGCCGAGAUUUUGGGGAUGUCACAAUUGGUAUCAGAGCAUUAGUUUAAGCAAACUAGGAAUUUGUUGGAUUUCUAGACUCAAACUUAAGAUGGUAAGUGGAGAUUGUGAGAUUUGUGUCUGAUAAAUUUUAGACACGAGCACUAGUUUAUUUUAGGAAAGUUGCCUAAAAUGCUUUUAUGUGCUAAAUGUUAUAUGUUGCCAUAUAUGAUAUUAUUUGUUCGGAUCUACGGUUUGUUGCCAACCGGAUCUGAAGGUUUAUGUGUUUAGGAUUCUAAGCGUAUGUAUACGAUAUUAGAACUAGCAUGUAAUCGUUUGGAGUAAUAAGGUGAAAUUAUUCGGUGUGUAGAUCAAAAAUGGUGAGAACAAGAAGCGGAGUUGGAAAUGCUGAUGAAAACAGGAAUCAACCGCCUGUAAAUCAACAAGUACCUGUCGUAGUUGAUGCACCUGAGCCGAUAACAAUGGCUGGUGUACAAAUGAUGAUUCAAAUGAUGUUGGAUCGUCAGAUGGAAGAAAUAAGACGCCUGCUUAGGUAGGAUCGUGAGGAACCGUCAAUUCAAGCGGAAGAGCCCGAGGAGAAUGGAGGGCAGUCUGAAGGAGAAAACUUUAGUGGGAUCAUUGGUCAAGACGAACAACCAGUGGUUAGACGCAAUAACCAGUAUGGAGGAAAUGAUGGUCGUGGGUGCAAGUAUAAGGAUUUCAUGGCAUCCAAACCACCAUGUCUAUCCGGAAGCCCGACGCCGGUGCAAGUUAUGGACUGGGUCUCCGAAAUGGAGACUAUGUUUGAAAGUUGCGAAUGCAGCAACAGGCAGAAGACCGCUCUUGCGAUCCCUCUGCUAAAAUCUGGCGUGUUGAGUUGGUGGAAGCUGUUAGCUGACUCUAUGCCCAAGGGAGAAGCAAGCAAAAUGUCUUGGGAAGACUUUGUGGAACAACUAAAAAUGCAAUACUGCUCCGAGCAGGACCUUCUGGAAAUCAGUAAUGAGUUUCAGAAUUUGAAGAAAGGGAAAUUGAGCGUUACUGAAUACGCUGCAAGUUUCACAGAAAAGAUGAAGUUUAUCCCAUAUUUGGUGCCUACAGAACUCUCUAAGGUCAACAAGUUUGCCCUUGGACUACCAGCGGACUAUGGUCCAAUGGUUAAGCAAGCAACCACAUUGAAAGCCGCCAUCUGGGCUGCUAGAAAUGUUGAGACCCAGAUCAGGGAAAAAGGUCUGGAAAGGUCAGAGGUUGGCGAGAAAAGGAAAAUCGAUGGAUUUUCAGGGUCCAGCAAGAAAAGUAAAUUCUCGAAGUCUAGUUCGAGGGGAAGUGGAGGAAAGGUAGAAGCGAAAUGGUGUGACAAGUGCAAGAAGAAGCAUUAUGGGAAGUGUGGCGGGGAAACCACAUGCUUCAAAUGUGGAAAGCUAGGGCAUUAUGCCAAUGACUGCACCUUCACCAAAAAUGUUUGUUAUGGUUGUGGUGAGGAGGGGCACAUCUCAAGGGAUUGUCCGAAAAAGAAGGAAGCAGCAAGACCCAACAUUCCGCCAAAGCCAAAGGCGAGAGCAUUCCAGAUGACACUGGAAGCUGCUAAAGAUGAAGUUGAUGUCGCUUCAGGUACCUUUCUCGUUAACAAAUUGUCUGCCCAAAUUUUAUUUGAUUCUGGAGCCAACUACUCCUUUAUAUCGCAUGAAUUUGGUAGAAAACUAGCUUUGCCUGUUGUUAGACUAGAGAAUGCUUUAUUAGUCGAAGUUGCUAGUCGCAUGUUUGUACCUGUUAGCCAUCAUAUGAAAAACAUCUUAAUUGACUUGAAUGGGAAUAAGUUCCACGAGGAAUUAUUUCCUAUCGAACUUAAUGGUUUCAACAUCGUUUUGGGAAUGGAUUGGCUUAGCGCCAAUGAUGCUGAAAUUUUAUGCUAGAAGAAAAUAGUGAAAGUGAAUCUACCUGGGAAGGAAUCGUUUAUGGUGUACGGAGAUAAACGUAGAUUAAAUUCUAGAAUCAUUUCUCUAAUGAAAGCCAUAAAAUGUUUGACCAAGGGGUUACAUCAUACUUAGCAUUCGUGAUCGACGCUAACAAGGAAAAGAAGGUGAUGCAAAAUAUUCCUGUUGUGUGUGAUUAUCCGGAAGUAUUUCCUGAAGAUCUUCCUGGAUUACCGCCCGAUCGACAAGUAGAAUUUCGUAUCGACUUGUUGCCCAGAACAACGCCAAUUGCAAAAGCACCUUAUCGAUUAGCACCGACGGAGAUGAAGGAGCUAAUGAUGCAACUUCAGGAGUUAUUGGACAAAGGUUUCAUUAGACCUAGUUCAUCACCCUGGGGAGCUCCGGUGUUAUUCGUAAAGAAGAAAGAUGGAAGCAUGAGGAUGUGCAUUGAUUACCGAGAGCUGAAUAAGGCAACAAUAAAGAAUAGAUAUCCGUUGCCAAGGAUUGAUGACCUAUUCGAUCAACUACAAGGUUCAAGUUAUUUUUCAAAGAUCGACCUAAGGUCAGGAUAUCAUCAGUUAAAAGUAAGAGAGCAGGAUAUAGAGAAGACUGCAUUCAGAACGCGAUAUGGACACUAUGAGUUCUUGGUUAUGUCGUUUGGACUAACCAAUGCUCCAGCAGCAUUCAUGGAUUUAAUGAACAGAGUUUGUAAUCCGUUCCUUGAUAAAUCUGUGAUAGUGUUCAUUGAUGACAUUCUGAUUUAUUCGAAAAGCCAAGAGGAGCAUGGCAGACACUUGCGAGAAGUGUUGGAAGUCUUGAAGAAGGAGAAGUUGUAUGCGAAGUUCUCCAAAUGUGAUUUCUGGAUUCGUGAAGUCCAAUUCUUGGGUCACGUGGUCAACCAAGAAGGGAUAAUGGUUGAUCCAGCGAAGAUCGAAGCUGUGAUGAAGUGGGAACAACCGAAAAGUCCCACGGAGAUCCGAAGCUUUUUAGGAUUAGCCGGAUAUUACCGAAGGUUUAUCCAAGGCUUUUCUUCGAUCGCUAGUCCAUUAACAGCUUUGACCCACAAAGGAGCUACUUAUGCUUGGAGUGAUAAGCAUAAAGAAGCAUUCGAGAAGCUAAAGAAGAAACUAUGCGAGGCACCGAUACUUUCUCUACCCGAUGGGGUUGAAGACUUCGCUGUUUAUAGCGAUGCGUCUGGGGUUGGAUUGGGUUGCGUUUUGACCCAAAGGGAUAAGGUGAUCGCAUAUGCGUCUCGACAGCUGAAAGAGCACGAAAAGAACUACCCGACUCAUGAUUUGGAGUUGGCAGCGGUAGUUUUCGCACUGAAAAUAUGGAGGCAUUACCUCUAUGGCACGAAGUGCAAACUUUUCACUGAUCAUAAGAGUCUCCAAUAUCUCUUUAGUCAGAAAGAAUUGAAUAUGAGGCAACGACGCUGGCUGGAAUUACUUAAGGACUACGACUGUGAGAUACUUUACCACCCCGGUAAGGCCAAUAUUGUUGCUGAUGCUCUCAGUCGGAAGGUCAAUCUUGAAAAGAAAAGGCCAAGAGCGUUGAGAAUUGAAGUUGUCUCGACUAUUUUGGAAAGUAUAAAGAAAGCUCAAAGCGAAGCUUCUGAGAAAAAUGACCGAAAGGAGGAACGUUUGGGCAAAACGUUGGUGUUCGGUGUAAACAGUCACGGACUGAAGGUGUUCCAAGAUCGGAUUUGGAUACCUAAGACAGGAGGAGUCAGAGAUCUUCUGAUGGAAGAAGCUCACAAAACCAUGUACUCGAUUCAUCCCGGUAGCACAAAAAUGUAUAGGGACCUGAAACCCUAUUAUUGGUGGCCGACGAUGAAGCUCGACAUUGCGAAGUAUGUGGCCGAGUGUGUGACUUGUGCAAGAGUCAAGGCACAACAUCAGAAACCAUACGGGAGUUUAGAACCAUUACCUGUGCCUAUGGGUAAGUGGGAAGACAUUGCUAUGGAUUUUGUCACUAAACUACCCAGAACAAAAAGUGGUCACGACAUGAUUUGGGUGGUCGUUGAUCGAUUCACUAAGAGUGCGCAUUUCAUAGCAGCCAACGAGAAAUGGUCUAUGGAAAAGCUUGCGAAUUCUUACGUGAAGGAAAUUGUGAGGCUUCACGGUGUUCCGUUAACGAUUGUGUCGGAUCGUGAUAGUCGUUUCACCUCACGAUUUUGGAAAAGUCUACAAGAGGAAUUGGGUACCAAGUUGUGUUUAAGUACAGCUUACCAUCCGCAGACUGAUGGUCAGAGUGAAAGAACGAUACAAACACUUGAAGAUAUGCUGAGAGCGUGUACCUUGGAAUUCCUAGGUAAUUGGGAUGAACAUUUACCUUUGGUAGAAUUUUCCUAUAAUAAUAGUUUUCACUCGAGCAUAAAGAUGGCACCUUAUCAAGCAUUGUAUGGACAGAAGUGUCGUACGCCGUCUUGUUGGCUUGAGGCUGGGGAAAAGCAGUUUAUGGGACCGGAGAUAGUCCAUCAAACGGCUGAAAAGUUGAAAAUAAUUAGGGAAAGAAUGUUAGCAGCUCAGGAUCGUCAAAAGAGCUAUGCUGACAAAAAGCGAAGACCGAUGACUUUUGAAGUUGGAGAUUCGGUUUUGCUUAAAGUCUCGCCGUGGAAGGGACUUAUAAGAUUUGGUAAAAGGGGAAAGUUAAGUCCAAGGUUUAUUGGACCGUUUAAAGUUCUUCAGAGGAUUGGGAACCAAGCUUACAAGCUCGAACUACCAGAAGAACUGAAUGGAAUUCAUAACACUUUUCAUGUGUGUUAUUUGAGGAAGUUCACGGGAGAAGUUCCCGACAUAAUUCCACUUUCGGAGUUGAGGAUCGAUGAGAACAAAAGGUUGAUUGAGGAACCGGAGGCAAUCGUUGACCGAAAGACUAAGAAGUUGCGACGUAAGAUGGUUGAGUUAGUGCUUGUCCGAUGGAAACACACGAAUGGGCCGAAUCUCACCUGGGAGACGGAGAGUGACAUGAUGAGUCGCUAUCCGCAUUUGUUUGCUGGUGUGUGAUUCCGGGGACGGAAUCAUUCUAAGGUGGAGAGAAUUGUAACGCCCGUGUUUCUGGGCUUGCCAUUUUUAGCAAUGUAAUAGUCUAGGUUAACCUUUGUAACCCCAAUUUGAAAUAAUAAAAUGUAUUAUUUGUGAAUUAUUUGAAUUAUGUGAUUUAUGUGUGUAUUUUCUUAAUUUUUAUAAUUUAAUGAAUUAAGAAUAAAAUAAGCGUCAAAAAUUAAAGUGUGAGAUAAGCCCGACAUCUUUUCAUAAAGUUGUAGUGGUUGAAAGAAGGAUUCCGGAGAUAUAAGGAAUGCCAAAAUCCGAGUUAUAACGAAGAAGUUAUGACCUGUCGAAGUUUCGCGACAGAACCGGCACGACGUCGAGUGACGUAAAAUAUGAAUUUAAGAUAGAGCGAUAUUUAGCCUUAGCGAUCUAAACGAAAGUCGUAGAUUUCGUUAAACCGAGAGCGUGCAUAAAAGGAACGCCCAAAUCUGACUUCGUAUGAGGAAGUUAUGAUUUUCUGAAGUUUCGACGUGGCAGUAUGCAGCCCGAAUACUCGAUUUGAGAUCGAGCGGUUUUUAGCCGAAACAAUCUAAAUGAGAAUCGAAGAUCUCGUUGUUAGUAGCGAAACGAUGAAAAGAUAGGCGAGAACGGACGUCGGACGAAGAAGUUAUGAUUUAAUAACGAAAUUUUCCUGUCCGAGCCUUCUAAAAAUAAUUAAUAAAAAUAAAAUUCAAAAUUAGCCGACGGAGUCUAAACGAAAGUUGUAGGCGUAGUCUCNAACGUUGAAAACUGAGUUCGUAUGAAGGAGAUAUGAAUUUUUGAAGUUUAAUAAAUAUUUAAUAUUUAUUUUUAAUUUAACUCCGAUAUUAUCCGAAGAGAAGUGAGGCGGUCUAUGCGAAGUACGCAGUGUGUACUGUUGUACGCCCCGCAUACAGCGAAGGGCACUCGAGUAGUCCGAAGUAGUAUGCAGUGACGUAAGGAGAACGAUGACGUAAGCGCUGACGACCCCCCGAGGCGUACGCCACGCGUACCCCGAAGUUACGCCCCGCGUUCAUGCGAGGGUCAGCCUAUAAAAGGGGAUCCGAAGGCAGCUCAUUCUUCAUUCACAAUUCCCUCAUUCUCUCUAGUCCUUUGCCUCGUUUUGCGUGCCGUUGUACCCCGAAGCCCCGGUAUUAUUCCCGAGCCCCGAAGCGAGAUCAGAAGCCCCAAGAACCCCGAAUAGCGUUAUUCCCGAGCCGAAGCCCUGCCCGCGAGGAUCCGGUUUUUGUGAAGAUCUUCCAGAUCUAUGGAGAGACGCUACUUCUGUAAGUCGUAGUGCUGUCGGAUCAUCUUCUGCUCAAGUGAGUGUGUAGUUAUUUUCUUUCCAACGCAAUAUUAUGAAGUAUUUAAUAUAAAAUACGUGCUACGUGUAAAUAUUUUUUGGUUAUAUGUGUGAAUGUGUAUUCACUCUCGUCUAUCUCAUAGAUCUGAUAUAUUCUCUAUGAAAUACAUGUUAUGUGUGUAUGCCUCAUCUGUUAUGUGGAAUAUGUGUUGAUUAAAACAUGCUAUACAGGUUUUUAAACAAUGUAUAAAAAUGUAUAUUUUUAUCUACUAAUAUGUUGGGUAGAACAUGGGUAGAUAAUUGGUGUGUAAUAAACAGAUGAGAGGCCUCGGUGUUAUUGGUGUUAUUCUAGUCAUUCAGUAGAGUAUGGAUGACGACCACAGACUAUUCUAGACUGUCCUGUGGAACACUAGCAGGCUCAUUACCUGUAGGUGUUGUGAACGACGUGUUCACCGGUGUACUCUAUCCCCCACAUGGUUGCCUUUAGGACACUUAUUGUUGAGGAAGCCCCUCUGCAGUAAUGUCCGUCCCGAUGAAAAUCCUGAAAUAAGUUCCUUAUAAUAGACGUUAUUUUUAGGAACGUAAGGUGAGGAUAACGGGAAUGGGUAAUCGGGUUUAUUGUUGAUUGUUGUAAUUAAAUAUAAUUAUUGUGGGUUUGAAAACCCUAUAUGCUCAACAGGCUCCCAAGCCUGACCCACUCAGUUGAAUUAUUUUACAGGAAGUGGCGCAAGAGCUUAAGAUGGGCGAAUUAUCAAGUUUUUUUGUUUACAAGUCUGUAUAUGUAUAUAUUUGUUGAAUGACUUGUAAUGUUAUCGUUUAUGCUUUAUGAUCUGUAUCGGAACAUGACACCUCGACUUUUGAUUAUGAAAUGAAAUCAUGAAAUGUUUUGAUAAAUAUCUAUUUUAUCAUGUUUUGUUUUUGGGAACAAAUUUCGCAUCUCUUUUAAAAUCAAACGGAUUUACUCUGAAAAUGGUUUAAAAAGCAUAAAUGAAAUCGGUCUUUUCUGGCCGAGAUUUUGGGGAUGUCACAUUUAUUUUCUUGUCUAAUUGAUUUUCGACCUCAUGUUUAAACUCUUUGAACUUUUCAAAGGUUUCUGACUUAUGUUUGAUCAAAUAGAUAUAACCAUAUCUACUAUAGUCGUCAGUGAAAGUGACGUAGAAUCGAUUAGCAUCCCUUGUGGUUGAUCUGAUGGGCCCACAUACAUCUGUGUGUAUGAGAUCCAACAGACCUUCACCUCUUUCACAUGACCCUGUGAAUGGUUAUUUUGUCAUCUUUCCCAAAAGACAAGAUUCACACAUAUCAUCUGAUUUUAGGUCAAAUGAUUCCAACACUCCAUCCUUUUGGAGUUGGGCUAUGUGUUUCUUGUUAAUGUGUCCAAGAUGACAAUGCCACAAGCAUGCCUUGUCUACACUAUUAGACAAGUCAAUGUUAAGUACACUAUUUCCUAAGCUAUCAACACGAGUCACUGUUUCAUACACACCAUCACAAGGUAAAGCUUCAAACACAAAAACACCAUUCUUAUAAACAGAAAUUGAACCAUUCAAAUCAUUAAAAGAGUAUUUAAAACCUUGUCUAAACAAUGCAUGAAAUGAAAUGAUGUUUCUCGUCAUCUCAGAUGAAUAGCAACAAUUUAUUAAAUCUAAUCUAACAUCAUUACUAAGCAAAAGUUGAUAAACUCCGAUCUUGGUUACUGGUGAAGACUUUUUGUUUCCCAUCAUCAAGUUUAUCCUACCUCGCUCUAUAUCCUCACUUUUCUUUAGCCCCUGCAAAUCAGUACAGAUAUGAAAACCACAUCCUGUAUCAAGGACCCAUGAACGAGAAGAUAAUGAGUUAUUAGAAGAAAUAGUGUAAAUACCUGCUGAAGACGGCUUUACUUUGCCAUCUUAGAUGUCCUGCAGAUAUUGUGGGUAGGUUCUCUUCCAAUGCCCCUUUUGAUUGCGAUAAAAGCAAAUAACUUCCUUUGGAUCAGAGACAUGGGGAAUGGAAGCAUUGGGCUUAGCUUUUGGGCCUCCGCUAGAUGACCCGACUUGGACUUUUGCCUUCUGGUUUUGCUUUGGAGGACCUUUCCUCUUUUUCCCUUUUCCCUGUCCAAUAGCUAGAACAGGAGGACUUGUAGGAGUGGAGGCUAUACUUUUACCCUUCAUCCCUGCUUCAGCAGUCUGCAACAAGCUGUACAAUUGGGCCAAUGUCUGCUCGGUGAUAUUCAAAUGGUAAGUUAAGAUAAACUGACCAUAACAAUCAGGCAACGAGUUCAAGACCGUGUCAAUGGCCAAUUCCUCAUCAAAAUGAAUGUUGAGCUUGACCAAACGCUCUAUGUAGCGUUGCAUUCUUUGCACAUGAGAUACAACCGACUCCCCUCUUUUAUCUUACAAGCCAUGAGUGACUUGACUACUUCAUACUUUUCUUGAUGGGCUCACUUAUGGUACUUUUCCAUCAGGUCCUUGUUCAUCUCAAAAGGUCAGUAGUCCUCAUAGUACCUCUACAGUUCUGGGGACAUGGUUGCGACCAUGAUGCAUGCGACUUUGGUAGCAUCAUCAUAGUGUUUCUUGUAGGCAACAUACUCUUCGGGAGUGGCUUUGGACUCAUCAAGUUUUUUGAGCUCCUUUUCAAGGACAUACUCUUUUUCCUCGAAUCUAAGCGCCAUCUUGAUGUUACGCAUCCAAUCGUUAUAGUUAGAGCCAUCCAUAACGACUUUGGAGCAAAUGUUGAGUAAAGAGAAGUUGUGGCUGGAGGAGGAUGAAGCAGAAGUGUUUCCAGGAGUAGACAUCUGAAAAAGAAGGAUAGUGUUCGUUAGAUUUCAAGACACCUCAAUAUAAUAACCCAAAGAUAUCAUAUCAAGGUUAGGACCCAACUAUGACGAUUUACAACAUUAGACAAAAUAAACGAAGUGAAAUUCCUAAUUCUUUUGAGAUACAUUAAAACAAUUUAAUGGCAUGUUUUAAUCUCGGAUUAUGCUCUACUAUUUGUGACUGGGAUACUGAGGAUCACAAACUAGAUGUGAAUAACCAUGCAAAUGUGCUUGGUAACCUUAUUGUCUUUAUCAUUAACUAUUGAUGUGUCGGUAAACCACACAUGCUCCAUCAACAUGAUAAUUAUAAUAGACCCAUUACUACUCUUUAUUAGUGCCUAUUAGUGUGCCGGUUAUCCACACACGCUCCACCAACUAGAGUUGGGAUUUUGAAAAAUAAUGUUCUAGUACAUUCUUUAAUAGCAUUAUACUUUUAAUGAGAAGUAGUUUUCCUAUCAAAUCCAUUCUGCUAACGACCCUCCACUAAUCAAGGAAGCGGUGGGUGAGAGUGGAUGCCCAUUCAACUACCAUUUUAUAGGUAGUUUCCUUAUACCCCCCUUAUAGACUAGCUUCGUGAAUGAGGCAUACUAGCGAUUUGACUAACCAUAUUCUUAUACANNNNNNNNNNNNNNNNNNNNNNNNNNNNNNNNNNNNNNNNNNNNNNNNNNNNNNNNNNNNNNNNNNNNNNNNNNNNNNNNNNNNNNNNNNNNNNNNNNNNNNNNNNNNNNNNNNNNNNNNNNNNNNNNNNNNNNNNNNNNNNNNNNNNNNNNNNNNNNNNNNNNNNNNNNNNNNNNNNNNNNNNNNNNNNNNNNNNNNNNNNNNNNNNNNNNNNNNNNNNNNNNNNNNNNNNNNNNNNNNNNNNNNNNNNNNNNNNNNNNNNNNNNNNNNNNNNNNNNNNNNNNNNNNNNNNNNNNNNNNNNNNNNNNNNNNNNNNNNNNNNNNNNNNNNNNNNNNNNNNNNNNNNNNNNNNNNNNNNNNNNNNNNNNNNNNNNNNNNNNNNNNNNNNNNNNNNNNNNNNNNNNNNNNNNNNNNNNNNNNNNNNNNNNNNNNNNNNNNNNNNNNNNNNNNNNNNNNNNNNNNNNNNNNNNNNNNNNNNNNNNNNNNNNNNNNNNNNNNNNNNNNNNNNNNNNNNNNNNNNNNNNNNNNNNNNNNNNNNNNNNNNNNNNNNNNNNNNNNNNNNNNNNNNNNNNNNNNNNNNNNNNNNNNNNNNNNNNNNNNNNNNNNNNNNNNNNNNNNNNNNNNNNNNNNNNNNNNNNNNNNNNNNNNNNNNNNNNNNNNNNNNNNNNNNNNNNNNNNNNNNNNNNNNNNNNNNNNNNNNNNNNNNNNNNNNNNNNNNNNNNNNNNNNNNNNNNNNNNNNNNNNNNNNNNNNNNNNNNNNNNNNNNNNNNNNNNNNNNNNNNNNNNNNNNNNNNNNNNNNNNNNNNNNNNNNNNNNNNNNNNNNNNNNNNNNNNNNNNNNNNNNNNNNNNNNNNNNNNNNNNNNNNNNNNNNNNNNNNNNNNNNNNNNNNNNNNNNNNNNNNNNNNNNNNNNNNNNNNNNNNNNNNNNNNNNNNNNNNNNNNNNNNNNNNNNNNNNNNNNNNNNNNNNNNNNNNNNNNNNNNNNNNNNNNNNNNNNNNNNNNNNNNNNNNNNNNNNNNNNNNNNNNNNNNNNNNNNNNNNNNNNNNNNNNNNNNNNNNNNNNNNNNNNNNNNNNNNNNNNNNNNNNNNNNNNNNNNNNNNNNNNNNNNNNNNNNNNNNNNNNNNNNNNNNNNNNNNNNNNNNNNNNNNNNNNNNNNNNNNNNNNNNNNNNNNNNNNNNNNNNNNNNNNNNNNNNNNNNNNNNNNNNNNNNNNNNNNNNNNNNNNNNNNNNNNNNNNNNNNNNNNNNNNNNNNNNNNNNNNNNNNNNNNNNNNNNNNNNNNNNNNNNNNNNNNNNNNNNNNNNNNNNNNNNNNNNNNNNNNNNNNNNNNNNNNNNNNNNNNNNNNNNNNNNNNNNNNNNNNNNNNNNNNNNNNNNNNNNNNNNNNNNNNNNNNNNNNNNNNNNNNNNNNNNNNNNNNNNNNNCGUAGGGAGGGCGUAGGUUUUGCUGUUGGCUCCAAUGGUGGAGGUGACUUCCCCAGACGGGAGUCGGUCCUUGAAAGUUCCUUACGAAGACGGGAGGUUGAAUGGGUGGUGGAUCGAUAACUUCCGGCUCUGAGUCGGUACCGGAGUCAUCACCCACUUCUAUGGGUUCCUCGUCCUCUUCGGGAUCAUCUUCGAUCCAUCCUCCGUUGCCUUGGUUGGGAAAGUAGGGGUCGCCAGGGUGGUGAAAUCCAGCCAUUUGACUGUACGAGAAAUAGGGUUAUAAGAAUGGAAUAAAGUUGAAACGUGCAAAACAUGUAAGUUAAACUAGUUUAGAUAGCAAAUACUCCUAUAGUAUUUAAAUUCUUGUGUUUGAUUCUAGAAAUGGUUUGGUAAUUUUUGACUUGUUGCUUACUACGACCAUUCCUCGAUAUGCAUUGGUCCAAUCUCGAGCAAAUAUAGUUGAUCACGCUAUAUUUGUCCAAAAUCUGAUUACAUAUAUCGAGUCUCAAUCGUAGUGUCAACUUGUCUAAAUACUUGUAUAGUUGGAUAACAUGAAAAUAAUUUGUGGUAUGCAUGUAAUUGUACUUAAAUGAACGAUCAAUUUAAGUUGGACGCAAUGCUGCUUAAGCGUAAAAAGAAAAUUUGUUUUGUCAGAGAGUAUUAGUCCCUUAAGCAUUUAUAGUUUGUAUAUCUUAUGUGGUUCGAUAUACUUAGUUCACUAUAAACAUUGCUCUGAUACCAAUCUGUCACACCCCCAAACCUGAACGGCGGAAACGUUCGGGGGCGGAUGACUUCAUGUGGUAACGUAACAAAUGAAUACAUAGUAAAGAAAGCAAUACAACCAUCAUAUAUAUAAUUGAAAGUUUACAUUUGUCAAAAGUUACAUGUUCAAAACCAAUUACAAUAUGAUGUCCAAAAUACGAGAUUAAACUGGCGCCGCAGCAUCCCUUCAUCAAAAGCGUAAUGAAUACCUGAAAUUACUGAUUUCCUGGGACAUACAAGUAAUUUUGAAAGAGUAGAUCAGCAUUUAAGCUGGUGAGUUUCAUAAGUAUUUAAGUGACAAUGUUUGUAUGAAAUGAAAUGUUUUGUCUUUGUUUGUUUGUGUUUAGAAAAUCCUAUAUUUUCUACUAGUAUAAAAGUAGCCUUCACUCAAGACCAAUGUUUGUUUCAAAAAUGUAUGUAAGUGUAAAAUAACCAAUGUGUUUGAAAACCUUGUAAAUCAAUGCAUUUUUAAUACCCCAUGUGAGUUUUAUAACCAUACUAUUGACUCGGAAUGCCUAUACACAACGUUCUUCAGGCGUUGGAAUGUUAUGACGUUUGUCACCCCAAACGGUGGACUGCAGCUAACAGUCAGGGCGCGGGUUGUCAAGCCCGUAUAGAUCUAUACACAAACACCAUGCUCCCCCUCCAAGGGAUUCUGGUAUAUAAUACAGGACUUGAAAUGUGUACUCGAACGUACAUGAAGUUAGUGUCUCACAAAACCGUGGUAUAAAAACAGAUCUACUUGUUAAAAUGUUACGUUUGUUCUUGUAUACGAAAGUGACUUCUUGAAAUUCAUGUUUCUAGUACAUAAGAGUUAGAAAUUUGUUCGUAAAACUAUACCUAUUAUAGUUUUCUAAAAGUGUGUCUCGUUUGUUUAGAAAUACCUAGAAAAGGAAUCAUUUGUUAUGAAAGCAUAGAUUUUUGGUGUAGAGUCUAAGAUAGACAAGUAUACAUAUAAUCUAAGAAAAUGUUUAGUUUAUACAUGCAUUACAAAAAUUUAUAUUUCAAAAGAUAGAAUGCUAUUUUAACAUAUGUUAUAUAUAUGAAAGUUCCUUAUAAAGUUUGUAAAUCGCAUGUGAUUUGGAUAUAUAAAAGCAUAUAAAAGAGUUCUUUAUGUAACACACGAUAAUACUCGUGUGUUUUACUUGUAAUCCCCCCCUUGAAAGCAUAUAAAAGAAUUUAUAGAACAUUUAAAAGGUAAAUUAAGGGGUAUGAACUCACUUGAAAGUUUGAAGAUAGCGAGAUGGAAAACCGGGCAGAGUUUCGUCUCGGGAAACGGAUUUUUCUCGGGAUUCUCGGGAAUCUCGGGAGUAAAAUCGACCCUCGGGACUUGAGCAAAAAGACCAGAGCUUCGGGUUUGAACGGGCACGGAAAACGAGGCAAGAUCGUGAGAGAAAGGAGAGAAAUGAGCAUUUUUCUCGGAAGCCCUCGCAUGCUAUUUAUAGGAGGGUCUGAGAAGCCUCGUACGCGGGGCGUACGCUCGUACGCAGCGCGUACGCGUACGUCAUGCAUGACCGAAGCCUCGAUUGCCUCGGCUUCGGAUCGGACGGAUCAGUCUGUCGGGUCGGAUGGGACGGUCGGACGGGACGGUCGGACGGGCGGGUCGGACGGGUCGGUAGCCUCGCAUAGGGCGACGUGGACGAUCCGAGGCCAAGUCCCUCGGGUACGCAUGGCGUACAGGGGUACGCAGCACGUACCUCGGAUGAGGAUGCUGACUCCUCUUCGGAUAAUGCUUGAAUUUUGAAUUAAAUAAAUAUAUAAUUUAUUUAAUAAACUUCAAAAAUUCAUAUCUUCUUCAUAAGAACUCCGUUUUUGAUAGUCUUUAUAUCCACGCGUAGGUGAGACUACGCUCUACAACUUUCGUUUAGACUCCGUUGGCAAAUUCCGAAAUUAUUUUUAUUAUUUAUUUUAUAACUCAUCGUGUUUAAGGAAUUUUUUCAAAAAUUCAUAACUUCUUUCUCUGAUGUCGGUUUUUGCCAGACUUUUUACCGUUGAAAUACCAUUGUCGAGACCUUCGAUUCUCGUUUAGGUCAUUCCGGCCAAAACUCACUCGAUCUCCGAUUCGAGUUUUUAGCUGUCUGUUGCUAAGCUGAACUUGGAAAAAUCAUAACUUCAAUAUACGAAGUCGGAUUUGGGCGUUCUUUUUACGUACGAUCAUGUUUUAACGACAUUUAAAUAUAGAAGGAAUUUAAAUAGAACUAUUUGGACAUUUUAUUAUGAAAGUUAAUUUUAUUAACUCAAAAGUGGUUACAAUACUUGACCUUUUAGGUCAUUACAAAGAGUUGAAAUAUUAGGUUGUCACAAUAUACCUCAUCCACAUGAUUUCACGGCCGUGAACUCAUGGAUGGUGAUUUUGGGUGCAAAAUGGCUUCAUAACAAUCGGGAAUAAAUGCUGGACUUGGAUAUUUGACUUUGGAAUGUUCCAAAACUCAUUUAGGUACCAUUUAUUGCAGUUUACGGUAGUAAACAUGGAGUUUACGGCCAUAAACUUCCCCACACACAAGAUCCCUAAUGUUUUGGACCUUAAACAAUCAUAUGUGAUUCCAAUGAUUUUUCCCAAGCCUUGUAUGGAUUUUAGGGGACUUUUGGCAUGAUUUUUGGAGUUUACGGCCCAUGAACCCCCUCAUGGCCGUGAACUCAUUAGAAAGUGUGUUUUUAUAUGUUUUAGGCUUCUAAAUUGAUGGUAGACACUUCUAGAAUUUAUCCCAAGGCUUAAGGUGUGUUUAAGUGGCAUCUUAACACAUAUAGAGGAUUUUACUCCCCAAGAAUAUGAGUUUACGGCCCAAGCAUGUUCUUGGGCAGUAAACUCAAGUUUACUCCUCUAAAUUGAUGUUCAAGGUGUUGCAAGGCCAAUUCCAUAAUUCUACAAGUCGUAUCUAAGCCUUAUUGGUGUUUUGGAAGGGUUUAAGGGCUUAAAAACCCCCUUUAUAUGUGUUUACGGCCCAAGCAUGCUCCAGGGCCAUAAACACAUGAACAAGGCUUUAAAUCAUGGUUUAGGGCAUUGUAAGUCCAUUCGAUUAAGUCAUCUGGCCAUAUCUAAGGUCUAAUUGUGGUUUGGAAGGGUUUUGUUGCUCAAAAACCCCAUUUAAAUGAGUUUACGGCCUAGGACAGUUCUAGGGCCGUAAACUCAUGAUAAUGGUCCUAAUCCAUGGUUUAAAGUCGAAUUUGAAGGCUAGAGGGGUUGUAUAACAAGUUAGGGAAGAUACCUUGGUGAUUAGAAGCCUUAAAUUUUAGGUUUUGGACCCUUAAACUUGGUUGAGGAGAGAGGUUAGAGAGCGAGAGUAGAGAGAUGAAGCAAAAGCUUCAAAUGAAAUCUUGAACACGUUUAUAUAGGUCCCAAAACUUGGACACGGAGGAAUUCUACCCGACACCGGCAUUUAACGCGGCUUUUGGUCGCACCCGACCAAGAUGUUGUAACCCGAUAUGGCUGAUUCUAUAAAUGUUCCGAUUACUAAUAUGGGGUGUUAGAAUGAGUUCUAAAUGCACUAGGACACCCAUUAAGUCAUUUUAGAUAAUUACAGUUUAAUGAAUUAAUUAAAUGGCUAAAUCGGAAACGAAUUUGAAAACGACGACUGGUUGAUAGAAAUGGAUUACGAAAAGGGUUAUAUGCAAUGAUACGAAAUUUCAGGUUGUUACAUUAUCCCCCCGUUAGAGGGAAUUUUGUCCCGAAAUUCAAAAUUAAGAUACAAGUCAAGAUGCAAAUCAUGGAUUGGAAUGAG
Molecule: long non-coding RNA, 105044 nt
Filed under: Lactuca sativa (garden lettuce)
Lineage: Eukaryota; Viridiplantae; Streptophyta; Magnoliopsida; Asterales; Asteraceae
Description: long non-coding RNA (LSAT_LNC005408)
Source: RNAcentral